AUCGAGUUUAUGACAUUAUCCGGAAUUCUGACUGCCAAAAGGGUUCCCGAAACGAAGUCAUCCCACAUUUUGAAGGUUCAAGAUGGUGAUUUGCCCGGGGUAUGGAUUGAAUUGGAUUUUCCUGUAGUCCCGAUCGCUGAAGAUGAUGCCGAGCGGAUUUCAUGUGUCUCCAAAGUUCUCAAUGGCACUUCCAUUGUUGAAAUCAAGAAGACAGCAAAGGGCGACCAUUUCGUAAUUCCUCAACUGCGACCUGAUCUUUUUCUUUUCCCCAUAAAUACUGUUUUGAGUACAUUGAACCCCUUGCUUCCUCUUUGAGGCAAUCGUUUUCAUUCUGUUGAUUCCAGGAUUUGUACAGCAACAGCUGGCAUUGAGCUGAUUUUCAUUAGGAAGAGAGUAUUUAAUUCCUUCAUUUCUACUUUCUUCUGCUUAUUUUCGCAGAUUGUUAUCCCGUCGGGGAAAGAAGUUGAAGAAAUUCAGCCCCAGUUUGAGGAGAUACAGAGAUGUCCUGGGAGGGGUAUUAUCAUCACAGGAUCAGCUCAGCCAGACUCGGGAUUCGAUUUUGUCAGUCGAUUCUUUUACCCAAAACUUGGACUGAAUGAGGUAUUAAAGUUCAUACCUUGGAAAGUUUCUUAAAGUAUCAAUCAUAAUUAGUUAUUCAAUUGUCCGAUUCACUGGUCAUAUGUCGAAAGCUGUGUUCUAUCAACCAAUUUUAUGCUCUUACCGCAAACCUCUGAAUGAAUGAUCUACUUUCCAGGAUCAUGUAUGUGGCAGUGCACAUUGUGCUUUGGCACCUUAUUGGAGUGAAAAGCUGGGGAAAAAGGAUCUCGUUGCCUAUGCUGUAAUCUCUCUCUCUCUCUCUCUCUCUCUCUCUCUCUCUCUGCGCUCAUCCACACAUGCUUGUGCCCAUGUCUCUGCCCUUGUGAAUGCCCAUGUGUUUUGCUUCUCUCGUCUCUCAAAUGGUAUGUAAAUGAAUGAUUUUCGAUGGCCUCAUCAUUUUCACGUCUUGCAGGCAUCGCCCAGAGGUGGAGUAGUGAAGGUGCACUUGGAUGAGCAGAACCAGAGAGUGUCAUUGCGCGGGAAAGCUGUAACUGUAAUGAGGGGCUCUCUUCUUGUUUGAAUUUCUAGCGCUUCUUCUUGUUUCUGAACUUAAAGCACGUGAAAAUCACUACGUGAGAAGGAAUUGAAAUAAAUGAGCUUAUGUUGUGGGUUCGGUGGUACCGAUGGAGUAAUGUGAAAUACAUGAGAUCGCGUCCUUUCCUGUAUGACAGGUUCUUAAUUUGCUUGCAGUGGAGAGUGAACUGAAUAAGUGUAGAACGGAUCCAUUGUUUCAUUCCCAGAGGACUUUGUCUGAAGAAUUCUAUCUGCAGAAGAAGUGCAUAUUUGAUUGACAUAAGUGUUUAUCAGCACGGCUGGGAAAAUAAACAAGUGGCUAAAAGCCUCCAUUGGACUAAGACAUCAGCGACGCACAGUUUCUGUUCCCGUAGAAACUAACUUCCUACAAAUUCGCCUUCGAGUAGUAGGAUGGCCGUGUCAUUUCAUAUACUUGAUGUGGAGUCGGGUUGUGAAUUGCAGCUACACUAACACGUACAUGUAAGUUCGCACAUGAAAUUUUCUGCUCUUGUCGACAACUGGUCUAUGAGAUCCGUAAUGUUUUUCAGUGCAGACGGUACAGUUGACUUAGUAAAGCAAGUCUUUCUUAUAAUGUCAAGUCUAGAUGUGGGUCUACUGAUAAUCUUGCAAUCAAACAGAACACAAGAAGAGCUUACGGCAAAUGAGGCUUUAAAAGCUCUAAAGGACCUUUAUGGCCUGAAAAGAAGAAGAAGAAGAAGAAGGUGAGUGAAAAUAAAGUAGUCUACGCCACGCAAGUCCAGCCUUGUUAAGGCGAUCGUGAAGCAACAAAAUAUGAGGCUUAAGCAAGGCAAUGGAAACUUCGAAUAAAUCAACUGGAGAUUGUGACAGAUAUCCCGCCGCUACGCUUUCUAGUCCAGAGAUGUAACCAUUGUUGCUUAGGCGCUGUGAUAGUGAGCGUAUCUCCGCUCAUGACAGCAGUAGAGUCGCUUGCCCUAACAUUCUUAGGAAGGACCAUCUGGAUCUUACUGUUUGCCAUUCGCUCCAGUCGCAUGAGAUACAAAGCGACUCGCCAUCAAUGAUCUCAACCUUCAACUAGUCCUUCCUCAGUUGUGGAAGCUGUAGGCGAAUGACAUAGUCGGUCGCAGUCUUUUGGCUCUCGACCGACUCAUCAGGAGAGAAUGGAUCGCUGUUAAGGAAAGCGCUCGCUUCAUGGUCAUGCCAUUCCAUUCUUAUGAUAUGAAUUAAUCUCUUUAAGAGCCGGAUUCGAAGUGGGCAAUCCAUCGGAAUGGGAUUCGCAAUUCUUCAAUAUGGAGUCAGCAGCUUUGUUGAGAAUGUUAUAGAUGAAGCCAAAUAUUUGUUUUUAGGGGAUUUUUUGUCUUUUCUAUUAGAUUUCCUUUUAAGUUAAAAAUGGUAUCUUUAUAUUAGCGAUGGAAAAACCCUAGCCGUCAAGAUGCUGAAAAAGGAAAUAGAGAGGCAAGAAAAAGAGAGAAGAAAAAAGUGCGUUUUUUCUUGAUGAGGGUUCUCAAUCUCUUUGUGCCCUGAUCUUGAGAGAAGAUUGUCGUUGUAUUCCAACUUUUUCGAAGUCUAGUGGAUUCGCAGAGUGCCUCUGCGCGGAGACGUAUCCCAGGUUUGGGUGAACUUCGAUAACAAAUUUUCUGGCGUGUUCAUAUGAUUCUGUUCUUUUAUUACUAUAUUAUGUUUGGUGAAUUGUUUGCGAGCGUUAUUUUUCUGGAAUCGACGUGCGAUUUCGUAACAACUGAUAUCAGAGCAUGGGUUGGCUAAUCGAGAACAUCGAGGGUUUUUCAGUGACAUUCGAUUGAAAGCAAACAGUAUGGCAGAAGAUAAAAUCAUAAUCGAUAAGUUCAAUGGAGAGGAUUUCGGAUGGUGGAAAUUAGAAAUAGAGGAUUAUCUUUAUCAAAAAGAUCUUUAUGCACCACUUGAGGGUUGGAAACCCGAGAUGGCGGAAGUGGAUCCGACAGCAGAAGCCGAAUGGAAAAUUCUUGAUCGAAAGGCAUCGGGUGCGAUUCGUCUAGGGUUGACGAAAAAGACAGGGUACCACAUCACGAAAGCAAGAACUGCAAAAGAAGCCAUGGAUAUUCUAACGAAUAUUUAUGAGAAGCCGUCCACAUCAAAUCAUGUAUUUUUGCUGAAGAAACUGGUUAAUAUGAAGUUAUCUGAUAGAGGUUCUGUGGCAGAGCAUAUUAAUAGUUUCACGUAAGUCACGGGCCAAUUGAAAUCCGCAGGCAUAAAUUUAGAUAUGAUGCUUCAAGCUUUAUUAUUUUUAUGUUCUCUUCCAGAAAACUAUAAUACCGCAGUGUAGGGAAUUUCGAGCACCAUGAAGGAUGAUUUAACUCUUCAUGAUGCUGUGAGUAAUAUCAUGGAUGAAGAGAUGCGAAGGAAAGUCUCAGGUGGAGAUAAUUUUUUUGCAUCUACAUCUUCAACGGCACUUGCAGUGGAGAACCGUGGAAGAAGUAAAAGUAGAGGAAAUUUCAGCGGUCGUGGCAGAUCACAAUCAAGGGGUAAGAGACAGAUUACAAAAGAUGAGUGUUGGUUUUGUCACAACCGGACACCGGAGGUUUCAGUGUGAAGCCUACAAAAAGAAGCAGCAAGAUGAGAAUCAAGGUGCUAAUGUAGUUAAUGAUGAAUCUUUGCUAGAUAACUUGCGUUUGUCUGCAGGGUUUGACUCGACAACAGAUAAAUGGUUUAUUGAUUAUGGCAUUUCUUUUCAUUGCACCUCACAAAGAGACAUAUUUGAUGAUUAUGCGAGUGGAGAUUUUGGACAAGUGGUUGUGGGAAACGGCCACAUGUGUCCAAUUGUUGGGAAAGGAACUGUGACUAUGAACAUCUCAGCUGGAGGACGUCUAGUUUUGCGUGAAACUAGGCAUAUUCCGGAAUUAAAGAAAAAUCUGAUUUCAACCAGUAAACUUGACUAAGAAGGUUUGGUAAUAACCUUUGGCUGCGGAGAGUGGAAGAUAACCUCAGGGGUAAGAGUAGUAGCAAAGGAAAAGCGUACGGGUACACUUUACCUUCUCCAAGGAGACAAUAUCAGUGAUAUGGUUGCAAUUACAAUGGCUACAAGUAAUUUAUCUACUCUUUGGCAUUAUCAUUUGGGACAUCUUGGUGAAAAAGAUGUAAAGCAGUUACACUCGAGGAAAUUACUUCCGGGUUUACAAAAAGUUGAGUUAGAUUUUUGUGAGAGUUGCAUUUAUGAAAAACAGAAGGCUAUUAGUUUUCAAUUGAAUGGACGACAAAAUAAAGGCCAGAAGCUAGAGUUGGUUCAUACUGAUGUAUGGGGACCUGCUCAGGAACUCUCUUAUGGUGGUAAGAGAUAUUUUGUCACCUUCAUUGAUGAUGCAACAAGGAAGACUUGGGUCUAUGCUCUUAAAGAAAAAUCAGAAGUAUUUGGGAUGUUCAGAAUGUGGAAGACCAUGGUAGAAAAAGAGACAGGUUAUCAGAUUAAAGCUAUGAAAUCUGAUAAUGGUGGUGAAUACACAAGUAAGGAAUUUGCUGAAUAUCUGAGUCGAGAAGGCAUACACGGGCUAAAGACUGUUUCUAGAACUCCUCAAGAGAACGGUGUAGCUGAAAGAAUGAACAGGACUAUUCUAGAACGUGCGAGAUGCAUGAGACUACACACGGGUCUCCCGCUACACUUAUGGGCCGUCACAGUUGAUGCAGCUAUUUAUCUUAUCAACAAAAGUCCAUCUAGUGCGUUGAAUGGAGAAACACCACAAGAGCGCUGGUCAGGUAAAAAGAUUAAUUAUUCACAUCUAAAGGUGUUUGGUUGUAUUGCAUAUGCUUUGAUUGACAGGGAGGAUGGGAAAAAGCUUGAUGCUAAGUCCCAGAAGUGCGUCUUUAUCGGAUAUGGUGGCGACGAGUAUGGCUAUAGGCUUUGGGAUUAUGAGAAUAACAAAGUCAUUCGCAGUCGCAAUGUGGUAUUCUAUGAAGAAAAGAUGUACAAGGGUCGUCAGACAGAGACAGAGCAUGAGAAUGUAGUACAACCAGAAUAUGUUGAAUUAGACACAAUGCCCGUGAAGAUGUUUCCAGUAGAUCAAAGUUCACCUGGAAGAGAGGUUCAAGAUGAGCCUAUUAUCAGUGAAAAGGUAGUUCAAGAAGAACGUAGUAAUUCGUAGCAAACGAAUGACCCUGAAGUACCUGUCUUGAGAAGGUCUACACGUGUGAGAAAGCCAAAGGUAAUUUUUGAUCCAUUAGCUAAUACUAUUCUGAGCCAUGUCUUAUAUACAGAUUCGGGAGAACCGGAGACUUACGAUGAGGCAAAGGCAAACACAUCUCACUUGCAGUGGGAGUGUGCUAUGAAAGACGAGAUGAGCUCGUUACUUCUAAACAAAACUUGGGAGUUGACCAAGUUGCCCACAGGUAAAAAAGCUUUAUUAAACAAAUGGAUGUAUAGGGUUAAGAGUGAAGCAGAUACUAGUAUUAGAUACAAGGCGAAACUUGUAGUCAAGGGCUUUUCUCAAAAAGAAGGGAUCGACUACUCCGAGAUAUUUUCACCUGUAGUGAAAAUGACAUCAAUUAGAGUUCUGCUGAGUAUAGUUGCAGUGGAGGAUCUUUAUCUUGAGCUGUUAGACAUAAAAACAACGUUUUUACACGGUGACUUAGAUGAAGAACUAUACGUGGCACAACCUAAAGGUUUUGAAGUCAAAGGUAAGGAGCACAUGGUAUGUCGCUUGAAGAAAAGCUUGUAUGGCUUGAAACAAGCUCCGCAGCAAUGGUACCUAAAAUUUGAUGGUUUCAUGCAAGAAAAAAGAUUUGCACACUGUGAGUCUGAUCACUGUGUUUAUUUUCGCAAAUAUGAUGAUGGUGACAUUGUGUAUCUAUCUUUAUAUGUGGAUGACAUGCUGGUGGCUAGUUCCAAUAUGAAGAGAAUCAUAGAAGUGAAAAAGAUGUUAUCAUCACAGUUUGCUAUGAAAGACUUGGGAGAGGCCAAGAAUAUUUUAGGCAUGAAAAUCAUCAGGGAUAGGAAAAAUAAGAAAUUAUGGUUGUCGCAAGAAGACUAUGUGAACAAGGUGUUAAAGAGAUUUAACAUGAACAAAGCAAAACCGGUUGCAACUCCUCUAGUGAGUCACUUCAAACUUUCUAAGGAUAUGUGUCCAAGCACUCAGGCUUUGAAAGAUGAGAUGGCGGUAGUUCCAUAUGCAUCAGUAGUGGGGAGUUUGAUGUAUGCCAUGGUGAGCACGAGACCAGACAUUGCACAUGCAGUGGGAGUUGUGAGUCGAUAUAUGCAGAACCCAGGCAGAGAGCAUUGGAAUGCAAUAAAAUGGAUAUUGAGAUAUCUAGCAGGUACUUCCAAUUACUCACUUUGUUAUGGUGGUACAUCUCUAUAGUUGCAGGGUUAUGUAGAUGCAGAUCAUUCGGGUGAUCGAGAUAGUGGUAAGAGUACCACUGGAUAUGUCUUUCAGUUGCAGGUACAGCAGUGAGUUGGGUAUCUCAACCACAAAAGGUAGUGGCUUUAUCGACGACAGAGGCAGAAUAUGUAGCGAUUACAAAAGCCUCCAAGGAAAUCAUGUGGUAACAAGAUUAUAUGGAGGAGUUACAUCAAAAACAGCCAGUCAGUACACUUUGGAGCGAUAGUCAAAGUGCAGUGCACUUAGCAAAGAAUGCAGCUUAUCACUCAAGGACUAGACAUAUUAACAAGCGUUAUCGCUUUAUCAAGUCAGCAUUAAAAGAUAAUGAGUUAAAGCUAUAGAAGAUUGAUGGCUCGAAGAAUCCAACUGACAUGAUGACCAAGAUAAUAGACAGAGAGAAGCAUAUUUUCUGUACUACUACCAUUGGUAUUACUCCAUGCUGAUUGAUGAGGAGUAUCGCAGAGGCACAAGUUUUUCAACUACUAUUUUUUUGAAGAAGAUGGAUACAAAGUUACUUGGUGCUUGGGUAUAUUUGUCUUCAAGUGGGAGAUUGUUAUAGAUGAAGCCAAAUAUUUGUUUUUAUGGGUUUUUUUGUCUUUUCUAUUAGAUUUCCUUUUAGGUUAAAAGUGGUAUCUUUAUAUUAGCGAUGGAAAAACCCUAGCCGUCAAGAUGCUGAAAAAGGAAAUAGAGAGGCAAGAAAAAGAGAGAAGAAAAAAGUGAGUUUUUUCUUGAUGAGGGUUCUCAAUCUCUUUGUGCCCUGAUCUUGAGAGAAGAUCGUCGUUGUAUUCCAACUUUUUCGAAGUCUAGUGGAUUCGCAGAGUGCCUCUGCGCGGAGACGUAGCCCAGGUUUGCGUGAACUUCGAUAACAAAUUUUCCGGCGUGUUCAUCUGAUUCUGUUCUUUUAUUACUAUAUUCUGUUUGGUGAAUUGUUUGCGAGCGUUAUUUUUCUGGAAUCGACGUGCAAUUUCGUAACAGAGAAUACAUACAUAGCUACAGUCUAAGGCCCCUGCACUCUUUAAGGCAAGUUGGCAACCUUGUAGUUGAGUAUCUGAUUCCCACUAAAUUAAUGAAGAUUAGUACAAAGGAUCGUAAAGAUUUUAGAGGACCAUGGCCACCUCUUCUGAAAUUUUAAGGCGUCAGAUCAAGGCGCGUGUUUAUAUCUUUAAGGACCGGGAAAGAUUUGAAGUCAGAAUCUAAUGCUCUCAUACCUUGUAAAGAUUGUUUGGCACCAUUAUCUACUUUUUUAAUAGUUAUAUAGUCGGAGAAAAACAUGGUUUAAUAUUUAUGUAUAUACUACCAAGGACUAGGCCAACUUAUGAUCUAGUCAUCUACGCAUGAUCUCGCAUUGAAGGAAAGCUUGCUUUAAUUUCUCAUUCUAAGAGAUGAACACAUAGAUCAAUUUAGCUAUUAAAUUAGGCCCACCAUAUUUCCACCCCCUUAUUGGCUCCCGACACUUCCUAUAAUUGACUACAUUAAUCAUUGCGGGACCCAUUCUUGAUUAAAUAUUAUUACUUGUCUUUUCACCCUUUAUUAUUGGCUCUUGACACCCGCUAUCACAUUAAAUUAACUACAUUAUCCCUUUAUUUCUUUAUUUUUUUUCAAUUUUAUUAAAAGAAAAACUCACCCACAUCACUUUCAAACAAUGUUUUUUCACCCUAGCCGAUUAAGCCGAUUCAUCCACACUCGCUACAUUUCAACGUUUCCUUCAUGUUUCUCGUCUUCAGGCUCACAUCGAUAUUGAGCAUCAAUCCCAAUCCAUAAUAACCUCCACAAUUCACAAAGUCAAAUCAAAAUAUAUAUCAUAAAUCGAUAUCACAAAUCAAAACACAUAGUUUUUCUGCAACUCGGCUCAUUCACCACAAAUACUUUUUGUAAAGCAUUUCUCAUGUCAUUUCAAAACUUGUUUCUUAAACUGAAAUAAAUUUCAUAUACAUUUUCGCAACACAUUUCAUAAACCAAGUUCACAAAUCAACAUAUAUAUAUAUACAUAUAACCUUUCGCAAUAACUUUCCAAAAACAUUUGGCAAAUCAUUCACAAGUACCAAAUCGUAGUAAAUGCUCAAUCCAGAUUCUAUGCAACAAACCAUGCUUUCAAUUACUUAUGAUACAUCAAAUCUCCAUAACUUUCAAGACAUGAGUUUUCAAACUCAUAGAAGAAAUAGUAUCACUCACCUGAGAAAGCCGAAAGUCAACCACAUCGAUCACUUGAGUCGACACACUCAAAUUCCUAACAAAUAACUAAAAAACAAUGUCAAACGACUAAGUAACACGAUAUUCUAAUGAACGGCUCAACUAUACUAUGCAUAUUUGUCGAUAAAACGAUACCUACACGCCAACAAAAAACUUGCCUCUAGCGGAAACCUAUUGUUGUUCGCGAGCCGCGUUAAAUUUCAUCCCGCCAUAACUUCCUCCAUAUAAUUCCGUUUCAAGCAAACUUAUAAUCCUUAAAAAGCCAUUUUGACAUACUAUAAGAACCCCAACUUAGCCGCCCCAAGACCUUGCCUGAAAUGACUGAAAUUCGGCUCAAAAUUUACUAUUUGAAACUCUGUCCAGAAUGCACGCUAAACUUGAAAAUUCCGUUCUAGGCAAAUCACAAGCUCAAAUUGAGAUCCGUAAAAAUGCUAUAACUUCACAAUAUCCUAAACGAUCAUUUCUAUAAUAAAAAAAAUACACCACCCGAAAACUCCCCAGUCAACGCAACAAGUCAUAAUUGGCCUAAAACCGAAUUUCCAACCCUAAUUUUGACAAUUCUUUCGUAUAGAUGAUUAGGGGCCUCGAUCACUUACUAACAUUGCAAAACAUAUUUAAGUCAGCUUAGCGAUUGAUAUGAAUCAUAAGCACACGAAAAUUUUUGUGGCACCCCUCGAACGGCCCCCGAUCCGUUGGGGUCGCCAUAGUGCGCUUACCUUUCUCAUGUCCUGAUAAUAUCUCGCUCUGAUACCAUAGAAUCAUAAUAGGUCCAUAACUCCUGGGGGUUUAUAUCUUUUAGAUCGGUCCCUGCGUAGAAAUAUGGCGGAAGCGUAUCCAUUAACUCCCCGUCCUGAAAUUAAAGCGACGCACACCAACUAAAACUUUUAUAAGUUAAAGCCGAACACUUUUAUUUACAUAAAACUAGAUGGACAUUUUUAGUCGGUACACCAAAAUGACGUAGUCUUCUAUACUCGGCUAUACUUCAAAAGAUGACCGACAUCUUUUGCAACAGUUGUAUACUUAAAGUCCAUCGAUCAAUGUCGGCGUCCAAAAGUUCCUUCGUUUGCUGUCCUCCUCCUCGUGGUCAUAUCCAACCAUUCGGUCCAUUUGCUGGUAGCGGUGACAGCAGAUGCAUCUUAUCUAGUCUGAAAUGUUAGUCCCCAAACAAGGUGAGUACAACCACUCAGCAGUAAAAGAUUCAUCAAACUAUAUCAAGCAGUACCAUCAAUAUCUAGACUCAUGCAGGAUAGACAAAAUCAGCUAGUCGAUGGAUCAAUUUACAUCAAAAUCAUGAAAUCCUUUAAUGCAAUGGCGAAUGCAAUUUCAAAAGAUUCAGAUGCUCAUGUCCAGUUACACCAGUUCAGAUCAUAGGGCCAAACUCUAAUGACACAUCCCAUUCCCUGGCAUGCAGUUUAGUCCCAUAACCAGACCACGUGCACUCUUAGUAGAACCAUCAUUUUUAACAUUCAAAAGGUUUCAUCCCCCCAGAGGACCAAUGUUUGCAUCCUUAUGGGAUUCCGCACCCAACCCUGGCAUCGCGGAAGCUUCUGGCACACACCUCCGAGCAUCUCGCACCCCACCUGGCAUGACGAGGAAUUGCCGGGGCUCGCCAUGAAAAUGGUUACCUCUGCCUUCCGGAAUUACGUACCGACAUACCACCGGGCAUCCUCCGGAAUUACGUACCGACAUACCACCGGGCAUCCCCGGAAUUACGUACCGAUAUACCACCGGGCAUCCCGAAACUCCCGGGGAAAAACCUCUGGGCAUGUAUUCAAAAUACAACCAGGCAUCCAAAGGGCAUCGACUCAUUCGAACCUCUGGGCAUCCCGACUCCCGGGGCAUCGUUGACCCGAGGGUCCAACGGCAACAAUUAACAUCUUAAUUUCCAAAAACACUUUUCAAUGCAAUGACAAAAUGUCUCUUGAGUCUCAUCACAUCUCAAUAUUGCAUGAUAUGUCAAGGCCAAUAUCAUCAUGUCACAUAACAACCCAAGAUGCAUUCACUUUUGAAAUCAAUUGAGCAAAGUCGAAGUAAAACAGCUUAAAAACCAAAAUGUGCAGCUUUAAUGAAAAUUUCGAAAUAACUCCUAAAUGAACUUAGAAAGAUUUGAAAUUUUGAUAUGUUAUACAUAAGACCUAAAGGAAGAAAUUUCAUGAAGGACACUAAGUCAGAUUCGUUGUGUAUAAAGAGUAAUAGUUUGCUGUUUCCUUCAAAAUUCUGCAGUAACUUUUAGAUUCAGUACCUACAGAAGAAAAUUCGUUUCACCAACUAAAUAUUUUCCGUUUGUUCCCAAAUUUUGAUAUGUUAUUCCUAAGGAUGUUUCCUACAACUUUAAUUAAGGGUUCAAAGUCCAAUUCUUUCUAUAAAAUUACAGAAAAUUCGUGAAAUCAUCAAAGGUCAUGCUGUCUUCUACAGUACAGCUUACUGGUUCGAGGUAAAUACUCUUACCAACACGUUUUCUCUACCAAUUUCUUUUACAGCGACUUAAUACUCUUCCACAGCAUCUAAGGUUAACCACAGUAGGUUUUUACUCUUAUAAAAACCUUCCACAGUUCGAUACAAGGCAAAUAUUCACACUUCGGUUCACCUACCGCAACAUACCUCACUCGACAACCACCACUACACCUUGCUCGACCAACACGGCCUCCUACACUCAAUUUUCGAAACAUGCAAGACCUAAUGCAACAUGCAAUGACUGGUAGCUUCAAUCUAGUAUUCAUCUAGCUCAAUCCAACACUAAACAGCAAUAUCCCAUUUAAUCCUCCACAGAUCGGCAUUCAAUCUUCAUCUCAAUCAUCCAAAAACCCAACAUGCAGUUUCCAUUUCAGCAUUUUCUCAAAUCUACCAGCACUUUACCAGAUAAUCACAGCAUGCAUCACAUAGAUUAAUGAACUUCUACUUGCCUCACUCCUAAGCUCGAUCAGCAAGCAAAACAGAGGGCUCGUGGGUCUCGGGCACGGCUCAAUAGCGGCGAAGACGAGCGGCUUCGACGGCGGCAGCACACCCGUACAGACAGAGGGCGGUCUCCUUCUCCACACCCCCCCCCCCCUCACUCUUGCUCGCUGCACGCUUGCGAACUCUCUCGUUCACUCACUGCACUCACCCGCUCGUUGAUCUCUCUCUCUCCCUCUCACUGGUUUCGUACGAAGCUCUCCCUCACUCUCUCGACUAAUCCACCCUUUUGUUCCUCACUUUGUUGACAAUUUAGUCAACUGCAUGGGGCUUCUUUCGGUGGCUGCAGGAACCGAAGACAGCUGGGGUGUACGUGGCCUCCUGCAUGCGGAUCUCCCCUCUUGCCGAGCCAACACAACUUCUCCGUGGGCUUCUUCUUCGCUGGCAAUCAAGUGGGGAAGCCACGUGGCCUUUUAGUCAACAAUUCCUUCAAUGGUUGACCGGUUGCACGAUUCUUCACGUGCGGAAAGAAGGGGCUGCAUAGGUCGAGCUUUCUUUUUCUUCUUAUUGACUGGCUUCGACACCGUAUGGCCGUGCAUGGUAGGUCAAUGGACUCGGAGAAAUUCUUACGUGAAUGUAUGGUCGCGCAUGUAAAGAAACGUGCAUGAUCCUUACGCACGGAUUAAUUCCUCAAAAAUUCGACUCUUGACUUCAGCUUGUGCAAGUGCUGAAAAAUAAUUACUUACGUGGCUGCACGGGGUCGCAACAAUGUACAUGGGAGAUUUAGUUUGUAGAGUACACAACUAGACGGCCAAAUUUAGUAUAGGAAAUAUCUUGUCAGCACAUUACUCGGAAUAAACCUCGGCCUUGCUAGUAAUGGUACAUAGGAACGAAGCUAUAACUCACACACAGUCGAACCAUUUCUAAUCGUGACUCAUCGGUCCGAUGGUGGUAACAAAACAAUGUCCGUACAUGAUGCCGAUGACACAGUCCAACGAUACCUCCAUCGAUCAAUCGCAGCCGUCACAUAUCCAAGGGUUGUCAAAAUUUUCGGAUGCCACAAUUUUCCCCUUCCUUCUUUCUUCUUUCUCAAUGAGCCCCUUUUCUUUCCCUUGUUUCUACUUCGACUUUUAAUAAUAUUUAAAAAAAUAUUUUGAAUUAUAUCGGUUUGUUUUUUCUUUUCUUUUCGUUAUGUUUUCUUUUUUUUGGGGGGGGGGGGGGACUUAGGGCCACAAGAGUCUCUAGGCAUUUCUCACUAACCACAAGGGCGAGGAUCGCACACCCUCGGUUUGGCCGAUGAGGACGUCUCAACCCUUGCCUAGCCCUCACCUACCACAAUGAGGGCCCACGAGCCCUCACAUAGUAGCCAAUGAGGAGGCCGUGGCCCUUGCCCAGAGCAGAUAAGCACUGCAACGCCCUCACCCAAUGCCAACAAGGGUUGUCGGCCCUCGGUCAAAAAAGAAAAAGAAAAGUAAGGUAAAGUAAAAUAAUUUUAAAAAAAAACCAUAAAAACUAUAAAAUAAAAAUUCAAAAAAAAUGAAAAUAUCAUUUAAAAAUGUUUAGGUCUAUGCCAACCGUGCUAUAUAGGAUGGUUAGUGUCUAUGUCAGUAAUUCCCUAUCAAAAUUGACUGGAUGAACUUAACUGACAAAACUUGAAAAUAUUUAGAACUAAAUUAGUAUAAUUGAAGGUUUAUGAUUGAAUUCACACGGACAUAAUAGAUUUAUAACAUUUUUCUAUAUUUGUCCCGUAUAACACUAGUCCUUGGAAGGAAUAUAAAAUUGAGAUUGUAUCGUGCGCAUGAAUAUGCAUGAAUGCUAGAUGAUGAGUGCAUGGUAGUAUAUGCACAUAUGGCAUGGGUAUGCAUGAAUGCUUGAUGAUGAGUGCAUGGCAGUAUGUGCACAUAAGGCAUGGAUAUGCAUGGAUGCUUGAUGAUGAGUGCAUGGUGGUAUGUGCACAUAAGGCAUGGAUAUGCAUGGAUGCUUGAUGAUGAGUGCAUGAUGGUGUAUGUACAUAUGGUAUGAUGACAUAUGCAUGGCUGCAAGGUAAGUAUGCUUGGAUGCAUGAUGAUAUGUACUUUACUAUGAUGUAAUGAUUGUUCUGUUUGAUGCAUUGAGUAGUUUAAUGGAUCUUUUACUUGUUGAAUGGUUGUACUCAUCCCUUUAGGGACCAAUAUUACAGAUUAGAAAGAUGCCUCUCUCUCCGGUCACGCGGGGUACCUUUUAUGGCCUUCCAUCUGACGUGGAGGUCGAGUGUAUGGAGCUUGAUUGUGUCACCAUUCUUGGUUUGACAUUCAUACAGGUUCGUGUGCUGGUGAUGUAUGAUGUGGGCUUGGCUGGGGGCUCGGUCAUCCAGGAGUUCUUGUCUGUCCACGUUCGCCGUGACGGAGUGAUACGGGGGAUGUUGCCGCCGCCACCGCCCGAUGCAUCAGGAUGGGUGUGAUGGCCCGCGUGAGGAGUGGGAGCUGACUUUUUUGGGAUAGCCGACACUUGUAGAUGGAGGGUUAUACAUGAUCGAUGUAGGGGGUCAAGAUCUCUCUUUUUUGAGCUGUAGCCAAGUUUAGCUAAAAGUCUUGGCUUUUUGGUUGUACCGACCCAAGAUGUCCAUCUUAAAAAUGUAAAUAAAAGUGGCUCGGCUUUAUGUUUUCUUAUGGCGCGUAGUUGGUGUGCAUUGCAUUAUGAUAAUGGGAGGGAGAAAUGGUGAGACUUGUUAUGCUUCCACUAAUAAGCUGCGCUAAACUCUCUUAAAAAAAAAAAAAAAGGAUGCCCAUGGACCUCGGUCCUUCUUUAAACCCCAUUUAUAUCAAAGUCAAGUAACGAGUAUCCAAUAGAUAAAGAAAUAGGUAUCUGUGGCAACCUUAGCUGUUUGGGGGUGCCACAAGGGACUUGCAAAGCAGGGGCGGGGAGCUGAACAGAGCGAGGGAAGCCUAGGUCUGCUAAGUCGUCUUCUCCAAGUUGGUGGAGGCUGGGGAAACGUCACACUUAUGGCCAAAAACGCCACACCUGAUACAUUCAACCGGCUUCCAUUCAUAUUCAAUAACUAUAGCCCUCGCUACUCCAUUCACCACCACUUCAACCGACGAACACCUCGGCUGAUUUGCUUGGAUCUCUACACACACCCUUGCAAAAGAAAUCAUCCUCAUUUUCUCUGUGUGUUGGUCCACAUAGAGGGGUUUGCCAACGGUACUAGUGAUGGCACUUAUGGUCAGCGCCAACCAUAGAUCAAAGGGGAGAUUCUUAAGUUUGAUCCAUACCAGGACGAAAGAUUACUUGUCUUUCCUUAGCUCCAUCGCGACCUAAAUUUUGGAUGCAUCACCUAAGUUUAUGCUAAUGGAUUACUAAGUCUUUAAACUUAGCUCGGGCUCUCCUAAGCCCAUACCAAUUCGCGACUCAAAGUUUAAAUAUUUAACAUGCAAAUGAUUAUUAUCUAAGAGUCGCCACUGAUCGGUUUACGGUAGGUCGAUUAGACACCUAAGUAAAAUCAUGUGAGAUUUACUUUACUCCUACGAACCAGAAAUUGUGACUUCGGGAACUUGGUUACGCUAGAUUUCUCUAAUGCCCUUUCGGUACAUUUUCCUUUUUAUUUUAAAAAAAUAUUUUGCAGGCAGCUUAAUUUGAUUUUAAUUUACCUCCCUAACAAGUGAGGUGAUCAUGCGGAUAUGCAAACCAUUAAUUUAGCACUCAAGAAAGCAAAUGAAUAAAUUGCAAAACUUACCUCAUAGAAACGAAAGCAUUUGCAAUGUUAGAUUAGAAUUCACAUCGACAAUCCUAGAUAUGAUUUCUAAUUAACACACAAUCACUCAAUUUUGGUUUUCACUUUUUUUUAAUGAGAAUCAUGUAAUGCAUGCUACUAAUUUAAUAUGAAAUGAUAUGGCAUGGCAAUAUGACCUAAACUAUAUAACAUGAAUAAGCAUGCAAUUUAUCCUAAAGCAUGAAAUGAAUUUAUUCUAAUUUUUUUUUUUUUGUAUUUUCCAUGAAAUUCGAAAUUAAACAAAUGCAACAAUUAAAUAUGCAAUCUAAUCAAAUGACCUAAUUCUAAUGAUGAACAAUUUCUAACUAAAUGAACCUAGCAACAAUCACUAGAUGACGAAAAUUUCAUAAACCUAAUCAUACAUGUCUGAUUUAUUAAACCUACAUGCUUUGAUGCAAGAUUUUGAUUUUUUGAUUUUUUUGAUUUUUUUAGUGCUUUUCCAAGACAAGUAAUUAUCAAAUAAACAUUAAAUCUAAACAAUCAAGAUAUUCAACAAAUAAAGGAUUAAAAUAAUCGAAAAAAUAAUCCGUCAUCCCACGGGUUAAAUUAACAAUUACUCUAACUCUAAACAUCACGGCAUAGAGUUCAAAAUAAUUAAAAAUCUGAUUCGAAGUCUUAUGGAUCAAAUUAAUAAUUAUAAUGAUCAACAAAUCCCAAAAAUUAAUAUAAUUAAAAAAAUGAUUCGACAGCUUACGGAUCAAAUUAAUAAUUACAAUAAUUUUGAGUAAAACCCUUGAGGUUAAUGUCUGUAAUAUCCAUAAACUGAAAAUCACCUCUCAAUAUUCAAACUGGACAAUGAUAAAUAAAAUAAAGUAAGAUAACAUAAAUGAAAAAUAAAACAAAAGUAAAAAUAAAAAUAAAAAUAAACCACCUAAGGGAUUUUGGAGGGGGAGAAGUAGCGGUGAUCGGCGCCGGACGGAGGGUGGCCGACGUUGGAGCUCCGGCGGGGACUGGCGGCGGUGCGGCGUCUGGCACGGCUAGCGAACGGCGACGAUGAGGCUGGCCGAAGACACGACAUCAGCGGAAGCAAGAGUACAGUUGUCGGGCACAGGCUGCUGGCUUCGCACACUGGGUCGCGGCUGAGGCUGUGCGACCGAUUAGUGGAGACGGCGCAGGCGUCGGAUGUUUCCCGGGGACGACGAGCGGCGAGAUCUGGUUCAGAUCUAGUGGAGAUCCUGCAGGCGGUGAUGGCGCGGUGAACAGAGGGAUGGCGUCGGGCUCCGAGCAGGAGGCAGGUGAGGCGGAAAAUGAUGGCAGCGGCGUCGUAGGGACUCACAGGCGUAGCACGGCGAUGCUGGUCUUCGGGGUAAUGGUGUCAGGCGUCACGGAUCAGCAAGGCGGAGCGGCGAGGCAGAACAAGGACUGAGGCACGACGGAGCGGGGGGUUGCUGCUUCUGGUGUUGGGCUGCAGCUACGUCAAUCGAAGGCGGAGGUUGGCGGAGCGUCGAGGCAGCAGCAGUAGGCGGAGGCCGAGUGAGGCAGCAACGUCUGUGGCAAGAUGGAGCAGAACAGAAGCGAUCAGGGUUCGGCGUUCGGGGGUCACUGGCGAACGGCGGUGGCUUGCGGUGGCCAGAUGUAGGCGCGGGCGACGAGCGUAGAGGAGUUGGCACCGGCGACCGUCGGGACAGCGUCCGGUUGCAAACGCAGGCAGCAAGGGUGAGGAAGACGAUGAACAGUAAACGUCCCCUCACCCCCUGCCGAUUGUACUUUUCUUCUGUUUUUUUUUUUUUUGUCUCUUCCCUUUUCCCUUUUCACUUUUCACUUUUUGUUUUUCAUCUUUGGUCGACCAAAAGAAAACCCUAUAAAAGCCCCCAAAACCCUAUUCGUUUUUUCUUUCUAUAGGCCACGAGUUAGGAUUUUAAUCUUUCAAAAUCCAUGUCCAUAAAGAUUUUUUCCAAAUGUAAUAUUUGAUUUUCCGAACGCAAUAUUUUUUGUCACAUCUACCUUAUCCAAAAAAUUUCAUCAUAUCCCGAAAAGAUUUCAAAUCCUUAUUUUUCACGAAAUAAUUUUUUAUCAUAAAAAAAGGGGCUUGGGCCAAUUCGCUCGCUUCGUGGGCUUAGUCCGGCCUUUCAAUUUAAAGCUCAAAACCACUAAUUCGAACCCAUGCACCACCGGUCCAAUAAAUAAAUGCAAAAAAUGCAAAUUAAAAAUGAAUGCACCUAAAUUCUUACCUUUUACCAAAAAUAAAAUAAAAAUAAAUGCACCUAAAUUUAUAUGCUAUGUAAUUAAUAUUUUUUCAGGGAUAAAAUUAACCCCUAAUUUUUUAAUGUAAUAAAUGACUAAACGGGUCGCAAAAAUUUAGGUAUCAACAGCUGCCCCUCUUUGAGGUAAGCUCACAAAGGUUGCCUUCAAAGACAAAUUGAGACAUAAAUUUUGACCACGCACAUGCACUAAAUGAUUUUUUUUUUUGGUCGGUUCAUAAUGCAAUUUAUAUGAUGCAUGGGAAUGCUAAUGCAAAUACAUGAUGCGAUAGGAAAGAACAUACCUACAGUUACUUACCAAUCAAUGCGGUAGAGCAUCUUGAGGUACAUGAUAAAUCCCCAUUUACACCACAAGUACCCAACUCUCACCUAAGUUCCUUGAAAAGUGCAACAGGUAAUAGAUUGAGACAUUGAGAUUCAUCCAAAGUGAAAUGUUCAACCAAAAGAAUAGAAACAUCCAAAUAUAUACUGAGAUGUCAAGAUUUUUUAACUCGAAAUACCUAGAUUCAAACUAAGGUAUAACAAGGAAGCUCGAAAAACAUUCACAUCUAAAGUGAAAUGUUUAACGAAAAGAAUUAAGAAAUCCGGAUCCAGACUGAGAUGUCAAGAUUUUGUGCUCGAAAUACCUAGAUCCAGACUAAGGUAUAAUGAGAAGGAUUGACAAACAUUCACAUCCAGAGUAAUGUUUGAAUGAAAAUAAUCAAGACAUUUAGGCCCAGACUGAAAUGUCAUGAUUUUUAAAGCUCGAAAUACUUAGAUCCAGUCUAAGUUAUAACGAGGAAGAUCGAAGAACAUUCACAUCCAGAGUGAAAAGUUCAACGAAAAUAAUCAAACAUCCGGGUCCAGACUGGAUGUCAAGAUUUUUGUACUCGAGAUACCUAGAUCCAAACUAAGUAUAACGAGAAAGGUCGAAAAAACAUUCACAUCCAAAGUGAAAUGUUUAGACGAAAAUAAUUAAGACAUUCAGAUCCAGAUUGAGAUGUCGAAAUUUUUGGACUCGAAAUACCUAGAUCCAGACUAAGGUAUAACGAGAAAGAUUGAAAAACAUUCACGUCCAGAGUGAAAUGUUUAACGAAAGUAAUUAAAACAUUCAGAUCCAGAUUGAGAUGUCAAAAGGAACCUACCUGGAAUAUCUUACCUUGAAGGAGGGUAGAGUGAUUCAAGAUAGUUGGUGUUACCUGUCCAAGACCCGUACCAUUCUACGGUCGCUCAGAAUAGUAACGAAGCUUUGUAAGGAGACCGCUUUCCUAGGACCCGUACCUUUCUACGGUCACCCAGUAUGGCAGCAAGAUUUUGUAAGGAAACUGCUUUUCUAGGACCCAUGCCUUUCUACGGUCACCUAGUAUGGCAGUGUUUAGGUUGUGUUUAGGACCCGUACCAUUCUAUGGUCGUCUAAACUGGGAUUUACCUUCUAGGACCGAUACCGUUCUACAGUCGCCUGAAUAGGGAAAUAAAUGUUAUCUAGGACCCGUACCAUUCUACGGUCGCCUAAACGGGGACUCACUUUGCAGGACCCGUAUCAUUCUACGAUCACCUGAAUAGGGGAAGAAAUAUUAGCUAGGACUCGUACCAUUCUAUGGUCGCCUAAACGAGCACUCACUUUCCAGGACCCGUACCAUUCUAUGAUCACCUGAAUCAGACUGAAUCUGGAGAAAAAUAUUUGGGGACAACUCAAUCGAGUGUCGAUUAAAAGGGACUCUAGGCUAUGAAUGCACGCUAGGUCAAUAUAAAGAGAGACACCGGGCUAUGGAAGCACGCUGGGUCGAUGAAAUGGACUCUAGGCUACGGAAGCAUGCCAGGUCAAUAUAAUGGAUACCGGGUUACGGAAGCACGCCAGGUCGAUGAUAUGGACGCUAGGCUACAAAAGCACGCCAUGUCAAUAUAAAUGACACCAGGCUAAGGAAGCACGCCGGGUCGAUAUAAGGGACUUUGGGCUACGAAAGCACGCAGGUCAAUAUAAAGGACACGGGGCUACGGAAGCACGUUGGGUCGAUGAAAUGAACACUGGACUACAAAAGCACGCCGGGUUAAUAUAAAAUGACAGCUUGACCGAGUCAAGUGUCAAGAAUACCCGUACAAUGACAAGUAUUUAGAGUAUAGGUAGAGAUAUACUUACGUGGUGAUAUCUCUAAUUUUUAGGGAUAUGUCUUCUGGAACUUAGAUAUCCUGUGGAGGCCUCUCACCUCCUGGUAGAAAUAAGUUUUAGAACAUCGAGGAUGCACCUGUGAAAGUUUCUCAUCUCCUAAUAUCACGAGACAUUCUGAAAGGAACCUGAAUGUCAAGGGCUCUUGGGUCUUUGAGAAAACAUUAUCUGCCAGACAUGAUUAGAGCAAACAUGCAUUCACCAAAGAAAUAAGUAAUUAAGACUAUUUUGGACUGCAUACUUCAAAAUUCACUAAAGUUUUUAUCAAUUUAAUCAAGGUUCAUGCAUAAUGACCUUUGCAUCACCCAAAUUUCCACUAGAGAGAAUUAUCAUUCAAGACAAUUUUCACUCAUGACAUAGAUUUUCUAAGAAUACUAAAUGAGAGACUUUAGGUUAGAAAGGACUUUCACUCACUCUCAUUCAAAAUGGCUAUUUUUAAGAGAAUCAUUCCAUCUCAUCAUAUCGACAGGGGUUCGAGUAUUCUCGCAAGCGGUACGACCUUACCAAUCUGAGGGGUCUUUAAUAGGGACCAUAAGGUGAGCUUGGUCAAUGGCUUGAACAUGGACUCUUUGAGUCAAGGCUAUUGAAAGAAUAAUCCUAUAAUCAUCUCCGGGUUUACAAGUCAAGAACCCUGCAAAAUGAGAAAGAAAUAAUCUGCCCGCACUUCUUCAAGCGAUACUUAUAAACAUAUGAAUUCCUACGUUAAUUCAAGUGCCCUAAUCAGAAGAGACUUUGCAAGGGACGUAACGUAGGUUGGGUUCAUGGGUUGAGAAACGAAAGGAUCAUUAGGCUCAAAGAUGUGUAAAGGAUGAGAGCAGAUGAUCAUCUUGGCAUUGCCACCAAUUUUUUUUCACUAGGGAUUGUCUUGGCAAUGUGCUCCACUAACUGUAAAAGCUCGGUAUUUGUGGUCUUUGAACGCUGCUCCAUGAGGGAUGCAACCUUUUACAAUUGAUAGUCACCUCUCUCGACUUUUUCUUUUUCAUUUUCAUCUAUGGGCAUCAGCCUUGCUUUUACCAGGCACAUCGUUUUUUCAUGCCCCUAGUUUUCAUGCAUUUCCUUCACUUCUUUUUCAUGGGCAUUGGCCUUGCUUUUACCAGGCACACUGUUUUUUCAUGCCCCUUAGUUCUAUUUUGAUUUCAAUUCUUGCGCACAAUGCACACUUCAAGGAAUUAUACUUUAAAUGACACUCAAACUUUCAAAGGUCUUCAUCUGUCUCUUGCCUUGCCCCAGUGUGGGGGAUGAUCAUCAACUGGGUUUAAAAGAAACGAAAUUGUAGGCUCAAGUGGGCUAUGCAAAGGAUAUAAGUGUAUAGGAUAGAGAAAGAAAUGCUCUUUGUCAUCCUAAGGCAUUUAAAUUAUCACAUGAAUUCAACGUAAUAGCAUGACCUGAAGAUUGAUGCAAGUGAGAGCAUGAAAAUUUCUUUCCAUUUUCCUCAUCUCAUGAUGUCAUUUUACCUCCCAAUUGCCCCAAUGUGGGGUGGUUCUUGACAUGGGUAAUUUGAAAAAAUUCCUAUAAGUGUAUAGAGCUCAAAGAAGUUAAACAAUGGAUCACCUAUAGUGUUUGGGAUAGAGAAAUAAAUUGCCCCUCAUCAUUUUGGUUAUCAUACAUUUUGCGAGAAAGCUCUUUACCUCGUGGAUACAAACUUUCCUACACUCACCUCACAAGUGUAUGAGUAGAGGACUGUGUUUAGGAUAGGGUUUGCCUUUCAUCAUCCCGACUCAUUUCAUUUAGUAUACUCAAUUCAAUUCCACAUCAUUCAUUAAAUUAGUCCAUCUUGAUGUUCUUUAGUGGAAUUGGUGGAUAAAACAUGUAAGAGUCAUCAUGCAAAAUCCUUUUUUUUUUAAAGAGCCUAGCAGCUUUAAGCAUGAAAAAUUGUCAACUUCAAAAUAGAUAGUUUUCCACACUGCAAAAUGGUUUUAAGCAUUCACUCAAGGAUUCCUCUACAAUGGGAUUGCAUCAGCAGUUGAUGUCUUUGGAUUGUCCCUAUCAUUCAAGACUGAAAAUCCAUUUUUGCCCCAGGAUCUGUCAUGCCCCCAAUCUGUCACAUUAGCACUUUAGAAAUGUGUCCUUGACAGUUAGGCCAAUUGCAACCUUGUGUGCCUUUUUCAAAUGCCUUUUCAUCAGACCAAGAAAGUAAUGCUUUGAAACAUGAAGUAAAUGAAUCAGAAAAUUAAGCAGGACUAACCUAAUGCAUGCUUUUGGAAAUGGCUUCAAAAAUGAUUUUAUUUUAUACAUUUUUUGAUGAGGAAUCAUGAAGAAACCCAGUUCUCAGGAUUUCUCCAUAGAUAAUAUUUUCCUUUCAUGAUUGGAUAUUGUCAUUGGACUGGUUUGGUAUACCCCAUCAUAUCUUCAAAACAAAACUUGUAAUUUUUUUUAUAUUCAUCAAUCAAAUUACAUUUAUUGGAAUGAAAAAUGUGAUAUUCAAGCAUUAGAAGAAAUUGAAACAAAUCCUUGAAAAGCAAUAAAAAUUCCCACGUAGGUGCAACUGAACAUGCCCCUAAUUAAAUAAGGAAAGCGAUCUACUUAAGACCAUAAAUCAUGUGUGCUUGAGUUCUUCACCCUCCUUGAUCUUGUGAUGCAAACCCUCCAGGUCGGAGAUUCUUCCUUCUAGAUAUGUCACUAGUCUCUUCAUGGUGGCAUCAAAUUCAGCUACCUCAGGAAAAUGAGACGAUUCAAAGGUUCUUUUGGCUCUCUUCUUCGAGUCGCAAUUUCUCACUGAAGAUAGAGUACCUAUGUCAUCACAGCCCUUUUGCUUGAUGAGAAAAGCCACAGUAGCAGACAAUUCAUCGACUUGACUUUGGAGGUGUGCAAUUCGCUUGUUCAUAUUGUUAAUGAUAUGGUCCAGCACAUCGUUUUGAUCUGCCAUUUGAGCUCUCGACCGUGUAAAUAGAGAGCUAGUCCAUGACGGCAAUCUAAUCGAUUUUUUCAUUUUUUUUUUAAUUUAUUCAUGAAAAGUCUGUGCGAGUUCGCUCCAUAAUUACCUAAUUCAAAUAAAUGGGAACACGUAAGCAUGGGGUGUAAAUAGAGAGUUAGUCCAUGACGGCAAUCUAAUCGAUUUUUUCAUUUUUUUUUUAAUUUAUUCAUGAAAAGUCUGUGCAAGAAAGGAAUUUCCUAAAAAUAACUAGAAAAAUAAAAAUAUGACACCCUAGCAAGAACUAAAUUUCCUAAACAAGAAUUAAGAAAGGCCAAAAUUUGAAACUCCCUAAUGAGAACAAUAAAUACAUGAAUUGAAAAUAAAUUUUCCAAAGUUUUUGUUAUUUUCCAAAUGAUCCAUUGCAGGGCAAUUUCCUCAUUUCAUUUAUAACUGACAAAUGAAUUAAAUCAAUGAUUAACCUAGAUUGCCAUGGACCGACCCAAAAGUAUGACAAAAUGAAUUACAUGAUAUAGGGAUAGAAGACUUACUUCACCAAAGAAAAUCAAUGACAAUCACAUAGACAUGCACAUAAGAUCUGAGGCUCGAUUUCUACCUAGACCGCUUAACAAAGUGGAGCUAAGAGGAUGAUCUGACCGUUGCAAUCUCGCAUUAACGUGUUAGGUCCUCCUAAAUCCGGCUCAGUCAAAUGGAAUGCUCAAUAGUCACGCAGUUUCGCCGAUAUGGACAAACACAUUCGACACCAUGAAAGAAAUUUCGAGGAAGAAAAAAAAGAAAUUUCGAGAAAGUCAACAUCUACAUAGCAAUCUCGCUUUGGAGGAAGUAUCAUUCUCAAUACCAUCCUAGAAAUCCUAUCGCAGCCCAAGUCCGACCGCAGGUUGUGUGUGCAAUAGUGUAAUGCUAAAAGCAAUAGAACAUACACAACAGCUUAAAUGCAAACAACACUUCUAUAGUUUUAAUUCAAACAUUCAUCCCUAAUUCCAACCUGCAGGACAGGGGUUAGCAAAAACUACUCCCCUUAUACCUUCCAUUUGCAAGAACAUUUAACAACUUAGAAAUGUUAGGGAUGUACCUGGUGUCCUUGCUGCCAAGUAAAAAUGUUUUUAAAAGAAAAAAAAACUGGCCUAAGUCCACUAAGUGUUUUAACACAAGUCUCCAGCGGAGUCGCCAAGCUGUCGCGACUUAAAUUUCGGGUGCACCACCUAAGUUUAGGCUAAUAGAUUACUAAGUCUUUAAACUUAGCUCGGGUACUCCCAAGUCCAUACCAAUUCGCGACUUAAAGUUCAAAUAUUUAACAUGCAAAUGAUUAUUACCUAAGAGUUGCCACUAAUCGGUUUAUGGUAGGUCGAUUAGACACCUAAGUAAAAUAAUGGGAGAUUUACUUUACUCCUACGAACUAGAGAUUGUGAGUUUGGGGACUUGGUUACGCUAGAUUUCUCUAACGCCCUUUCAGUACCUCUUCAUUUUUAUUUAAAAAAAAUAUUUUGCAGGUAGCUUGAAUUGAUUUUAAUUUACCUCCCUAACAUGUGAGGUGAUCAUACGGAUGCGCAAACCAUCAAUUUAGCACUCAAGAAAGCAAAUGAAUAAAUUGCAAAACUUACUUCAUAGCAACGAAAGCAUCUGCAAUGUUAGAUUAUAAUUCACAUCGACGAUCUUAGAUAUGAUUUCUAAUUAAUACACAAUCACUCAAUUUUGGUUUUCACUUUAUUUUAAUGAGAAUCAUGUAAUGCAUGCUACUAAUUUAAUAUGAAAUGAUAUGGCAUGGCAAUAUGACCUAAACUAUAUAACAUGAAUAAGCAUGCAAUUUAUCCUAAAGCAUGAAAUGAAUUUAUUAUAUUUUUUUUUUGUAUUUUCCAUGAAAUUCGAAAUUAAACAAAUGCAACAAUUAAAUAGGCAAUCUAAAUUAAUCAAAUGACCUAAUUCUAAUGACGAGUAAUUUCUAACUAAAUGAACCUAGCAACAAUCACUAGAUGACGAAAAUUUCAUAAACCUAAUCCUACAUGUCUGAUUUAUUAAACCUCCAAGCUUUGAUGCAAGAUUUUGAUUUUUUAAUUUUUUUAAAAUUUUUUUAGUGCUUUUCCAAGACAAGUAAUUAUCAAAUAAAAAUUAAAUCUAAACAAUCAAGAUAUUCAACAAAUAAAUGAUUAAAAUAAUCGAAAAAAUAAUCCGUUAUCUCACGGGUUAAAUUAACAAUUACUCUAAUCCUAAACAUCACGGCAUAGAGUUCAAAAUAAUUAAAAUCUGAUCCGAAAUCUUACGGAUCAAAUUAAUAAUUAUAAUUAUUUAACAAUUAAAAUACUAUCAACAAAUCUCAAAAAUUAAUAUAAUUAAAAAAAUGAUCCGACAUCUUACGGAUCAACUUAAUAAUUACAAUAAUUUUGGGUAAAACCCUUGAGGUUAAUGUCUAUAAUAUCCAUAAACUGAAAAUCACCUCUCAAUAUUCAAACUGUACAAUGAUAAAUAAAAUAAAGUAAGAUAACAUAAAUGAAAAAUAAAACAAAAGUAAAAAGUAAAAAUAAAAAUAAACCACCUAAGGGAUUUUGAAGGGGGAGAAGUAGCGGUGAUCGGCGCCGGACAGAGGGUGGCCGGCGUUGGAGCUCCGGCGGGGACUGGCGGCGGUGCGGCGCCUGGCACGGCUAGCGAACGGCGACGAUGAGGCUGGCCGGAGACACGGCAUCAGCGGAAGCAGGAGUACAGUCGUCGGGCGCAGGCUACUGGCUUCGCACACUGGGUCGCGGCUGAGGCUAUGCGACCGGUGAGUGGAGACGGCGCAGGCGUCGGAUGUUGCUCGAGGACGACGAGCGGCGAGAUCAAGUUCAGCCUCAAGAGCACCCUUUACACGCAGGCUUGGACCGCGGCCCUUGUUUGUUCUCAACAGCGACAGUGUUGGGAGCCACUUCGGGAGAUAUGGCCUGAUUCGGAGUAGCAGGUCACACUAACGCAUUGCGAGAGGAGGGGCUAAGACCCUUAACCUUACCAACACCAGGCUGGGCCUCAUUUGAGAGGCCACCCCCAUCAGCGAAGUGGAUACCAUAACGCAAAAGAAACCUCCCACAGCCCAAAACGCAUCCUACAGUACAGACUUUGCAGGGAAAGAAGCCAUAUCAGGGCAGAGGCUAUUACGGGAUGAGGAGGGGUGCUUAGGAGUCAACACAACCACCGCUAAGUCUUCACCACAACACUGGCACCCCGCACGAACAGAACCAAGGGAGAAAACCAGCAGUGGAUCGGCCGAGAACUAGGGUGACUUCGAUCUCCUCUUUUGGGGCAAAACAGAACAAUCCACUCGGUGAGGUUCCAGAGGGAAGCCAGAAGAAGGAGCCCUCCAAAAUUCGAGCCAAACCAGCGGCUACCAAAGCCGGGAUGAGCUGGAAACUAGACAAGAUGAACAGGGAGAAAAUCGCACCCUAGAGAGAAGAUGUGAUUAGUAUACCGAGAAUGCACAAAUGGCCAACCCUAGAUAGGGGAUUUCUUUGAGCUGCUCAUAAGGAAGUUUCCAAUGGUAAUUUGUGCAAAUGAUAUGGCAUUUUCUUUGUGAAAAUGUAAGUAUUUCGAGCAGUGAGAUAAUUCUAUGCGAGGCUAAGGAUUAUGGGUUUGGAUAUAAUUUAGAUAUAGGAAACACUCAAGUGAAGUAUGUAAGUAAUUGUAACUCUGUACUUGUACGAUUGAUUCGUGGAUUAUUUACUGCUGACUCUCCCUGUGAAAUAGGUACCGACACUCAGACUGAAUCACGUAAAUCUCUCAAUUAGUGAUCUUCUUCCUCUCACCAUUUUACUUCAAGUUGCUCAACUUUUUUGCGAUUCAAUGGUCUUCUUCCUCCCAAGCUUUCUCAUUGUUCUUCUUUUAGAUUUUAAUAUUUAUUUAUUCAAGCUCUUAUCUUUUAUCAUAAAAAAAGCACUUGUUUUGCUUUUCAAGAUUAUGUUGGCCAAAUAGGAUGUGACAUGGGGUGCUAGCAAGACACUUAACAGUAUUUUAACAGCACCGUUAGGAUAGGAUGAACUAGAAAUAAAAACAUAAUAUUUAGGGAUCUUAGUGCUCACAAGAAAAUGUUGAAAGAUCUUAUUGAACAAUUUAAAACAUUUCAAAGGCCUCCGAUGCCUUUAUUCCUCUCUUUUAGUGGGGAAAUUUCCGUCUUUUAGUCAAAGAAAGAUCGGGGGGUUGAUUGGUUCUCCUCAGCAGAUCAGUUCUCAAGUUUAAUUUUGGGAGACUUUCGGGGUGUCGAAUCACACGGGUUAUUAGAAAAUUGAUAGUGGUAGGGCUAAUUUUCUCUCUUUUUUCCUUUUCGAAAUGAUAGUGGCUUACUUUGUUAGAAUGAGACGACGGACUUUUGCGCAGCGGCAGUUGGUUUCUUUGUUCUGUCCGAAAUUAGUGGACUUUACACGCCGACCCCCAUGCACCAUCCGCGUGAUAUUUCUUGUUGUGAACAUUUUAUUUGCUUGAACCUUGUCCUCAGUUAACAUCGAAAGUGUUUUGUCGACUGGACUCUAAAUAGUUCGAGUACUGCUUGUUGCACAGAGAGUUGGAAAAGCAUGACAUUUGCCGCAGCAUUACAUUUAAAUAGUUCAGGGUGCAGACACCUAAUUUUGUCACUUGAAUGUUUUUCACUAAUGCACGCCGACUGACCAUGACCUCAAUUGGAGAUUCAUGAGAACGCUCCUAAAAAUCAUCCGAGCGGUCUAAUAGCUCAAGAUUAUCGCAAUUCUCUGGCGACAGAAAGAUUGCCGUGUCAAUUGCCGACAGCGUCAUCAGAUUGGAUCUUUGAUAUCACGGUUUCUUGUGCCAAACAAACUCAAAUCAAUCCCCUUCAGACUGAAAGUGAAGUGAACUUAGCAUGGCCAGCUCGGUUUUAGUCCAGUUUAAGAUCAAAAUCGAUUCAGAAUUUUGUCUGGGUGGAGAGACCUACCGUCUUUUGUCUCUAAUUUCUUCUUAUAGCCAAUUUUGACUCGUGAUAUCUGUCGCGACCUAAAUUUUUCAGGGCAAUCCUAAAGUUUAGGUUAAUGGAUUACUAAGUCCGAAGACUUGGCACGGAUCCUCCCAAGUCCUACCAAUCGCGACUUGAUGUUAAGAAAUUUAAACAUGCAAUUAUAUUCAAUUUGGAGCAGCCACUAAUCAAUUAGGGUUGAUUAGAAACUCAAAUAAAGCAUGGGAGAAUACUUUAUUUUUACGAACCAGAGAUUCAAUGAGUCCGGGGACAUGAUUACGCUAGAUUAGUCUAACGCCCUUUCGGUACCUUUUAUUUUAAUUUCAAAAAUAUUUUGCAGGCAAUAUUUGAUUAAUUUUAACCUAAGUUACUAACAUGCAAAUGGUGGUCAUGCGGGUGUACGAUUAAUAACAUUCAAUAAAAAAUGCUAAUAAAAAUGCAUGCUCUAAACAUGAUUUCUAAAUGACAAGCCACCUAAUUUUUCUUUUUUUUUUCUUUUAAAAAAAAUGUUAAUUAUAUGCAAUCUUAAUCUAAAUUUAAUAUGCAUGGAUUUAUUUUAAUGACAUGCGAUAUGCAAUUCAUAUGGUAUGACUUAAACUUAUCACUAUAUGUAUGCAAUCUAAUUUUUAUUGAAAUUCGAAAUUAAUAAUAAAGAAUAAGUAAACUAUCUAAAGUGAAUAAUAUUCUAAUUUAUUUUAGGAAUAAAUUUAACUUAAACUAUAUCUUAUCUUAAAAGCUAUAUAAGAAAUCAAGACAUGCCAACAUUAUUUAAAAUUAGCCCUAACAAAAAUCACCCAUCUAAAAGUAUAAUCUAAAAAUUAUAAUUCUAUAAAUGCAAUUCUAAUUUACUAACCCUAAAAAUACAGUCCUAAUUUACUAAAUCUAAAUGCUCCAAUGCAAUAUUUAGAAUUUUAUGCACUUUUUGAUUUUUUUUAAUCUUUCCAAAUAAGUAAUUAUUUUAAAAGAAAUAUGAUAAGAAUUAAAAUAACCGAAAAAAAAAUAAUCCGUUGUCUCACGGAUUAAAUUAACAAUUAUUUUAACUCUAUAACGAUUUAAGGAUUGAAAUAUUAGUAAAAUUACUAAAAAUUAAAGUAAUUAAAAAAAUGACCCGACGUCUUACGGGUCAAAUUAAUAAUUACCUUAAUUUGAGAUAAAACCCCUAAUGUCUACAAGGUCUACAAAUUAUUGACAUACAAAAAAUUGCAAUUCAAAUAAUUAAACUAAAAAAAUAAACAAAAUAAAGUAAAUAAAAAAAAGAAAAUAAAACUACCUAAUUUCUUUUUCUUUUUUUUCUUUUGUUUUUUCCAUUAUUCUUUUUCCUCCCAAGAGACUUGGGCGUAGCAGUGGCUGCUCACCGUUGGGCACCAGUCACGGUUGUCGGAUCUCCGGCGAGGAUCGGCAAUGGGUGAAUCGGCGGCGAGCGGUCCGGCGGCAACAGCAAGUCGCGGGUGUCGGUUCGGAGGAGAGCGCGGCGUCGGGAGGAGCUCGAGUCGGUGGCGUCGGGUGUCGCCCGGGAGGGCAGCACGGUGACCUGCAGAAGGGACAGAAGCGCGCGGUGAUGGGCACUGCAGAUUGCGGCAGGUCACAGGUGUCGGUUCGGAAGGGGGGCGCAGCGUCGGGAGGAGGGUGCGGCGUCGGGUCGUCGCGGCAACGGUGCGAGAUCGGGCACGGCAGCAGCAAUCGUCGGAGGAACAAAAAACUGCCUGCGUCUCUGGUGGCUCGGAGGCCGACUGAGGGUGGUUCAGAGAGGAUCUGCUGGCGGAGCGACGGUGGCGCGACGAUGACCGGUUGAAUCGCGAACCGGCGGGUUGCAGGCGAAGCGAAGGGAGCUGCUGCAGGUGUCGGCGGUGGGGCUGGAAGUCACGGCGUGACUGGCGGAGCAGCGGUGGCGGAGGCGAGCAGUGCAGCGAGGUAGCAAGACGCAGAUGUGGCUGGCGUUGCGGCGGCGCGGGUGGCGCAGGUGCGGUGGGCAACAGCGGGCACCGGUGGCUUUGGAGAAGACGGACUGUAGCCCCUUUUCUUUUUUUUUUCUUUUUUUGUUUUUCUCCCUGCUCUUAUUGCUCUUUGUCUUUGACUCUUCUCUCUCGUGUAUUUUUUUUUUUUCUCUCUCUCACCUGUCUCUCUCACGUCACUUCCCAUUGUUUUCUCUCUGCACCUUUCUUCUGACUUUUCCUUCAGCAGAUUUUCUUUAAAGGCAUCAACGAAAAAGCCCUGAAAAACCUUCCAUUCUUUUCACCUCUUUCGAACCCCGAGAAACCCCCGAACGAUAGAAUUUUUGCUCUGAAUUUUUUUCGAAUUUUUCCCCCCUCGGUUCCGAAACCUAGCAUUCCUUUUUAUAGAGGAAAGACUUGAAAUUGUUGAAGAUCCGGCGAUAUUCACUCAACUUCUUCAACAAAGAAAUGGCUCCAAAAAUCAAACGAAUAAUUUUUUUAAAAUUUUGAAAUGAGAAUAUAUUUUCAACAACAAAGAUUUUCAAAAAUCGAAUUUUAUUUAAUUUAUUAUUUUUUAAAAUAUUAGGUGUCAAUAGCUGCCCCUCUUUGAAGGGAAGUUCGUAGAGAUUUCCUUCAAAGAUAAAUGACACCUAAAUUUAAAUCAUCCAAAAUGAAUAUGCAAAUGCUAAUUGUAAUGACCUUUUUUUUUUUUUUAAAGAAAUGGACUCAAAUAAAUGCGAUGUCAUGCAAUAAAGAAUGCCAUGUAAAUGCAAUGAUUUGGUCAAGAACAUAUAUUUCAAUGUGUCUAUGCUCAAUGAAAUGCAAAAUGCAAAAUGAAUGCAAAAUGAAUAUGGAAUGCAUAUGUAAAUGUUAAUGACCUCUUUUUCAAAUAAAUUUAAUUCUUUUUGAAAUGCAAGGUCAUGCAAUAAUGCAAUGUAAAUGCAAUGAUUUGGUCAAGAACGUAGAUCUCAAUGUGUCUAUGCUCAAUGAAAUGCAAAUGCAAAGAAAAACACGUACCUGUCAUACUUAUCUAGAGAUUCAAAAAAGUAUUAUCAGGUGUGAAAUGAUUCCUACAAGACCUGACAAACAUCUGGAAAUCUCUUCAGAUAAUUGAAAGGCUCAAAGUCUUUAGAGAUCUGGAACUCUCAUCAGAUCCCAAGCACCUGGAAUAACCUACCUUCAAGAAGGAUAGAGUAGUUCUAGGCAGUCGGUGUUACAUGUCUAGGACCCGUACCAUUCUACGGUCGCCUAAAAUAGUAACAUAACUUUACAAAGAAACUGUUUUCCCAGGACCCGUACCAUUCUACGGUCGCCCAAUAUGACAGUGUUUGAUUGUGUCUAGGACUCGUACCAUUCUACGGUCGCCUAAAUGGGGAUUUACCUUCCAUGACUCGUACCAUUCUACGGUUGCCUUGACGGAAAAUUGAUUUUUCAGGACCCGUACCAUUCUACGGUCGCCUGUUAGAGCAAUAAAUGUUGUUUAGGACCCGUACCAUUCUACGGUCGCCUAAAUCAAACUGAAUCUGAAGAAAAAUCUUUGGGGGAUUUGGGACUCUCAUCAAAUCCCAAGCACCUGGAAAUUGCAUCAAGUACUCAAAAAUUCUAAAUAUCUGGAAAUCACAUCAGACGCUCGAAAAGAUAAAUACUUAGAAGUCACAUCAAGCAUUUAAAUGUUUAAAUAUCUCGAGUUCACACUAGACAUUUGAAAAUAUUUUACUAAACAUCUGGAAAUCACAUCAGAUGUUUGAAAAGACAAAUACUUGGAAGUCACAUCAAGCAUUUAAAGAUUUAAAUAUCUGGAAUUCAUGCUGACAUUUGAAAACAUUUACUAAACAUUUGGAAAUCACAUCAGACAUUUGGAAAGACAAACACUUGGAAGUCACAUCAAGCAUUUAAGGGUUCAAAUAUCUGAAGUUCACACUAGACAUUUGAAAAUAUUUUAUAAAUGGGUACUUGGAAUUCUCAUCAAGCACCAAGAUGACUGAACAAACUCAGGGUUUCAAAGACAAUUUUUUGGUCUUUGAGGAAAAAUUCAAUGAUGGAUUUAUCAAGCUUUUACUGGAAAAAUUAUGACAAGGACAAUUUUCAGUUAUAGUGUGAAUCCCUUGAACAUGCUAAAUGAGACGCUUUUGGUGUGAAAAGGCUUUUUCACUCCCUCUCAUUUAGGAGGGGUUAUUUGUCCCAACCAUUGAUGCGGGAAUAUAUCACUCAAUCUUAUCAUCAUCUUGUCGACAAGAGUUCGAAUUUUCUUGCAAUCAGUACGGCCUUACUAAUCCGAGAGGACUUUAACAGGUACUGUAAUGUGAGCUUGGUCAAUGGCUUAACAAAGGGAUUCUUUGAGUGAAAGCAAUUGAAAGAACAAUUAUGUAAUCAUCUCCGGGUUUACAAGUCAAGAACCCUGCAAAAUGAGAAAGAAAUAAUCUUGCUCGCACUUCUUCGAGCAAUGCUUAAAACAUAUGAAUUCCUAUGUUAAUUCAAGUACCCUAAUCUGAAGAGACUUUGUAAGGGACGUAACAUAGGCUUGGUUCUUGGGUUUGAGAAACGAAAGGAUCGUUAGGCUCAAAGAUGUGUGUAAUGGGUAAGAGUUGGUGAUCAUCUUGACAUUACCACCAGUUUUCUUCGCCAUGGAUCGUCUUCUUGACAUAUUUCUUUAUUGGCUCAAGAGUUUAUCACCCGAUGCCAAUGAUUAUUCAACUGGACAUCUUUUCUCAACAUUUUUUCUUUUAAAAUCAUUUUCUUUGAUGAUGGGCAUCAAUCAGGCACACCGCUUUUUUCAUGCCCCCCAAUUCAUCAGUCAUUUCUCUUUUCUUUUCAUGGGCAUUGGCCUUGCUUUUACCAGGCACACUGCUUUUUCAUGCCCCUUAGUUCUAUUUUGAUUUCAGUUCUUACGCACAUGCGUGUGUCAAGUAUACCUUAAAUGACACUCGAAUCUUCAAGGGUCUUCAUAUGUCUCUUGCCUUGCCCCAGUGUGGGGGAUGAUCACCAACUGGGUUUAAAAGAAACGAAAUCACAGGCUCAAGUGGGCUAUGCAAAUGAUAUAAGUGUGUAGGAUAGUGAAAGAACGCUCUUCGUCAUCCUAAGGCACUUAAAUUACCACAUGAAUUCAAUGUAAAAGUAUAACUUGAAGGUUAAUGCAAGUGAGAGCAAGAAAAUUUCCAUCCAUUUCACUCUCCUUCAAUGUCAACUUACCUCCAUUUGCCCCGAUGUGGGGUGGUUCUUGACAGGGGUAGUAUGAAAGAAGUUCUUCAAGUAUUUAGGCUCAAAGAAGGGUUAAACAAGGGUUAACAAUAGAGAAAUGAACUGCCCCUCGUCAUUUUAAUUGUCGUACUUCAUGCAAGAAAACUCUUCAUCUUGAAACACAAAAUGUUUCUAUACUCACCUCACAAUGUAUAGACAGGGGACUGUGUAUGGGAUUAGGCUUGCCUUUCACACCUCAUUUACCAUGUUCAAGAAACUCGACAUCUUUCACUGAAUUAUCCAUUUUGAUAAAUUUCAAGUGGAAUUGACGAAUUGCACAUCAUGUGAAAACAUUCUGAAAUGAUAAAAAUGCCAUGCUCUAUUCUUGCACAUCAAAAGAUAAAGUUAAAGAUGUUAAGUGUCUGUGUCUUGCCCCUCUUUGCAAGGAAGCUCAUAGAGGUUCCUUAAAUGUGUGCAAGGAUGUACCUAAAACAUAAAGCAGAUAAUUAAAUGAAACAAACAGGGUAAAUUAGAUGCAUGCUGGAAGAUUAUUUUAUUUUGAAAUUUUUUUUCAAGGGAACAUGAAGAAGCCCAGCCUUCAGAAUUAGCUCCUUGCCAUUUUCUUUUUGGUAGGAUUUCAUCACAGGGCUAGCUUGGUAUACUUCAACAUGCCCUUAAAACAUGAAAAAUCUCCAUGCAUUUUAUUGGAUGAAAAGCAAAUUACAUUACUGAAAUGAGGGAAAUCCUAGAAUUGAAAAUGCAAAUAUGUAAAUACGGAAAGCGAUAAAGACUCUUGCGCAGAGGAGUGUCCUACUCUCGAGCUUCGUCGAUGGCAAACAAUUUAGUCAUUCCUUCGAAUGCGUCAUCAGAGCUCUCAAUCUUUGGAGGUGCAGGAUCAUCUAUGCCACCCCAUCCAUCUAGGAUGAUAUCCCGUGGGUCGAAAUAGGAGCUGGGAGGAGCCGAAUACUUUACAUAGUAAUCGAAUUUGCCACUUGGUUGCCCCAGAGUGUCCAUCACUUCUACUUCCUCAUGCAUCAUCUGAAACAUGGUGGGCUCAGCAUCAAAACCGAAAAUGGCAUUCACAGCUUCUGAGUGGUCAGGGAGUGGGUUAUUCUGGAUGUUCGGCUGUGCAUCGCGGAAUGAGACCACGUUGGCAUCCAAAAGAUUUUGGAUUUUAUGUUGCAGCGUAUAGCAAUCGUCAAUAGAAUGCCCUACCUCUCCCAUAUGAUAAGCACAUGUCUUGGACGGAUCAUAGUUGGGGAAUCGCUUGGGAUUAGGUCGCUUAGGCUCUUUAGCGAGUAAUCCUUUCUUCUGAAGGGUUGGCAAGAUCUUGGACAAUGCUUAGGAAGAGGCGUAAAUUGACGCCUGGAAGAGUUCUUCUGCUGGCCAAAGAAUGGUCGUGCUCCUCCCUGAUGGGUGUUUGGGGUAGGGCAAGGUGGUUGCACAUAAGCUGCAUUAACCUCCGCUACAAGUUCCUUAUCCUUCUUGGUUGAGACUCUUCCAUAUGAGCUGGUUUGAUCAGACGCCCAUCCAUCACGCAAUGCUACUUCAAUUCGCUCACCAAUAGGGAUUAGCUGAUUGAAUGACUCGGCAGUCGAUCCCAGCAUUCGAUUUCGAUACUCAGGCGGGAGUGUCUUCAUAAACAAAUCCAUCAGCUCCUUUUCUGUUGGCUCUGGAGUUAUUUGAGCGGCUACAGUCCUCUAUCUCGUGACAUAUGCCUUGAAAGAUUCCGUCCUCUUCUUCUCAGUGCGAAGUAAAUCUUCUCGAGAUGGAGUGACAUCAAUAUUAUACUUAUAUUGCUUAAAGAAGGCAUCUGUCAAAUCCUCCCAAGUCUCCAGCAGAUUAAUCUUCUUCAUGAUGUACAAUUGCAACGCCGGUCCCGUCAAGCUUGCUUGAAAUUGUUGAAUCAUCAAGGGGAUGUUAUCAACAUAUUGGGUCAUCCUGACCACAUAAGUCUACAGAUGGAUCUUUGGGCAAGAGGUGCCAUCAUACUUUUCAAAGUCUGGCAUUUUGAACUUCUUUGGUAUCUUGAUCUUUGCAUAAUGGGAGAGAUCAGUUGGGACUUGGCUAAAUGAACCCUGCAGCUGCUUGAGUUUCUCCUCAAUUUUUAUCAAGCGUUUUUCCUGUUCCGUCUUCGGUACAGCCGAGUGUAUCACUUGUACCUCCUCAUCAACAACAAUUUGAGGCACGUCAGUAAUUUUCUCUUUGGAGGAAUCAUCAGAGGUAGAUGGCCCAACUGCGGAUGUAUUCUUGCCUUUAUCUCUCGGAUCAGCUGUAUUCUUGCCUUUAUCUCUUGGAUCAACCAUGGGAGCCUGUUGUGAUAACACCACUUCAACUUGCGGAGCUGGUGGAGCAGUGUUUGCUUGGAGAGAAUCGAUUUGCUUAGAGAGCCGCUCAAGAACAUUCAUGACUUGUUUCAUCUCCGAUUCAAGGGCAGCAAUGCGAGCUUGUUCAGCCAUUGUUGCUCUAGAACGGGUACGGAUUGGCGAUCUUGGAUUAGCCGUGUUGUCACCUAACAAUGUAAAAUAAUGCAGUAAGUAUCAUAACAAAUGAGAUUGGUCCAUGACAACGGUCAAUCGCUUCAUUUUAUUUGAAUUUUGAAUAAAAUUUUCUAACUAAGAAUUGAAAUUCAAGUCCCUAAACAUUGAACUAAGAAACAAAAACAUCUCAUUUUAUAUGUUUUUGGAAGUAGAAAUGAAUUGUAUGUCGGUUUUCCCCAUCGUAUAUAAAAUAAGACUGACGACGAAACCUAAUGUCAUGGACCAUCGAAAUUGCAAGUAAGUAAAUUGCAGUAAUGAGAAUUUAAACAACUUACUUUCACUGGUAAUGGAUGACAAUCACAUAGACACAUGCAUGAAAUGUGGGGCUCGAUUUCUAUCUAGAUGGCUUAACAAAAUGGAGCUAAGAGGAUGAUCUGAUUGUUGCAGUCUCGCAUUAACGUGUCAGGUCCUCCUAACCCCGGCUCAGUCGAAUGAAAUGUCUAAUAUCACGCAGUCUUGCGGAUAUGGACAAACACAUUCGACACCAUGAAGAACUUUCGGGGAAGAGAAUGUCAACCUCUAUAUAGCAGUCUCGCUUUAGAGGAAGUAUCAUUCUCAACACCAUCCUAAGAAUCCUAUCGUAGCCCAGGUCCGGCAGCAGGUUGUGUGUGCAAUAGUGUAGUGCUAAAAACAAUAAAACAUGCACAACAGUUUAAUUGCAAACAACACUUCUAUAGUUCAACCAUUCAUUCUUAACUCCAACCUGCAAAACAAGGGUUAGCAAAGACUACUCCCCUUAUACCUCCCAUCUGCAAAAACAUUUAACACUUCGUGUUAGGAGCGUACCUUGUUUCCAUCCUGCCAAACAAAAUAUUUUUCUUAAAAAAAAUAAAACAGGCCUAUGUCCACUAUGAGUUUUAACUCUGUCCCCAGCGGAGUCGCCAAGCUGUCGCGACCUAAAUUUUUCAGGGCAAUCCUAAAGUUUAGGUUAAUGGAUUACUAAGUCCGAAGACUUGGCACGGACCCUCCAAAGUCCUACCAAUCGCGACUUGAUGUUAAUAAAUUUAAACAUGCAAUUAUAUUCAAUUUGGAGCCGCCACUAAUCAAUUAGGGUUGAUUAGAAACCCAAAUAAAGUAUGGAAGAAUACUUUAUUUUUACGAACCAGAGAUUCAAUGAAUUCGGGGACAUGAUUACGCUAGAUUAGUCUAACGCCCUUUCGGUACCUUUUAUUUUAAUUUCAAAAAUAUUUUGCGGGCAAUAUUUGAUUAAUUUUAACCUAAGUUACUAACAUGCAAAUGGUGGUCAUGCGGGUGUACGAUCAAUAACAUUCAAUAAAAAAUGCUAAUAAAAAUGCAUGCUCUAAACAUGAUUUCUAAAUGACAAGACACCUAAUUUUUCUUUUUUUUUUCUUUUAAAUUUUUUUUAAUUAUAUGCAAUCUUAAUCUAAAUUUAAUAUGCAUGGAUUUAUUUUAAUGACAUGCGAUAUGCAAUUCAUAUGGUAUGACUUAAACUUAUCACUAUAUGUAUGCAAUCUAAUUUUUAUAAUCCUAAAUAUGCAUGUGCUACAUGAUAUGGGAUGAAUGACAUGAUAUUUCUACAUGCAUGCUCUUUUUUGAUUUUAUUUUAAUGAUGAUUCAUUUUUAAUGCAUAUAUGCAACCUAUGCUAAAUAAUGAUGAUAUGAGAUUAAUUAUGAAUUAACCUAUUAACUAACCAAGGAAAUGAUCUUUUUUUUAAAUUUUUUUAAUGACAUAAUAUUUUUUAUUAAAAAGAAAACAACUUAAUGGUGCAAUGAUCAUCUUUUAGCAUUUUCUUUUUUAUUAAAAAAAACUAUAACUCAUAUGGCAUGCAUGACAUUUUUUGUUCAUCUUUUUGUUUUAUUAAAUGAAAAUUCACUUAAUCUAAAAAUAUCUAGGUAUGUUGCUUUAAUAUGAAAUGUGCAUGGACCUAAGUACCUAAGUUCUAGAUAUGACAAUAUUUUACUAAUAAACAAAUUCUAAUUAAACUUAUUAUGCAAAUUAACUAGCAUGUACCUAAUAUUUUUUGGAUUUUUUUUAUUGAAAUUCGAAAUUAAUAAUAAAGAAUAAGUAAACUAUCUAAAGUGAAUAAUAUUCUAAUUUAUUUUAGGAAUAAAUUUAACUUAAACUAUAUCUUAUCUUAAAAGCUAUAUAAGAAAUCAAGACAUGCCAACAGUAUUUAAAAUUAGCCCUAACAAAAAUCACCCAUCUAAAAGUAUAAUCUAAAAAUUAUAAUUCUAUAAAUGCAAUCCUAAUUUACUAACCCUAAAAAUACAGUCCUAAUUUACUAAAUCUAAAUGCUCCAAUGCAAUAUUUAGAAUUUUAUGCACUUUUUGAUUUUUUUUAAUCUUUCCAAAUAAGUAAUUAUUUUAAAAGAAAGAUGAUAAGAAUUAAAAUAACCGAAAAAAAAAUAAUCCGUUGUCUCACGGAUUAAAUUAACAAUUAUUUUAACUCUAUAACGAUUUAAGGAUUGAAAUAUUAGUAAAAUUACUAAAAAUUAAAGUAAUUAAAAAAAUGACCCGACGUCUUACGGGUCAAAUUAAUAAUUACCUUAAUUUGAGAUAAAACCCCUAAUGUCUACAAGGUCUACAAAUUAUUGACAUACACAAUAUUGCAAUUCAAAUAAUUAAACUAAAAAAAUAAACAAAAUAAAGUAAAUAAAAAAAAGAAAAUAAAACUACCUAAUUUCUUUUUCUUUUUUUUCUUUUGUUUUUUCCAUUAUUCUUUUUCCUCCCAAGAGACUUGGGCGUAGCAGUGGCUGCUCACCGUUGGGCACCAGUCACGGUUGUCGGAUCUCCGGCGAGGAUCGGCAAUGGGUGAAUCGGCGGCGAGCGGUCCGGCGGCAACAGCAAGUCGCGGGUGUCGGUUCGGAGGAGAGCGCGGCGUCGGGAGGAGCUCGAGUCGGCGGCGUCGGGUGUCGCCCGGGAGGGCAGCACGGUGACCUGCAGAAGGGACAGAAGCGCGCGGUGAUGGGCACUGCAGAUUGCGGCAGGUCACAGGUGUCGGUUCGGAAGGGGGGCGCAGCGUCGGGAGGAGGGUGCGGCGUCGGGUCGUCGCGGCAACGGUGCGAGAUCGGGCACGGCAGCAGCAAUCGUCGGAGGAACAAAAAACUGCCUGCGUCUCUGGUGGCUCGGAGGCCGACUGAGGGUGGUUCAGAGAGGAUCUGCUGGCGGAGCGGCGGUGGCGCGACGAUGACCGGCUGAAUCGCGAAUCGGCGGGUUGCAGGCGAAGCGAAGGGAGCUGCUGCAGGCGUCGGCGGCGGGGCUGGAAGUCACGGCGUGACUGGCGGAGCAGCGGUGGCGGAGGCGAGCAGUGCAGCGAGGUGGCAAGACGCGGCGGUGGCUGGCGUUGCGGCGGCGCGGGUGGCGCAGGUGCGGUGGGCAACAGCAGGCACCGAUGGCUUCGGAGAAGACGGACUGUAGCCCCUUUUUUUUUUUUUUUUUGAUUUUCUCCCUGCUCUUACUGCUCUUUGUCUCUGACUCUUCUCUCUCGUGUAUUCUUUUUUUUUUUUUUCUCUCUCACCUGUCUCUCUCACGUCACUUCCCCUUGUUUUCUCUCUGCACCUUUCUUCUGACUUUUCCUUCAGCAGAUUUUCUUUAAAGACAUCAACGAAAAAGCCCUGAAAAACCUUCCAUUCUUUUCACCUCUUUCGAACCCCGAGAAACCUCCGAACGAUAGAAUUUUUUCUCUGAAUUUUUUUCGAAUUUUUCCGCCCUCGGUUCCGAAACCUGGCAUUCCUUUUUAUAGAGGAAAGACUUGAAAUUGUUGAAGAUCCGGCGAUAUUCACUCAACUUCUUCAACAAAGAAAUGACUCCAAAAAUCAAACGGUUAAUUUUUUUUAAAUUUUGAAAUGAGAAUAUAUUUUCUACAACAAAGAUUUUCAAAAACCGAAUUUUAUUUAAUUUAUUAUUUUUUAAAAUAUUAGGUGUCAACAAUAUCUUAUAUGUUUCAGAUCCAAUUGAGGUGAUUAUUGAUGAUAUAUAAAACUCGUAGCUCCUAUUCUCGACUAACACCAUCUGAUUGAGAAAAUUACAUAACUCCUGACAUCAUCAAUACUGAAUGGCCGAUAUUUGGUGGAAUGAGUUCUCGAGAUGCAAUCAUCAUGUCUAAAUAAAUUGGUAUCAUCUGAAAGCUCUCCCCAGAUUGCAUCCUCUUAUAUCGUCCAUCAAAUUUUGAAACAAGUUAGGUCCCAGGUCAAUUUGGUCAAACCAUGAAAAUGUUAGGUGUAAAAUGAGAAUUUACACGUUCUUAAAGUUAUGCAAUGAUACAUACAAGUGGGGUCUGAUGAUGCUCACUGUACGUAGCGCCUCCAAACCAACGAAAAUUAUCUAGGUCUUUGUGGGCGGCUGCAUCUAGGCUUUUUCCCCCCCUUUUACGCUAACUUAUUUGAUUGGUAGGGUCCUGAUACCUUUAACUUAAAGCAAGGGAAAUAGAAUAUAUGAUGUGUGAAUUACCCUCUUGUUUAUAUUAUUACGUAGAUAUAUCCUAAGCAAUAAUCAAAAGUCAAGCUUUGUUACUAUAUAUGCUUUGAAAGAAUGUAACAAAGUUGGUAAUACUUGAUAUAAUGUGAUUUGCAUAUACUGAUGUCACAAAUUGAUGAUUGAUGGUCCGGACAUGCAUUUUUCAACCCCUUCAUAUGACCAAAAAAAAAAAAAUCUUUCUAACUCUGAAAGUUAAAAGAAAGAGAACUUUGCCCGACUAACUAAAAAUCAAUAUAUUCUUUAUUUUUUUCUCCUUUUGAAAAUUAUAAAACGAAUGUUGUAGAAUUUAAUUUCGCAUUACAAACGCAUGACAUUGGACUACGACUUAUGUCAUUUAUAGCUAGAUCAAACUUGCCAUUAUAGUGAAAUUGAAAUUGGAACUAUAGUUUCCUUAGCCCAAUUUAUUUGUAUUUUUCAAAGUUAUCUAAUAGAAUUAGAACAAAACAAGCGAGGGAAUUGCAAUGGAAUUGAUUACACGUAGUGCAAGUGGAGAGUUACUCUUUUUCUUUUAGUUAAUGGCACUGGUUGUGUGAGAACAAGUGCAAUAGAAGCCCUAAUGUUUUGAUGGUUGAUUAAUUAAGUCCUAAAUGCUUUGUUCUCAGUCAAUUGAGUUUUAAAUUUUUUGACAAAGAUCCAAUUAAGUACUAAUAUCAUUGUCAAUGACCUUGGACAGCUCUACUCUUAAAGAUUACUAUGAAAUGAAUCAUCAUUUUAACCACAUGAGAGAUAAAGCAUAUGAAUCUUAUCGAUCCAUGGUUAGAGAACUUUAUGUGAUUUAUUCUUGAUUAUUAUAAAAAAAAACACUUAAUUUUGUGAAAAACUAAAAUGACAUGAUUUUGCAAUGAGUUAAUUUAGCAGGGAAUUAGGACAGAAUUACAUCUUUUUCCAAUAAGGCUUAGAGUUCAAUUAACUAAAUGGGAUGUUUAACACACGAUCAACAACCAACCCAAAAGGCUUAGGGCUAUAUUGAGCGUCGUAUAUAAGUUAUGGCACUCAAAGUGGUUGAAAAAAAUAAUUAUAGCACUUGUGAUGUUAUUUUCCCCUUUGUCAUUCCCGAUCUACUUACUUUACUGGCAUGGUUCAACCUUGGAAGAUUACAAGGCUACUAGGUUUGGGAGAGAGGACUAGACAUGGAUGGAAAAACCUAAGUACGUACUUGACUCAUCUUGAAAAAAUGACAUAAAUGGUCCGCGAACUUUUCUUUAAUGUGCGAUGUCAUCCUAAAAUUUCAAUUUGUUUAAUGUGAUCUUUGAAUUUUGGUCCAAUGUGCAAUGUUGUCCCAAAAAUUUUAAUUUAUUCGACAUAGUUCCUAAACCAUUAAACAUGUUCAUAUAGUCUAAGGACUAUAUUGAACAUCUGCCAAUACUUUAAGAACCACAUUGAAUAAUUAAAAGUUCAAGGACGACGUUACAAAUUGAGCCAAAAUUUAAAGAUGACAUCGCACAAAUUAAAAGUUUAGGGAUGACAUUGCACAUUAAACCAAAUUUCAUUGACCAUUUGUGCUACUAUCCUACUCAUCUCUCUUAUCCAUUUUAACUUCAUGUUUUCGUUAUUUACCACAUAGCAUCACUGAAUGAAAACAACACGACCUCGUUUAUCUUAUCAUUUCACAUAAUCGUCUUUCUAUUUAGCUUGCCAAGAUGUCAUUAUAUAUAUAUCUAGUCAAUUCCCCCCUUCACUCUUGUUUGUCGUAGUGGGAUUGAUUAUCAAGCCAAAAGGUCUUUUCUCUCUCCCUUUCUCCCUCUUUUCUCUUCAUCAUCUUCUUCAACCUUGUUUGUCGUUGUGGGUUUCAUAUAUUCGCAACUACAUGUUCUUAAUCUAAGAAUUGUUUAUCAAGCCAAAAGGUCUUUUCUCUCUCCCUUUCUCCCUCUUUUAUUGUUAUUUUCUUACUUUUUCUUCUCUUUAGAUUUAGAUUUGAGAGCUAUCUUCUCCCGGUCUAAAUCUCAACUUGAGAGUUUGAACUCUUCCAAUCCAAUUUUAUAUGUGGGUGCUAUCCUCUUAUGAUAUGAAUAUGAGAAUUUAAUAAAUAUACUUUUGGGGAUUUGAUACCCUCUAUUCUCUGUGUACGGAUUCUCUGUCUUCAACUUCCAUGAUGAUAGCAGAAACUUUGGCGUCUCAUUGAAUCACAAAGAUUGUUCCUCCAGAUGUUAAAUAUGUGUUUGUUCAACCUAUUUUGGUUGUCUCCAUAAAACAAUGGUGUAGAGGAAGUUGAACCUAGGGGCACACCACCAACUAGUAACAUUGUAAUUAGUGGAGAAUGAAUUUUUGGCGUGUGCUCCUCACUAACAAAAACACAAGAUCCAAUUAUUGGCCACCGAUUAUUUUUCUCGACAAAUUCUUAUGGAAUAAGUAUGUGCUUAACUUUGCUGGUUUUCCGUUGAUCCUCCCUAUUUCUUGGAUUUGACUUUGCAUUUGAGUAUUCUUUCUCAUAAAUAUGCUUUUGAGUAAUGGAUACAAUUUUCUUUCGAUAAAAAAAAGGGACUUGUUUACUAAGCUUUGCUAAUCUGUUGUGACAAUUUUAAAGUGCCACACCCCAAAUCCUAUAGGGAUGAAGGGGUAACACAACUAUCCUUUUGUAAAGGACGCAGUCUCAAAUUAUAUCCCAAAUAUCUAGCUCCCAAUAGUUCUCACGAUAAGGCUCUCACUUUAUCGAUUACUAACUAAGGCACCUAAAAAACAUAUUACGAAAAAAGAAUGAGCUACCACGGCUCAUUAAGUAAUGUAUUUCUUUUAAGCAAAUCGAGCAAUCAUUAUCCACAUUUAAAAUACAAAUAUAACACACUUUUACUAAAACCAGAAUUUAACAAACCUUCAAGACAAAAAUAAUGUAAUAUUUCUUACUUUAAUAUAAUAUGUUCAAAGCAGAAAUAUUCAAAAUAAUAACAAACAUACACCAAUGAUCUGGCCUAUUGGUCGAUCUCAUAAAAAUACAUGUCAAUAGUCUAUUCCAUUGACCAAUCUCAUAAAACAUACGUCAAUAGUCCAUUCCAUUGGUUAAUCUCAUGUUACACAUCAAUGGUCCAUCUUAUAUGAAACUACAUGUCGAUGGUCUAUCCAUCAACCAAUCUUUUGUUUAAUAUCAAACCAUUGUCACUCAUAACACCCGUGACAAGAUAACUAAUAUUCCCCCUUUGGUUAGGUCUCUACCUAUUUUUAGUCGAUGGCUCGGCCCACAAAGAUAUCCUAGAGUAGUAUGCGCAUAACCACAAGCCUCUCGCUAGGCUCAUAGCGAUACUAAGCAUCAAUCCCGAUCCAUAAUAGCCUCCACAAUUCACAAAGCCAAACCAUAGUAUAUAUCAUAAAUCAAUUUGACAAAUCAAAACACAUAAUCUUUCUGCGACCUGGCUCAUUCACCAUAAAUGUUUUUCAUAAAGCAUUCCUCAUGUCAUUUCAAAACUCAUUUCUUAAACCGAAAUAAAUUCCAUAUACAUUUUCACAACACAUUUCAUAAACCAAGUUGUCAUGCCCCGAACCACCUAGUGCGUGCCCAUCCCUCUUUGGUUGAUAAAAUUUUGCGACUUCCCAGGACGAGUCGCCGACUCUUUCUUUUUAUUGCACAUGCGGAAGCGAAUAAUAAAUCCCCCUGACAAUAACCAUCUCGGGAUAGAAAAGCAGGAUAAUAGAUUCACAACAAACAUGCUUUUAUAUUCACAUAGAAUCAUGUACAAGGUCUACGACCAAAAGACUACAAAAACUAGCUUUCUAAAAAGAAAUGGUCCUAACCGACCUACACUUUAGAUCACCUCCUCUCAGCUCCAGGUCCUCCACUUGACGAUCCUGAAAAUUUAAGCCCACGACGAGGUGAGAUAUAAAUCUCAGCGAGUUUGCACGCUAAAUCCCGAUUAGGAGGGAAAUACGCCCAAAAGCGUCCUAAUCAUGCAAUCAUACAAUCACAGAGCCUUACCUUGGCCUCAGAUCCACCCUGCAGGUCAGUACAAUUCAAAUACUGAAUUAAACAAUUCAAUUCAACUCCGCCAUCAAUCAGUCGAUUCAUUCGACUCCAUGUCAUCAAUGCCAUCCAUAAAUUCUUUCGAUUCGAACACUGCUCGCCUAAGCUGAAAUAGAUAUACUCAUAUAUCAUUGCUCCCCAAAGUUGAUGUCUAAAAUUUGCUCAUCGAAACUGCUAGACCAAAUAUUGCUCACCGAAGCUGCUAGAUAAUGUGUGCUCACCGAAGUUGAUAUCUAAAGUGCUCAACGAAGCUACUAAAGCAUUAUUGCUUGCCAUUGCUCACUGAAACUGCUAGAGAUCUAUAAUGGUAUUAAUGCUCCCCGAAGCUGUCAUAGAUCUAUAUUGCUCACCUAAGCUGAUCAAUGCUCACCUAAGCUAAAAUGGUACUUAAAACCCACUUUCGGUGUCAACACCCAACACCUGAUAUUUUCUAAUUAAAAUACCUAUAUAACACAAUCAUUACUCAAUUCAACAAUACAGUAUUCAAUUGCAGAAACUAAACACACCAUUGAAAUCAACACGAAAUUCCGAUCAUCGACUAUCCCGGCCUAAUUUCCGGAAAAAUAAUUAAUAAUUAAUUAAUUUCGAAAAUUAAUAAAAUAAAUCAAUUCAAUUUCUAAAAAUACUAACCUAGGCCAAAAUUAUUAAAUUAAAUACCAAUAUGGACUCAGAAAAUUCUCGAACCCUUCUAGAUAAAUAGUACAAUUCAUUUAGGCCUUAGCUAAACCAUGCUAACCACCUAACAUGCUCAAUUUAAAUAAUUAAAUUUCUAAUUUAAUCUAACUAACCAACUAAUUCCUAAUUAAAUAAAUCUAAACACCCCUUAGAUGUCAUUAGCCUACUAAGAAGGGUUUAGUGCAAAAACUCACUGGUUAAUUGCGGAAACUGGUUCACCGCGACGGCGGCCGAAAUCCUAAUUUUCGGUGGCAUCGGCGAACUUGGACCGGCCUAAAACGGGCCCAACAAAUCUCAGCCCAAAUUGAGAUUUGUUAUUGAAACGGGCUGGGCUUGAAGCGGGUUGACCUCGCGGGCUUGGACUGCUGAAACAGACAACUUGCUGGGCUUCAAAGUUGGACUGGACUGCUGGACUUUUGGGCCCAGCUAAACUGAAAUUCGCUGGGCUUGAUGGACUGAAGACAAGCCCAGCUAUUGGGCCACAAGACUUGCGUGGACUGUUGCUGAAAUGGGCUGAAGACGCACAACGUGCCGGGCCGAAUUCGCUGGAGGUGCUGCUUCGGUUGAUCGAUGCUGGACGAGGGAGCAGCGAACGAAGGAGAUGCUGGGGACGCGUGGGUUGCAGCUGUCGAUUGGGGGUGCUUCGGUCUUCGUGGACUCACGAACAAGCAGAGGGAAGCAGGUUGGUCUUCGUUGAGGCAGAUGAGUCUUCGGGUGGGGACACUGGAUGAUGGAGCGGGACGAAAGAGGGAGUCAACGAAGGAGGAGCUCCGCUGGGUCGUUGACUGGAGGGGCGCGGCUACGAACGAAGAUGUUGGGCCGUUCGGUCGACGUUCUGGGGCAGGGAAAAGAAGACACGAAGGAUGGUGGAGUUGAGCUGGCGAUGUGCAGGUGUGCGGCGUUGAAGAUUUCUUGGUCGACAAACGGCAAUAGGACAAAGAUGGUGGCUGGCUUCGGUUGCAGAGAAGAAAUAAGAAGGAAGAAAGGCAGGGGCUGAGAGCUGAGUUUUGGAUGAAAUAAAAAUGAAAGCAGGGCAGAGAUCGAUGGAGAUGAAGUCGGCAAGGUAGCUUGCACGAGAAGCUUGAAAAAAAAGGCUUAAAGUCCACAACUUAUCCUCUCCAUUGAUGGCAUGUCCCCUCCUAAUUCUUUCUUGAAAAGCAUUUCAUAAUUGAGCCAAUUUAAAUGUCAUAAUUAUAGCCCCAUGCCAUAAUUCCGAAUUUCACUCUUUAGGUUCAAUUUCUUCACUCAAUUUCCCAAAUUGAGGUCCAAUUUUGGUGAAGAAAAAUCUUGUAUAAUUUUCUGCAAGUCCCUGACAUUCAAAGGCUCGGCUUGAAAAUCCAAAUUUCCUUUAAUUUGGCCCAUCCGAAUUUCCGUCAAUUUUCCACAACGUCCGAAUCAAAUUUCCGCAAAAAUCCCGGAAUCUUUGAAAUAUCUUCGGAGGAUGAGUCAACGUUCCUAAAAUAACUCGUGACACCGCAGAACUUUCAGUUUCUGAAAUCGGGUUCAAAUUCGCCGUUAUUUUCAAUCCGGCGCGCUUUUAGCGUGACUUAGUUUACUGGAUAACUUUUAGGAAUUUUUGGUACAAUUGACCCGUGAUCGAUUCAUCUCAAGUCACAAUAUACAUAUUCGACACAUUGGAGACUCUCGAUUAUCGUGAAAAUCUCAAGGUUUUAAUUACGGGCACCGGGUACCAAAAUAAUCGAAAAAUCGGUCUAGUGCCGAUCGACGAGUAUUUGCAAUCAGGUGGAAUCACCCACACUCUGAUAACAUAUCUCAGUCGAAUCGACCUAUCUCCGGUCUCUGAUCGAUUUCUGACAGUGCCGUAAUGACCCUUGCAGAUCAACACGGUCGAGCAGUCGAUUCCUGGUCGAAUUCUCAAGUCUAUUGCAUUUAGAUUCCUUAAUUGCUUCCCCAGAUAGUCCAGUUAUCUCAUGAGUGAUCAGCUCAGAGAAUAGCACUAUUGGCGCGUCAACGAAUGGCCCGAUUUUUUUAAUCGAAAACGAAAUUUAAAAAUUCAGGCUGUCACACAAGUUCACAAAUCAACAUAUAUACAUAUAAUCUUUCACAACAACUUUCCAAAAACAUUUAGCAAAUCAUUCACAAAUAUCAAAUCGUAGUAAAUGCUCGAUCCAGUUCUAUGCAACAAAACAUGCUUUCAAUUACUUAUGAUACAUCAAAUCUCCAUAACUUUCAAGACAUGAUUUUUCAAACUCAUAGAAGAAAUAGUAUCAUUCACUUGGGAAAGUUGAAAAUCAACCACAGCGAUCACUCGAGUCGACAUACUCGAUUUCCUAACAAAUAACCGAAAAACAAUAUCAAAAUACCAAGUAACACAAUAUUCUAAUGAACGACUCAACUAUACUAUGCAUAUUUGUUGAUAAAACGAUACCUACAUGCCAACGAAAAGCUUGCCUCUAGCAAAAACCUAUUGUUGUCCAUGAGCCACGUUAAAUUUUAUCACACCAUAACUUCCUCCAUAGAAUUAUGUUUCAAGCCGACUUAUAGUCCUUAGAAAGCCAUUUUGACAUACUAUAAGAACCUCAAUUUAGUUGCUCCAAGCCCAUGCCAGAAAUGAUUGAAAUUCGGCUCAAAAGUUACUACUCGUAACUCUAUCAAAAAUGCACACCAAACUUGAAAAUUCCAAUCCAGGCAAAUCAUAAGCUUAAAUUGAGAUCCGUAAAAUACAAUAGCUUCACAAUAUCCUAAAUUAUCAAUUCUAUAAAAAUAUACCGCCUGAAAACUCCCCAAUCAAACACAGCAAGUCAUAAUCGACCUAAAACCGAAUUUCCAGCCCUAAUUUUGACAAUUCCUUCAAAUAGAUGAUUAGGGGCCUCGAUCACUUACCAACAUUGCAAAAUGGAUAUAAGUUAGCUUAGCGAGUCAUAUGGAUCAAAAGCAGACAAAAAUUUUCUCCUUCCUUCUUUCUUCUUUCUCGGUGAGCUCCUUUUCUUUCCUUUGUUUUCGCUUCGACUUCUUCUCCUCUUGUGCUUCAUUGCACAAACUCAAAUGAGAAGAGAGAAAGAGAGUUGGGCUUGGGCUUGGCUUUUAAGAGACAGGGGUUGUUUGGGCUUUUAUUGGGCUUUUUAUUACAUAAAGUGAGUUGUAGAUCAUUUAGAACUUAAAUGGGGAAAAAUCUAUUUUUAGGCUAAAAUUAUAUAGAAGUGAGCAAAAACCGUGAACUGUCUUAAAUCUUUUGAAAAAUGUGUGGAGGGCAUUGCCGCAUCGCCUCCACUAUGUUCAAUCUAAGUCCGCACCUGCAGCUGCAUGUCCUCCAAAUACAAAUUAUCAGAUUGGGUAAAAAUAUCAAAAAAAUCAUAAACUUAUUGCAAUUAUGUUAAUUCAAUAAUAUAUUUUUCCAUUGUGCUAAUUUAAUUGUAAAUCUUUUCAUAUUUUAUCAAUUGAGUCUAUUUUGCCAAUUUUAACCAGGAAUCAUUAAUGUAGACAUCAGCCGUUGUUCGUGAUAUGAUCGACAUUAACUGGACAUUUUUAAUAAUAUUAAUAAAUAUUUUGAAUUAUAUCGGUUUCUUUUUCUUUUCUUUUUUAAUGUUUUUAUUUUUUUUGGGGGGGGGGGGAGGAGAGUUAGAGCCACAAGAGUCUCCAGCCAAUUCUCGUUGAGCACAACGGCGAGGACCGCACACCCUUGCUUUGGCCGAUGAGGACAUCUCAACCCUUGCCUAGCCCUCACCUACCACGAUGAGGGCCCACGAGCCCUCGAGUAGUGGCCAAUGAGGGCAUGGCGGCCCUUGCCCAAAGCAGAUAAGCACUGCAACACCCUCACCCAAUGCCAACAAGGAUGCCGGCCUUCGGUCAAAAAAGAAAAAGUAAAGUAAGGUAAAGUAAAUUAAAAAAACAUAAAUAUAUAUAUAUAUAUUUUAAAAAGUAUGAAAAUAUUAUUCAAAAAUGCUUAGGUCUGUACCGACCGUGCUAUGUAGGAUGGCCGGUGUCCAUGUCAGCAAUUCCCUAUCAAAAUUGAGUUGAUGAAUUUAAAUGACAAAACUUAAAAAUGUUAGAGCUAAAUUGGCACAAUUGAAUAUUUAUGAUUGAAUUGAUACAAACGUAAUAGAUUUAUAACAUUUUUUUCAUAAUUGUCCCGUAUCGAAACAGUCACAUUUAGAACACAUUAAGUGCUAUUGCACGAAUUGCAGCGUUGCUUCUCUCAUGAUUUCCCGACGACUAGCGACUAAGACCAAAAUCACAGGCAUACUGUUUAGAUUAGGAAAUCAAGGCAUAUUUGGAAACGAAACGGGUUAACGAGCGCCGAAAGGCACUUGCUAAAAACCAAAAGAUGUAGAAUGAGCAAUUGUUAAUGCACAUUAGAAAACUUAAUCGAUAUUUCAUUUUUGCUUUUGCCGAACCAAAAGGACAAGGAGGGGCGAGUAGCAGUGACUAUCCCCUCCCGAUGUUAUCUUAAGAAAGUAUCGCACCCAUCACAAAAUGUUCAAUUUAGGUGAGGACAAGCCUCUACUACUCAACACCAUAAAGGUAGGCGACCCAGGACCUGGACACCACCAUAGUACUACAAGUCCACAGCCCAUUCCCAAGCCAAGUCAGAAGACUAAUUGACCCGAGCAAGGUCACUAGAUAUGGGAAUACAAGCGCGGGACCAAUUUGAAUACGUCCGACGGUAUAAUUAAUACUUCUUACCAUACAACGUUGAUCUUUCAGUUUCCACAUAGACGGAGUAGGUGAUGAACAAACUUUGCAAAUCAUAUAGCAUAUGAAAUUACCAGGGCAUGAAUUGCACUAAUGUAGUACGCGGACCUAGAAAUGAUAGAUUAAAUACGAAAAAUGUCGGAUAUUCUAAGACAUCUUAUUAAAACAUACUUAUCAAGUGAUGUGGCAAGGAUUAAUUAGAUAAUAAGAAAUGAGAUUAUAUAAUAUUACAUGAUUAGUUUCUUUCAAUACACAAUUGAUAAUUGUCCAAUCACUCACUAAAAAGUAAGUUCAGUGUUUGGUACAUUUACUUUGCUUAAUAAAUAAUAUAGUUUAUUUUUAGUGCAUCUCGGUCAAUCCAGAUAGACACUUUUAUAUAUAUAUAUAUAACCUUAAAGCUUGCUUUCAUUCAUUGAACCCCCAUCAACCAAAAUUUAGAGGUUACUUCUCGGGCAAAAAUUGGUAGAAAGAGUAAAGACAAGAAGAAGAAUAAUGGGAAGCACACUGAAUUAUUUAAUGAUAACUAUUAAAUUAAUAUCUAGAAUUUGAGCCAUGUAUAAGAUCCAUCCGAUUAGAGGAUGUAGACCGCUCUUGUCUUAGAUGAGGUGUAAGAGAAAGAGUCCUAAUUGGACUUUGACUUUGCUUGCCUUUCUUUCAAAAGAUAAUCUUGAAUUUACUUGGGCGGUGGAUUCAAAUAAAGAAGAAAACUUAAACAAGAAAAGUUGUUGGUGACUUAUUACCCAAGGGUUUGACCGAUCAAGGAUUGGAAUUUUUCAUAUAGUAAAAGAGUAGAGAGAGAGAGAGAGUAGCGGGCUUAGAGGGUUUAUUGAGGUUAGAGGAUUUUAUUCAUUUUUUUUAAGGGAAAAGAAAAAUAGAAGGAUGUGAGUUUUGCUUUUAUUGUCUCCGCCAGACAUAGCCACUCAAUACGGUAGGGGAUUUCUUUGAGAUGCUCAUAAGGAAGUUUCAAAUGGUGAUUUGUGCAAAUGAUUCUACAUCUAAAUUAUGACGUCUUCUUUGUGAAAACGUAAGUAUUUCAAGCAGUGAGAUAAUUCUAUAUGAGGCUAAAGACUAUGGGUUUGGGUAUAAUUUAGGUAUAGGAAACACUCAAGUGUGUGAAUAAUUGUAACUCUAUAAUUAUCCGAUUAAUUCGUGGAUUAUUUACUGCUGGCUUUUCUUGUAAAAUAGGUACUGACACUCAUAUUGAAUAAUGUAAAUCUCUCAAUUAGUAGUCUUCUUCCUCCCACCAUUUUACUUCAGGUUCUUCAACUUUUUUAUGAUUCAAUGGUCUUCUUCCUCCUAGGCUUUUUCAUUGUUCUUGUUUUAGAUUUUCAAUUUUUUAUUCAAGCCCUUAUCUUUUAUCACAAAAAAGCACUUGUUUUGCUUUUCAACAUUAUGUUGGCUAUAUAGGAUGUGACAUGGGAUGUUAGGAAGACACUCAAGAGUAUUUUAACAGCAACGUUAGGAUAGGAUGGACUAGAAAUAAAAACAUAAUAUUUAGGAUCUUAGUGCUCACAAUAAAAGAUUAAAAGAUAUCUGCCUGUUCCGAGUACACGUGAGCCCAAUUCACAUGACGAAGACGGGUUCACAUGGACCCCACCUGAUCUACGGUGGGCCAACGGUUGGCUCGCUGGGAGGAACCAUGCAAGGCGUCCCCACCAUCACAGCGGGGAGGCUGGAGGUUGACUAUCAGCUGGGGCUCGGUUUUGGCCGAUCUUUCGAUCUUCACCUCCAGCUCUCGCUCUCACUCUUUCUCCGAUGGCAAAGAAGCUCGUGCACUACGUAGUGGUAUCGACAUAUCUUUUCUCUCUCUCUCUCUCUCUCUCUCUCUCUCUCUUUCUCUCUCUCUCUCUCUCUCUCUCUCUCUCUCCAUUCACACGCCCAGGCGCUUAUUUGUGAGCAGUGCAUCUGUGGUUGCUCAACUUCUUAUUACACCAUUUCAAUAGAAUUUCACGCGGUUCCCUAAUCAGCUUUGUGCAUUUGUUGAGUAGGCAUCGCCUAGAGGAGGAGUCGUGAACGUGUGCCUGGAUGAGCAAAACUAGAGAGUCAUGCUGCGUGGGAAAGCUGUAACUGUAAUGACGGGUUCUAUUCUUGUUUAAAAAUACUUCGAGCAAGCAACAUGUUACGAAAUCGAACGUUGAUUCCAGAAAAAUAACGUUUGCAAACAAUUCACUAAGCAGAAUAUAAUAAUAAAAUAACAGAAUUAGAUGAACACGCCAGAAAAUUUGUUAUCGAAGUUCACCCAAACCUGGGCUACGUCUCCGCGCAAAGGCACUCUGCGAAUCCACUAGAUUUCGAAAAAGUUGGAAUACAACGACGAUCUUCUCUCAAGAUCAGGGCACAAAGAGAUUGAGAACCCUCAUCACGAACAAACUCACUUUUUUCUUCUCUCUUUUUAUUGCCUCUCUAUUUCCUUUUUCAGCGUCUUGACGGCUAGGGUCUUGACAUCGCUAAUAUAAAGAUACCACUUUUAACCUAAAAGGAAAUCUAAUAGAAAGACAAAAAAGCCCCCAAAAACAAAUAUUUGGCUUCAUCUAUAACAAUCUCCCACUUGAAGACAAAUAUACCCAAGCACCAAGCAACUUUGUAUCCAUCUUCUUCAAAAAAUAAUAGUUGAAAAGCUUGUGCCUCUGCGAUACUCCUCAUCAAUCAACAUGGAGUAAUACCAAUGGUAGUAGUACAGAAAAUAUGCUUCUCUCUGUCUACUACCUUGGUCAUCAUGUCAGCUGGAUUCUUCGAGCCAUCAACCUUCUGUAGCUUUAACUCAUUAUCUUUCAAUGCUGACCUAAUAAAGUGAUAACGCUUCUUGAUAUGUCUAGUCCUUGAGUGAUAAGCUGCAUUCUUUGCUAAGUGCACUGCACUUUGACUAUCACUCCAAAGUGUACUGACUGGCUGUUUUCGAUGUAACUCCUCCAUAUAAUCUUGUAACCACAUGAUUUCCUUGGAGGCUUCUGUGAUCGCCACGUAUUCUGCCUCUGUUGUCGAUAAAGCCACUACUUUUUGUAAUUGAGACGCCCAACUCACUGUUGUUCCUGCAACUGUAAAGACAUAUCCAGUGGUACUCUUACCACUAUCUCGAUCACUCGAAUGAUCUGCAUCUACAUAACCUUGCAACUCUAGAGAUGUACCACCAUAACAAAGUGAGUAAUUGGAAGUACCUGCUAGAUAUCUCAAUAUCUAUUUCAUUGCAUUCCAAUGCUCUCUGCCUGGGUUUUGCAUAUAUCGACUCACAACUCCCACUGCAUGUGCAAUGUCUGGUCUCGUGCUCACCAUGGCAUACAUAAAACUCCCCACUGCUGAUGCAUAUGGAACUACCGCCAUCUCAUCUUUCAAAACCUGAGUGCUUUGACACAUAUCCUUGGAAAGUUUGAAGUGACACGCUAGAGGAGUUGCAACCGGUCUUGCCUUGUCCAUGUUAAAUCUCUUUCACACCUUAUUCACAUAGUCUUCUUGCGACAACCAUAAUUUCUUAUUUUUCCUGUCCCUGAUAAUUUUCAUGCCUAAAAUAUUCUUGGCCUCUCCCAAGUCUUUCAUAGCAAACUGUGAUGAUAACAUCUUCUUCACUUCUACGAUUCUCUUCAUAUUGGAACUAGCCACUAGCAUGUCAUCCACAUAUAAAGAUAGAUACACAAUGUCACCAUCAUCAUAUUUGCGAAAAUAAAUACAGUGAUCAAACUCACAGUGUGCAAAUCCUUUUUCUUGCAUGGAACCAUCAAAUUUUAGGUACCAUUGCCACGGAGCUUGUUUCAAGCCAUACAAACUUUUCUUCAAGCAACAUACCAUGUGCUCCUUACCUUUGACUUCAAAACCUUUAGGUUAUGCCAUGUAUAGUUCUUCAUCUAAGUCACCGUGUAAAAACGCUAUUUUUACGUCUAACUGCUCAAGAUGAAGAUCCUCCGCUGCAACUAUACUCAGCAGAACUCUAAUUGAUGUCAUUUUCACUACAGGUUAAAAUAUCUCGGAGUAGUCGAUCCCUUCUUUUUGAGAAAAGCCCUUGACUACAAGUCUCGCCUUGUAUCUAAUGCUACCGUCUGCUUCAUUCUUUAUCCUAUACACCCAUUUGUUUAAUAAAACUUNNNNNNNNNNNNNNNNNNNNNNNNNNNNNNNNNNNNNNNNNNNNNNNNNNNNNNNNNNNNNNNNNNNNNNNNNNNNNNNNNNNNNNNNNNNNNNNNNNNNUUUGUUCUGAAGUAACGAGCUCAUCUCGUCUUUUAUAGCACACUCCCACUGCAAGUGAGACGUGUCUACCUUUGCCUUAUCGUAAGUCUCCGGUUCCCCUGAAUCUGUAUAUAAGACAUGGCUCAGAACAGUAUUAGCUGAUAGAUCAAAAAUUACCUUUGGCUUUCUCACAUGUGUAGACCUCCUCAAGAUGGGUACAUCAGGGUUGUUAAUAUGCUCCGAAUCAUUGUGUUCCUCUUGAGCUACCUCUUCACUGAUAAUAGGCUCAUCUUGAACCUCUCUUUCAAGUGCACUUUGAUCUACUUGAAACAUCUUCACGGGCAUUGUGUCUAAUUCAACAUAUUAUGGUUCUACUACCUUCUCAUGCUUUGUCUGACGAUCUUUGUACAUCUUUUCUUCAUGGAAUACCGCAUUGCGAUUGCGGAUGACUUUGUUAUUCUCAUAAUCCCAAAGCCUAUAGCCAUACUCGUCGCCACCGUAUCCGAUAAAGACGCACUUCUGGGACUUAGCAUCAAGCUUUUUCCUAUCCUCCCUGUCAAUUAAAACAUAUGCAAUACAACCAAACACCUUUAGAUGUGAAUACUUAAUCUUUUUACCUGACCACCGCUCUUGUGGUAUUUCGCCAUCUAACGCACUAGAUGGACUUUUGUUGAUAAGAUAAACAGCUGCAUCAACUGUGGCAGCCCAUAAGUGUAGCAGGAGACCCGCGUGUAGCCUCAUGCAUCUCGCACGUUCUAGAAUAGUCCUAUUCAUUCUUUCAGCUACACCGUUCUCUUGAGGAGUUCUGAGAACAGUCUUUAACCCGUGUAUGCCUUCUCGACUCAAAUAAUCUGCAAAUUCUUUACUUGUGUAUUCACCACCAUUAUCAGACUUCAGAGCUUUAAUUUGAUAACCUGUUUCUUUUUCUACCAUGGUCUUCCACAUUCUGAACAUCCCGAAUAUUUCUGAUUUUUCUUUAAGAGCAUAGACCCAAGUCUUCCUUGUUGCAUCAUCAAUGAAAGUGAUAAAAUAUCUCUUACCGCCAUAAGAGAGUUCCUAAGCAGGUCCCCAUACAUCAGUAUGAACCAACUCUAGCUUCUGGUCUUUAUUUUGUCGCCCAUUCAUUUGAAAACUAAUAGCCUUCUGUUUUCCAUAAAUACAACUCUCACAAAAAUCUAACUCAACUUUUUGCAAACCUGGGAGUAAUUUUCUCGAGUGUAAUUGUUUUACACAUUUUUCACCAAGAUGUCCCAAACGAUAAUGCCAAAGAGUAGUGGCCAAUGAAGGCAUGGCAGCCCUUGCCCAAAGUAGAUAAGCACUGCAACACCCUCACCCAAUGCCAACAAGGAUGCCGGCCUUCGGUCAAAAAAGAAAAAGUAAAGUAAGGUAAAGUAAAUUAAAAAAAAAACAGAAAAACUAUAAAUAUUUUUUGAAAAAGUAUGAAAAUAUUAUUCAAAAAUGUUUUGGUCUGUACCGACCGUGCUAUGUAGGAUGGCCGGUGUCCAUGUCAGCAAUUCCCUAUCAAAAUUGAGUUGAUGAAUUUAAAUGACAAAACUUAAAAAGGUUAGAGCUAAAUUGGCACAAUUGAAUAUUUAUGAUUGAAUUGAUACAAACGUAAUAGAUUUAUAACAUUUUUUUCAUAAUUGUCCCGUAUCGAAAUAGUCACAUUUAGAACACAUUAAGUGCUAUUGCACGAAUUGUAGCGUUGCUUCUCUCAUGAUUUCCCGACGAGUAGGAACUAAGACCAAAAUCACAGGCAUACCGUUUAGAUUUAGGAAAUCAAGGCAUAUUUGGAAAUGAAAUGGGUUAACGAGCGCCGAAAGGCGCUUGCUAAAAACCAAAAGAUGUAGAAUGAGCAAUUGUUAAUGCACAUUAGAAAACUUAAUUGAUAUUUCUUUUUUUGUUUUUGCCGAACCAAAAGGACAAGGAGGGGCGAGUAGCAGUGACUAUCCCCUCCCGAUGUUAUCUUAAGAAAGUAUCGCACCCAUCACAAAAUGUAUAAUUUAGGUGAGGACAAGCCUCGACUACUCGACACCAUAAAGGUAGGCGACCCAGGACCUGGACACUACCAUAGUACUACAAGUCCACAGCCCAUUCCCAAGCCAAGUCAGAAGACUAAUUGACCCGAGCAAGGUCACUAGAUAUGGGAAUACAAGCGCGGGACCAAUUUGAAUACGUCCGACGGUAUAAUUAAUACUUCUUAUCAUACAACGUUGAUCUUUCAGUUUCCACAUAGACGGAGUAGGUGAUGAACAAACUUUGCAAAUCAUAUAGCAUAUGAAAUUACCAGGGCAUGAAUUGCACUAAUGUAGUACGUGGACCUAGAAAUGAUAGAUUAAAUACGAAAAAUGUCGGAUAUUCUAAGACAUCUUAUUAAAAGAUACUUAUCAAGUGAUGUGGCAAGGAUUAAUUAGAUAAUAAGAAAUGGGAUUAUAUAAUAUUACAUGAUUAGUUUCUUUCAAUACACAAUUGAUAAUUGUCCAAUCACUCACUAAAAAGUAAGUUCAGUGUUUGGUACAUUUACUUUGCUUAAUAAAUAAUAUAGUUUAUUUUUAGUGCGUCUCGGUCAAUCCAGAUAGACACUUUUAUAUAUAUAUAUAUAACCUUAAAGCUUGCUUUCAUUCAUUGAACUCCCAUCAACCAAAAUUUAGAGGUUACUUCUCGGGCAAAAAUUGGUAGAAAGAGUAAAGACAAGAAGAAGAAUAAUGGGAAGCACACUGAAUUAUUUAAUGAUAACUAUUAAAUUAAUAUCUAGAAUUUGAGCCAUGUAUAAGAUCCAUCCGAUUAGAGGAUGUAGACCGCUCUGUCUUAGAUGAGGUGUAAGCUUGAAUUUACUUGGGCGGUGGAUUCAAAUAAAGAAGAAAACUUAAACAAGAAAAGUUGUUGGUGACUUAUUACCCAAGGGUUUGACCGAUCAAAGAUUGAAAUUUUUCAUAUAGUAAAAGAGUAGAGAGAGAGAGAGAGAGAGAGAGAGAGAGAGAGAGAGAGAGAGAGAGAGAGAGAGAGAGAGAGAGUAGCGGGCUUAGAGGGUUUAUUGAGGUCAGAGGAUUUUCUUCCCUUUUUUUUUUUUUGGGAAAAGAAAAAUAGAAGGAUGUGAGUUUUGCUUUUAUUGUCUCCGCUGGACAUAGCCACUCAAUACGGUAGGGGAUUUCUUUGAGCUGCUCAUAAGGAAGUUUCAAAUGGUGAUUUGUGCAAAUGAUUCUACAUCUAAAUUAUGAUGUUUUCUUUGUGAAAACGUAAGUAUUUCAAGCAGUGAGAUAAUUCUAUAUGAGGCUAAAGACUAUGGGUUUGGGUAUAAUUUAGGUAUAGGAAACACUCAAGUGUGUGACUAAUUGUAACUCUGUAAUUAUCCGUUUAAUUCGUGGAUUAUUUACUGCUGGCUCUUCUUGUAAAAUAGGUACUGACACUCAAAUUGAAUCAUGUAAAUCUCUCAAUUAGUAGUCUUCUUCCUCCCACCAUUUUACUUGAGGUUCUUCAACUUUUUUGCGAUUCAAUGGUCUUCUUCCUCCUAGGCUUUUUCAUUGUUCUUGUUUUAGAUUUUCAAUUUUUUAUUCAAGCCCUUAUCUUUUAUCACAAAAAAGCACUUGUUUUGCUUUUCAACAUUAUGUUGGCCAUAUAGGAUGUGACAUGGGAUGCUAGGAAGACACUCAAGAGUAUUUUAACAGCAACGUUAGGAUAGGAUGGACUAGAAAUAAAAACAUAAUAUUUAGGAUCUUAGUGCUCACAAGAAAAGAUUAAAAGAUAUCUGCCUGUUCCGAGUACACGUGAGCCCAAUUCACAUGCCGAAGAUGGGUUCACAUGGACCCCACCUAAUCUAUGGUGGGCCCGCGGUUGGCUCGCUGGGAGGAACCAUGCAAGGCGUCCCCACCAUCACAACGGGGAGGCUGGAGGUUGACUUUCAGCUGGGGCUCGGUUUUGGCCGAUCUUUCGAUCUUCACCUCCAGCUCUCGCUCUCGCUCUUUCUCCGAUGGCAAAGAAGCUCGUGCACUACAUAGUGGUAUCGACAUAUCAUCUCUCUCUCUCUCUCUCUCUCUCUCUCCAUUCACACGCCCAGGCGCUUAUUUGUGAGCAGUGCAUAUGUGGUUGCUCAACUUCUUAUUACUCCAUUUCAAUAGAAUUUCACAUGGUUCCCUAAUAAGCUUUGUGCAUGUGUUGAGUAGGCAUCGCCUAGAGGAGGAGCCGUGAACGUGUGCCUGGACGAGAAAAACCAGAGAGUCAUGCUGCGUGGGAAAGCUGUAACUGUAAUGAAGGGUUCUAUUCUUGUUUAAAAAUACUUCGAGCAAGCAAGAUGUUACGAAAUCGUAUGUCGAUUCCAGAAAAAUAACGUUCGCAAACAAUUCACCAAGCAGAAUAUAAUAAUAAAAUAACAGAAUCAGAUGAAUACGCCAUAAACUUUGUUAUCGAAGUUCACCCAAACCUGGGCUACGUCUUUGCACAGAGGCACUCUGCGAAUCCACUAGAUUUCGAAAAAGUUGGAAUACAACGACGAUCUUCUCUCAAGAUCAGGGCAGAAAGAGAUUAAGAACCCUCAUCAAGAAAAAACUCACUUUUUUAUUCUCUCUUUUUAUUGCCUCUCUAUUUCCUUUUUCAGCGUCUUGACGGCUAGGGUCUUGCCAUCGCUAAUAUAAAGAUACCACUUUUAACCUAAAAGGAAAUCUAAUAGAAAAGACAAAAAAGCCCCAAAAAAGAAAUAUUUGGCUUCAUCUAUGACAAUCUCCCACUUGAAGACAAAUAUACCCAAGCACCACGCAACUUUGUAUCCAUCUUCUUCAAAAAAUAGUAGUUGAAAAGCUUGUGCCUCUGCGAUACUCAUCAUCAAUCAACAUGGAGUAAUACCAAUGGUAGUAGUACAGAAAAUAUGCUUCUCUCUGUCUACUACCUUGGUCAUCAUGUCAGCUGGAUUCUUUGAGCCAUCAAUCUUCUGUAACUUUAACUCAUUAUCUUUCAAUGUUGACCUGAUAAAGUGAUAACGCUUCUUGAUAUGUCUAGUCCUUGAGUGAUAAGCUGCAUUCUUUGCUAAGUGCAUUGCACUUUGACUAUCACUCCGAAGUGUACUGACUGGCUGUUUUCGAUGUAACUCCUCCAUAUAAUCUUGUAACCACAUGAUUUCCUUGGAGGCUUCUGUGAUCGCCACGUAUUCUGCCUCUGUUGUCGAUAAAGCCACUACUUUUUGUAAUUGAGACGCCCAACUCACUGUUGUUCCUGCAACUGUAAAGACAUAUCCAGUGGUACUCUUAUCACUAUCUCGAUCACCCAAAUGAUCUGCAUCUACAUAACCCUGCAACUCUAGAGAUGUACCACCAUAACAAAGUGAGUAAUUGGAAGUACCUGCUAGAUAUCUCAAUAUCUAUUUCAUUGCAUUCCAAUGCUCUCUGCCUGGGUUUUGCAUAUAUCGACUCACAACUCCCACUGCAUGUGCAAUGUCUGGUCUCGUGCUCACCAUGGCAUACAUAAAACUCCCCACUGCUGAUGCAUGUGGAACUACCGCCAUCUCAUCUUUCAAAACCUAAGUGCUUUGACACAUAUCCUUGGAAAGUUUGAAGUGACUCACUAGAGGAGUUGCAACCGGUCUUGCCUUGUCCAUGUUAAAUCUCUUUAACACCUUGUUUACAUAGUCUUCCUUUGACAACCAUAAUUUCUUAUUUUUCCUAUCCCUGAUGAUUUUCAUGCCUAAAAUAUUCUUGGCCUCUCCCAAGUCUUUCAUAGCAUACUGUGAUGAUAACAUCUUCUUCACUUCUAUGAUUCUCUUCUUAUUGGAACUAGCCACCAGCAUGUCAUCCACAUAUAAAGAUAGAUACACAAUGUCAUCAUCAUCAUAUUUGCGAAAAUAAACACAGUGAUCAGACUCACAGUGUGCAAAUCCUCUUUCUUGCAUGAAACCAUCAAAUUUUAGGUACCAUUGCCGCGGAGCUUGUUUUAAGCCAUACAAACUUUUCUUCAAGCAACAUACCAUGUGCUCCUUACCUUUGACUUCAAAAGCUUUAGGUUGUGCCAUGUAUAGUUCUUCAUCUAAGUCACCAUGUAAAAACGCUAUUUUUACGUCUAACUGCUCAAGAUGAAGAUCCUCCACUGCAACUAUACUCAGCAGAACUCUAAUUGAUGUCAUUUUCACUACAGGUGAAAAUAUCUCGGAGUAGUCGAUCCAUUCUUUUUGUGAAAAGCCCUUGACUACAAGUCUCGCCUUGUAUCUAAUGCUACCAUCUGCUUCAUUCUUAAUCUUGUACACCCAUUUGUUUAAUAAAACUUUUUUACCUGUGGGCAACUUGGUCAACUCCCAAGUUUUGUUCUGAAGUAACGAGCUCAUCUCGUCUUUUAUAGCACACUCCCACUGCAAGUGAGACGUGUCUGCCUUUGCCUCAUCAUAAGUCUCCGGUUCCCCUGAAUCUGUAUAUAAGACAUGGCUCAGAACAGUAUUAGCUGAUGGAUCAAAAAUUACAUUUGGCUUUCUCACACGUGUAGACCUCCUCAAGAUGGGUACUUCAGGGUUGUUAAUCUGCUCCGAAUCAUUGCGUUCCUCUUGAACUACCUCUUCACUGAUAAUAGGCUCAUCUUGAACCUCUCUUUCAAGUGCACUUUGAUCUACUUGAAACAUCUUCACGGGCAUUGUGUCUAAUUCAACAUAUUCUGGUUCUACUACCUUCUCAUGCUCUGUCUGACGAUCUUUGUAUAUAUUUUCUUCAUGGAAUACCACAUUGUGACUGCGGAUGACUUUGUUAUUCUCAUAAUCCCAAAGCCUAUAGCCAUACUCGUCGCCACUGUAUCCGAUAAAGACGCACUUCUGGGACUUAGCAUCAAGCUUUUUCCUAUCCUCCCUGUCAAUUAAAACAUAUGCAAUACAACCAAACACCUUUAGAUGUGAAUAAUUAAUCUUUUUACUUGACCACCGCUCUUGUGGUAUUUCUCAAUCUAACGCACUGGAUGGACUUCUGUUGAUAAGAUAAACAGUUGCAUCAACUGUGGCAGCCCAUAAGUGUAGCGGGAGACCUGCGUGUAGCCUCAUGCAUCUCGCACAUUCUAGAAUAGUCCUGUUCAUUCUUUCAGCUACACCGUUCUCUUGAGGAGUUCUAAGAACAGUCUUUAACCCGUGUAUGCCUUCUCAACUCAGAUAAUUUGCAAAUUCUUUACUUGUGUAUUCACCACCAUUAUCAGACUUCAGAGCUUGAAUCUGAUAACAUGUUUCUUUUUCUACCAUGGUCUUCCACAUUCUGAACAUCCCGAAUACUUCUGAUUUUUCUUUAAGAGCAUAGACCCAAGUCUUCCUUAUGGCAUCAUCAAUGAAUGUGACAAAAUAUCUCUUAUCGCCAUAAGAGAGUUCCUGAGCAAGUCCUCAUACAUCAGUAUGAACCAACUCUAGCUUCUGGCCUUUAUUUUGUCACCCAUUCAAUGUAAACUAACAGCCUUCUGUUUUCCAUAAAUACAAUUCUCACAAAAAUCUAACUCAACUUUUUGCAAACUUGGGAGUAAUUUUCUCGAGUGUAAUUGUUUUACACUUUUUUCACCAAGAUGUCCCAAACGAUAAUGCCAAAGAGUAGAUAAAUUACCUGUAGCCAUUAUAGUUGCAACUAUAUCACUGAUAUUGUCUCAUUGAAGAAGGUAAAGUGUACCUGUACGCUUUCCCUUUGCUACUACUCUUGCCCCUGAGGUUAUCUUCUACUCUCCACAUCCAAAAAUUAUUACCAAACCUUCUUGGUCAAGUUUACUGGUUGAAAUCAGAUUUUUCUUUAAUUCCGGAAUAUGCCUAAUUUCACGCAAAACUAGACGUCCUCCACUUGAGAUGUUCACAGUCACAAUUCAUUUCCCAACAAUUGGACACAUGUGGCCAUUUCCCACAACCACUUUUCCAAAGUCUCCACUGGCAUAAUCAUCAAAUAUGUCUCUUUGCGAGGUGCAAUGAAAAGAAGCACCAGAAUCAAUAAACCAUUUAUCUGUUGUCAAGUCAAACCCUGCAGACAAACACAAGUUAUCUAGCAAAGAUUCAUCACUAACCACAUUAGCUCCUUGAUUCUCAUCUUGCUGCUUCUUUUUGUAGGCUUCACACUGAAACCUCUGGUGUCCGGUUUUGUGACAAAACCAACACUCAUCUUUUGCAACCUGUCUUUUACCCCUUGAUUGUGAUCUGCCACGCCCGCUGAAAUUUCCUCUACUUUUACUUCUUCCACGGUUCUCCACUGCAAGUGCCGUUGAAGAUGUAGAUGUAGAAAAAUUAUCUCCACCUGAGACUUUCCUUCGCAUCUCUUCAUCCAUGAUACUACUCACAGCAUCAUCAAGAGUUAAAUCAUCCUUCAUGGUGCUCGAAAUUCCCUGCACUGCGGUAUUGUAGCUUUCUGGAAGAGAACAUAAAAAUAAUAAAGCUUGAAGCUUCAUAUCUAAAUUUAUGCCUGCGGAUUCCAAUUGACUCGUGACCUACGUGAAAUUAUUAAUAUGCUCUGCCACAGAAUCUCUAUCAGAUAACUUCAUAUUAACCAGUUUCUUCAGCAAAAAUACCUGAUUUGAUGUGGAUGGCUUCUCAUAAAUAUUCGUUAGAAUAUCCAUGGCUUCUUUUGCAGUUUUUGCUUUCGCGAUGUGGUACCCUGUCUUUUUCGUCAACCCUAGACGAAUCGCACCUAAUGCUUUUCGAUCAAGAAUUUUCCAUCCGGCUUCUGCUGUCAGAUCCACUUCCGCCAUCUCGGGUUUCCAACCCUCAAGUGGUGCAUAGAGAUCUUUUUGAUAAAUAUAAUCCUCUAUUUGUAGUUUCCACCAUCCGAAAUCCUCUCCAUUGAACUUAUCGAUUAUGAUUUUAUCUUCUGCCAUACUGUUUGCUUUCAAUCGAACGUCACUGAAAAACCCUCGAUGUUCUCAAUUAGCCAACCCAGGCUCUGAUACCAGUUGUUACGAAAUCGUACGUCGAUUUCAGAAAAAUAACGUUCGAAACAAUUCACCAAGCAGAAUAUAAUAAUAAAAUAACAGAAUCAGAUGAACAUGCCAGAAAAUUUGUUAUCGAAGUUCACCCAAACUUGGGCUACGUCUCCGCGCAGAGGCACUCUGCGAAUCCACUAGAUUUCGAAAAAGUUGGAAUACAACGAUGAUCUUCUCUCAAGAUCAUGGCACAAAGAGAUUGAGAACCCUCAUCAAGAAAAAAAACUCACUUUUUUCUUCUCUCUUUUUCUUGUCUCUCUAUUUCCUUUUUCAGCGUCUUGACGGCUAGGUCUUGCUAUCGCUAAUAUAAAGAUACCACUUUUAACUUAAAAGGAAAUCUAAUAGAAAAGACAAAAAAAGCCCCAAAAAACAAAUAUUUGGCUUCAUCUAUAAUACAAGAUUCGUCUUGUAAACAAGUCAUUGGGCGAGAUGGAAUAAGUAUUCUGAUGGCAUAAAUUCGAGAUUGUUAGUUGUUUAAUGCUGACCAUAGCUGAGAUUCUCAGUAUGCUUGGAGCUGUAGCCCUACGUAGCAUAAUCAAAGAGACGACCGAACAACCAUUUAUCUCGUUCUUGCUUUUAUGUAUUUGAGGGACAGUGCAUCAACCACUUUGUCUCGUUAUGUGCUAUCCCUGUAUUGCUGCUCAUACAAAUGCCUGGAAGCUACUUCUAAUCUCUUUGGUCUUUCCCUCCUUUAACUUAAAAGAGAUAAUAUCCCUUGUUGUUGGUCGAGUUUCUCGGAGAAUGUGCACAGGUCAAGACUCGAGUUGAGGAGUCCCAUGUCGAACAACGACGAGAUGGCUGUGUUGCUUAUGACCCUGGUUCACCAAUUGAAGGGGUUGAAUCUCAUUCCCAUUUAGGAGCUCGCACGUCGGCUUCUGUAUGCUCUUACCAACUCUCAUCCACAAGAAAGAUGAUCACGUAAUCCUACACGAAGAACCGGUUACUUGUAUCAGUUUCCUGUUGACCUUGCAUUAGGCCACUCGAAUUAUGUCAGAGACUUCUAAGAAAGCUCCUGAUCCAUCAUUUAUAACAGUCGCGGCUUGGACAAACAUUAAGCGGCGAACCAUAGUUGACAGUUUCCGAACAACACCAUUGUUUGGGUGCCGAGAAAGGAACAAGAACACGGGAGAAUUGAUCAGGUGUUGGAAUUACGUGUCGGAGUUCUAAACUCAAACAUCAGAAUUUCGGAUUUGAGUAUCGAAGAGUAGUGGGAAAGUUGACCAGAUAUCGGAUUUUUCUACGUAUAUUGACAAAGUGUAUAAAAGUGUAGACAUGUGUCCUAUCCAACACGACACAAAGACUUUUUGAAAGUGCCAGUGCUUCCUAGCCUAUGGUAGAUGCGCUGGUUACUUUUGACUUGUCAAGAAAUAAACAGAACUCUUAGAUGAUGCUUAGAAUGAGGUAUGAAAAACAGGGAAGGCCAGUAAAGUAGAUUAAAAUAUGUUCCGUACGGAUCAGGGGCAGACCUGCCCCGAACGAUUUAUAAGGAGCUGGACUAUCGCGUUCUUCUCCAUUAGACGUGGCCUGAUUUCAUUUUGCUUCUUCUCCAUUAGCCAUCUCUCUCUCUCUCCGUCUCUCUCUCCGUCCCUCUCUAUGGAAAAGAAGCUCGUGCAGUACUCGGUGGUAUCAAUACAGCCUCCUUCUCUUCCGUUUCAUUCCCCUACCAGAGAUGGAGAUCUCUUGCGGAAACUUCCUUGAACUCUUCUGCAUCGACCAUGACAUGGGCUUGUGCGUGGUGUUGUUUUUGUAGGUGGACGCAUUCACCGACACGGCCUUCAAGGGGAACCCGGCGGCGGUGUGUAUCUUGGAAGAAGAGAGGGACGAAGAGUGGCUGCAGGCGGUAGCCAGGGAGUUCAACUUCUCACAGACCUGUUACCUGACCGGUGCCUCGGGCUCAGAACUCGCCGGCUCGGUCAACGUGGGAUCGAGCCCGAGGUUUCAGCUCAGGUGGUUCACUCCAGUUAAGGAGGUGAGUGAGUUUCGGAAUUCCAUGUUCCCAGCGUUGCUUGCUUUAAUUCGGCAAGUGCAGGAUAUACUGAGCGUGUGGAUAAUAAAUGACUGAAAGCUCUUUCGUCCGCUCCCCACGCAAAUUGCUAAACUUUGCUUGCGUUCUUUUUGGUAACUUUCUUUCUUUAUCAUAGCCAACAGAAAUGGCAAUUUUUCUGUCCUGGUUUUGUUAUGAUUCCUUUAAUUUGUGAUAAUUCGCAUCUUCUGAGUUCAGCCGCUUAUAAUCAACCAUGGAUGGCUCGAUGAAGAAUUCGUCAAAAAUUCGAUUUCUAUUUGUCCUUUGCCGUCUGUUUCAUCUCAUUACUUUGGACUACCAGUUAAUUUGAUAAUUGUGCUUCUAUUAGAUGAAAUUAUAUGCAUUACCUGCGUGGGACUAUGAAUCAUGUUGAUGUUGUUCGAUUGAAUUCCAAGUCUGACACUGUGUCUCUGAUGUACUUGAGAGAUGCCUGCUUCGUCGUCAUAAUAAUCCAUCUCCACCAGACUAAUCUAUGUGGUUGCUCUGAUGCCUGCUUUUCGAUAGUGGCAGUAAACAUCGAUGUUGAUGAUCAAUCAGUUUGAUGAAGUCUGUCACAUUUCAGUAUGGAAGAAAUGCUACGGGAAACUGGUUAUCAUAUUAUCUAAUCACAAACUUGACCUUUCAGGUUGACCUCUGCGGUCAUGCGACACUAGCUGCUGCGCACACUCUCUUCACAUCUGGGAUGGUAGAUUCUGACACCAUCGAGUUUAUGACAUUAUCCGGAAUUCUGACUGCCAAAAGGGUUCCUGAAACGAAGUCAUCCGACAUUCUGAAGGUUCAAGAUGGUGAUGUGCCCGGGAUAUGGAUUGAAUUGGAUUUUCCUGUAGUCCCGAUCGCUGAAGAUGAUGCCGAGCGGAUUUCAUGUGUCUCCAAAGUUCUCAAUGGCACUUCCAUUGUUGAAAUCAAGAAGACAGCAAAGGGCGACCAUUUCGUAAUUCCUCAACUGCGACCCGAUCAUUUUCUUUUCCCCAUAAAUACUGUUUUGACUACAUUGAACCCCUUGCUUCCUCUUUGAGGCAAUCGUUUUCAUUCUGUUGAUUCCAGGAUUUGUACAGCAGCAGCUGGCAUUGAGCUGAUUUUCAUUAGGAAGAGAGUAUUUAAUUCCUUCAUUUCUACUUUCUUCUGCUUAUUUUCGAAGAUUGUUAUCCCAUCCUGGAAAGAAGUAGAAGAAUUUCAGCCCCAGUUUGAUGAGAUACAGAGAUGUCCUGGGAGGGGUAUUAUAAUCACAGGAUCAGCUCAGCCAGACUCGGGAUUUGAUUUUGUCAGUCGAUUCUUUGCCCCAAAAGUUGGACUGAAUGAGGUAUUAAAGUUCAUACCUUGGAAAGUUUCUUGAAGUAUCGAUCAUAAUUAGUUAUUCAAUUGUCCGAUUAGCUGGUCAUAUGUCGAAAGCUGUGUUCUAUCAACCAAUUUUAUGCUCUUACCGCAAACCUCUGAAUGAAUGAUCUACUUUCCAGGAUCCUGUAUGUGGCAGUGCACACUGUGCUUUGGCACCUUAUUGGAGUGAAAAGCUGGGGAAAAAAGAUCUCGUUGCCUAUGCUGUAGUCUCUCUCUCUCUCUCUCUCUUUCUCUCUGUCUGUGUUCAUCCACACAUGCUUGUGCCCAUGUCUCUGCCCUUGUGAAUGCCCAUGUGUUUUGCUUCUCUCGUCUCUCAAAUGGUAUGUAAAUGAAUGAUUUUCGAUGGCCUCAUCAUUUUCACAUCUUACAGGCAUCGCCCAGAGGUGGAGUAGUGAAGGUGCACUUGGACGAGCAGAACCAGAGAGUGUCAUUGCGCGGGAAAGCUGUAACUGUAAUGAGGGGCUCUCUUCUUGUUUGAAUUUCUAGCGCUUCUUCUUGUUUCUGAACUUAAAGCACGUGAAAAUCACUACGUGAGAAGGAAUUGAAAUAAAUGAGCUUAUGUCGUGGGUUCGAUGGUACCGAUUGGAAUAAUGUGAAAUACAUGAGAUAGCGCCCUUUCCUGUUUGACAGGUUCUUAAUUUGCUUGCAAUGGAUAGUGAACUGAAUAAGUGUUGAGUUUCAUUCCCAGAGGAUACUGUCUGCAGAAUUCUGUCUGCAGAAGAAGUGCAUAUUUGAUUGACAUAAGUGUUUAUCAGCACGGCUGGGAAAAUAAACAAGUGACUAAAAGCCUCCAUUGGACUAAGACAUCAGCAACGCACAGUUUCUGUUCCCGUAGAAACUAACUUCCUGCAAAUUCGUCGUUCGAGUAGUAGGAUGGCCGUGUCAUUUCCUAUACUUGAUGUGGAGUCGGGUUGUGAAUUGCAGCUACACUAACACGUACAUGUAAGUUCGCACAUGAAAGUUUCUGCUCUCAUCGACAACUGGUCUAUGAGAUCCGUAAUGUUUUUCACUGCAGACGGUACAGUUGAAUUAGUAAAGCGAGUCUUUCUUAUUAUGGCAAGUCUAGAUGUGAGUCUACUGAUAAUCUUGCAAUCAAACAGAACACAAGAAGAGCUGACGGCAAAUGAGGCUUUAAAAGCUCUAAAGGACCUUUAUGGCCUGAACAAAAAAUGAAGCGAAAAUAAAGUAGUCUACGUAUCACGUCCCGAACCCCAGGCACACGCACAACCCUAGGCGGUCGAUUAACGCACACAACCCUCGGCGGUAGUCUACGUAUCACGUCCCGAACCCCAGACACGAGUACAACCCUCGGCGGUCGAUUAACGUGCACAACCCUCGGUGGUCGAUUAAAAAUACAACGUCUUAGGAUGCGUUGCUGACCCAUUCCUUUUUUUUUUUCUUUCAGUUAAGCAUAUGCGGAAGUGAAUUAAAUAAACACCCGGCCAAGAAGAAGAAAAAGAAGAAGAAGAAGGUGAGCGAAAAUAAAGUAGUCUACGUAUCACGUCCCGAACCCCAGGCACGCGCAGAACCCUCGGCGGUCGAUUAAAAAUACAAUGUCUUAGGAUGCGUCGCCGACCCAUUCCUUUUUUUUUUCUUUCAGUUAAGCAUAUGCGGAAGCGAAUUAAAUGAACACCCGGCCAAUAAACAAAUAUAUGGAUAGUAAAACACGAUCGCGAUUUUCCCAUAAAAACCACGACUUAUUUAUCCAUUGUUGUCCCUAGGAAGUUUAAUGAUUUACAAGUCCUUACACUGGCAACUUCCAACCGACCCUCUCAAAAACCUCAAGGAUCAGGGUCACCCUAAACUUCGCUAACGGUAGGGCCAGCCAAAAGGUGUCGCAUCUCGCGCCCACCACAUCCGCACUCAAUAGAUCUCCACUCUACGACCCUGAAAAAUGUUAGCCCACGAUGGAGUGAGAUAAAAUCUUAGCGAGUCAAACCCUAAGCCCUAAUUAGGAUGCAAAUUCGCCCAGAGGCAGCCUAAACAAGCACCACAAACAAACUCAUCUCGCCUCGGCAUGUCCCUACACAUUAGCUCAACAUAUAUACCAUCAUCAGUGUAGCAAGCGCAGUUUAAUAACCGGAACACAUCAUUUCAAUCAUAUGGGUCUCGAUUAUAAGACCAAACUGUUAUAACAUGUCUCAAACCGUGCCACACAAUUUUUUCCUACAAUCAAGCGCAACUAUCACAACCAUUUAGGCGUGUUCCAAUUAUUACAACCAAUCGGCCACAGCCAACUCAACAGUUGGUGGUCAUCUAGCGUAACUGGGCAUCAUCCUGCCCCAUCGGGCAUUGUAUCGUCUAGAAUCGCCGCCUAGACGGCAUUCCACACAGGAGCUUCGUUUUGAAAUCCAUUCGCAAACGGCAACAUCUAACAUCCUCCGCCUAGACGGCAUUCCACACAGGAGCUUCGUUUUGAAAUCCAUUCGCAAACGGCAACAUCUAACUUGCUCCGCCUAGACGGCAUUCCACACAGGAGCAUCAUCCCGCAUAAUCAUACACAUUAGAAUGGGUUCACUUAGUGACCACACGAGCACAUACUUGGCCUUGCUUUGCGUUCAAAUACCUCAUUUUCAAAUAAUGAACUUGGUCACUUUUCUUCGUAUUAAAAUUCCUAGUAAAAAUAAUCUUGCAUGGUCAAAUAUUUGGAAUCGAACCAUCAAACUUGGUAUACUCCUAUUAUAAAACCUCCUUGUUUUAUUGAGCAUAUAAAAUUCGGCAUCCAAACCCGACACCUCAUUUAUUUUCUAUUUUCUUUCCCAACCACCCCUUUUUGUAACUAAACUUAGGGUAAUCCCCCCAUUUUUUUUUGUUCAAAGCUUUUGGAAAGAAAUUCGUAGGUGUUCACGUACUCAAAAUUAAUCCACCAAAAUUUGCACACACCUAGUUUAAAACCUCAUUGUUUUAUUGAGCAAAUAAAUUUUGGUGUCCAACCCAACACCUCAUUACUUUUCUAAUAAAUUGCCCAUAAGGCCAUCUUUUGCAAUGACAAUAUACACUCACCAUAAAACGACCAUUCACAUAUUAUCACGCAUAAGUUAUAAGUAUGUCAAAAGUCAACCAAAUCACCAAAUAUACAUUAUCCAGCAAGCACAACACCAAGAAUAACCACAAAACCACAAUCGGCCCUAACCGGCAGAAACUAGGUCCACUCGCGCGUCUCCAAGAUUAAUUCUAGAAAAAAUACUUAAAAAAGUUCAUUAAAUUCUAAAAUUUAAUAUGUCAUAAAGGACACUUAAAAAAACACUUUUCAUCAAGACACCUUGACCCAUAUAUUACUAGAUUAAGAGCAGUAAAUCGCUCAAACCGUUACCAAAACUGUGUCCGUAUCCAGAAAUUCUGUUUUCCAAAAUUAGUUUUUCUUGAGGUCCAAAAAAUGUCCGUUUGAUCUAAAAUUUGAAUAUGUUAAAAUAUAAGAUGUAAUGAAAAAAAUUUGUGAAUAAACUCUUUCGAAAAUCGGACCCUAAGAGUUGAUAAAAAUCCUUUGAACGACAAAAGGUCACAAGUUCCAGCACCAACUCGAAAUUUUGUUUUGCAAAUGACAAGGCUGAAAUAUUAUUCUUUUAAAUCCCUAAAAUCUUGAGUAAAAUAUAUGUCAUAGCUGAAGAUAUCUAGAACAUUUUUCAAGAAUGAAGUAACCUCAAAAUCGCAGCAUAUUUCCAUCCACGAAAAUAGCAAACGGCGAAUGUCUAGUAAACUGAACUGGAGAGAAAUCCACUAAACCAAGCUAAACCACCCUCAUUAAUACUAAUCUAACCAACUAGAUUAACACUAAUACAUCUUAAGGCUAAUCUAACCAAACUAGAUUAAUACUAAUCCAUCUUAAGGCUAAUUAACGCUAAUCUAACCCCUAAGCGCAAUUAACAACCUAAUCAAGGAUUAGGGAGUUAACUCACCGGUUAGGGCGGUGGCGGGUUCACAGCGACGGCAACGCGAAGACGGUGAAGACCCGAGGCAACCACAUCUCCAACAAAGGCCUAACGGUGAGGGAAAACAACCUUACAAGGCCCACGCCCAAGAGAGCUUUGGUUAUGUGGUUGAGCCGAUUUCAACUGGCUUGGUGGGCUAAUGGUGGUGCGGUGUUGCUGGAGUGGAGGCGGGGCCGCUUGGUGCUAAACGUUGGGAGUGGAGGGGUCUGUUUGGUGGCUGUUGGCUCGGGGCUGUGAUGGUGGACAACUGGACGAUUACUAGUUGGGCGGUGGAGAGUGGACGGUGGCUGUGGGCGUGUGGGCUGGUGGGAUUGCUAAACAACUCCUGCACGUCUCCCACUUGGUCGCUGACCUUGCUGCCCCUGCUGAACUGGCUGCUGGGAUUGCUAGCUUCUGGCAACAAAACAAAAAGAAAAGAGCCAGGCGAAGGAGAGGGACGUGAGGGAAGAAUUGAAAUGGAGAGGAUGGUGGUCUGCUGAAAGGGGAGGGAAUGUGCGCACGCAAGAAGGAGGGAAGGGGAGAGAGAAAGGAGAAAAUGAAAGUCCAAGCAUCAACCAACCAAAACCCUUGAGCAAAUAUCUAACCAUCAUCACAUGCCUCAAAAGUCCUCUUGCCACAAAAGUCAAGUGGCCCUCCAAUGAAGAAUUUGCUCUUAUUUCUUUAAAAAUAAACCAUCUUGGGCAGCCAAAAUCCCUUUUUUCCCUCUUGAUCCAAAUUUCCCUUUUUCUUUUCCGUUUUGUUCGAAAUUGAUUUUUUCGCAAAAUUUCGGACUCGACGAAAAUUCGCCGAAAGAUGAGAUGACGUCCUAAAAAUGAAUCGUGACACGCUCGAACAUCCGAUUCCCGAAAACAAAUUCAAAUUUGUGGUUAAAAUCGACUAGACGCGAUUUAAGUACAACCUAACCUACCGGGUAGCUUUUAGGAAUUUUAGCGCAUUUAAACCGUGGUCGAUAAUUUUCGACCCACGUUUGUGCAUCUCUGACGUGUAGGCAACUUCGAUUGUCGUAAAAAUCGCAAGGUUUCAAUCACAUGUCCCGUGUAUAAAAUCAAUAGAAAAUCGAGUUAGUGUCGUUCAACGCGAAUUUCGAAAUCAUGUAGAAUCACCCACAAUUCAAUUAUGUGUUUCUGUCGAAUCGACCUAUAUCCGAUCACUAUUUGAUUAUAACGGUGUCGUAUUAACCUUUGCCGAUUAUUACGGUCGAGCGAUCGAUUUCCGAUCGAAUUCUCUAGUCUGCCGUGUUUAUAUCCCAUAACUAGAGGUGUGCAACGGAAACCGCCCGAACUGGGAACCGGCCAGACCGAACCGGACCGGACCGGCCGGACCGGACCGAACCGGACCGGACCGGCCGGACCGGACCGGACCAAUUGGUUUCGAGCGGUUCUAGAGGGUCUCGGUCCGAUCUCAGGUUCCUAUUUUUGGAACCGGUGACCGGUUGGUCCGGUUCCCGGUUUCGGGGUCGGAACCGAACCGACCGGACCGACCAUUUAUAUAUAUUUAUUUAUUUUUAGUUUCUAAACUAAUCUGCAGUACCCAUCACCAUAUUCAUUUUUCCUCUUGUAACUCUUAAGCUAAUUCCUCCCCUUUUUUUUUAGUUUCUGAACCUAUCUAUAGUAACCAUCACAUCAUAUUUUCUUUUCCAAAUUUUGCAACUCUCACUUUCCCUUCCCCUCUCGUAAGCCUAACCGCUCCUUCUUUUAUUUAGUUUCUACUCUAAUCUACAGUAGCCAUCACAUCAACUUCCAUUUUCCCAAAUUUUGCAAUCCAAUUCGACGGCAAUUCUCACUUUGCCUUUCCCUCUCAAAACCGUAACCCCUCCCCUCUUGCUCGCUGGACGCCUCGCCCCCAACGCCUCACCUCACGCCUCACUCGUGCUGAUGCUCGGCUCUCUUCCUCCGAGUGCCUCGUCGCAACGUCUCGCCUCACACCUUGCUCCCUCGGACGCUCAGCUCUCUUCCUCCUCCGAGUGCCUCGCCGCAACGUCUCGCCUCACACCUCGCUCCCUCGAAUGCUUGGCUCUCUCCCUCCUCCAAGCGCAUUGCCCCGAUGCCUCGCUUCACUCCUCGCUCGCUCUGACGCUCGGCUCUCUUCCUCCUCCGAGCGCCUCUCCACGAGGUCUCGCCUCAUACCACGCUUGAUAUAGGUGUGGCGGUCUCAUUGGAGUUUGCUUGCUUGUUUAGUCUCUAAAUGGGUCUGCUGAUAGGUCAUGCGAAGCAUGUAGCAGUAAGUCGCAGCCUCCCGUAGUCGUAGCCUCGCCUCAUGCCUAGCUUCGAUCAAGUUGCUUAAGCCUUGACGUCGACACCUUCCCCUCUCACAACCUUGGCUUCGGCCUUGCUCAACACUCAAAUGCCUCUCCAUCAUCAAAAUUGGUACAUUUUCUCUUUCUCCACAAGUUGUGAAAAUUUUAAUUGCCAAUUGAUUCAUUGAUUCGGGGGCAAUCCUUUGAGGUUUAUGAAAUGAAACAAGUGAUGGUUCAUUGGAACCGGACCGGACCGGACCAGACCGGUUGGUCGGUCCGGUUCUCAGUUCCAAGAUCAGCCGGUUCGGUCCACGGUCCAGAAAAGUGGGAACCGGUCCUCCUGGUCCGGUUCCCGGUUCUUGAGUGGAACCGGACUGAACCGGGAACCGAUCACCCCUACCCUUAACAGCCUCACCUAAUAGAUUAGUUAACUCGUGAGGAGCUAACUUAGAGAAAAAUGACUAUAGGUGCAUCAACGAAACAACCAUUUCAUGUGUUCAAGACGGGGUCGAAAUUCGGGAUGUCACACUACACCAUGCCAGUCCGACCUUGUUAAGGCAAUCACGAAGCAACAAAAUAUGAGGCUUAAGCAGGGCAAUAGAAACUUCGAAUAAAUCAACUAGAGAUCGUGACAAACAUCAUACCUCUAUGCUUUCUGGUCCGGAGUUGGAACCAUUGUUGCUUGGGCACUGUGAUAGUGAGCGCAUCUCCUCUCAUGGCAGCAGUAGAGUCGCUUGCCCUAACAUUCUUAGGAAGAACCAUCUGGAUCUUAUUGUUUGCCACUUCGCUUCUGUCGCAUGAGAUACAAAGCGACUCGCCAUCGAUGAUCUCAACCUUCAAUUCGUCCUUCCUCAGUUGUGGAAGCUGUAGGCGAAAGACAUAGUUGGUCGCAGUCUUUUGGCUCUCGACCAACUCAUCAGGAGAGAAUGGAUCAUUGUAAAAGAAAACUCCUGCUUCAUGGUCAUGCCAUUCCAUUCUUAUGAUACGAAUUAAUCUCUUUAAGAGCCGAAUCCGAAGUGGGCAAUCCAUCGGAAUGGGAUUCGCAGUUCUUCAAUAUGGAGUCAGUAGCUUUGCUAAGAAUACAUACAUAACUGCAGUCUAAGGCCCUUGCACUCUUUAAGGCAAGUUGGCAACCUUGUAGUUGAGUAUCUAAUUCCCACUAAAUUAAUGAAGAUUAAUACAAAGGACCAUAAAGAUUUUAGAGGACCAUGGCCACCUGUUCUGAAAUUUUAAGGUGUCAGAUGAAGGUGAGUGUUUAUAUCUUUAAGGAUUGGGAAAGAUUUGAAGUCAGAUUCGAAUGCUCUCAUACUGUCACGCCUCGGAAUUCCGAGCCCGCGCACAUCCCUCAGUGGUCAAUGAAAUUGCGACAUCUCAGGACGCUUCACCGACCCAUUCAUUUUAUUGCACAUGCGGAAGCGAAUAAACAAAUCCCCUGAUAGCUAAUAGCAUGAGAUAGAAAAGCAAGACAACAAAUUCAUAACCAAAACACGCUUUUAUACACAAACUAGGUUUAUAUACAAGACUAGUUUGUCUACCAAAAAGAUUAGCCCUCAAAAAGGAAAAUGUCCUACGACCCCCUAGUCGGACACGUUCACCGACCUUUCAGACUCCACAGGCUCGAGGGUCCCCCACAACACCAUUAGGAUGGUCAGCUGUACCAUUGCUAAAAGCGGCGUCGACGACCACAGCAGGGACCUCAAAACCCUGGAAGGGACCCACUCUGUAUCCAUUGAGCCCGCGGCAAAACCACGCCCUAAAUUAGGGAGACACCCUCUGAGGUAGGCCCUCAUCGACCCAAACCGUGGUCACUACGAGCUCAUAAACCUAGACCCCAUGGCCUCCGGGAAUAAGGUAGUCAAUAACCAGCUCAGUAACCCUCUGAGGCUGACCAUAACGAACUGGCGGGGCCGCCAUCUAAGGACCUAAAAAGAAUUGAGCCCACGACUGGGUGAGAUAAUGUCUCAGCAAGUUCACCCCCUAAACUCUGACUAAGAAGGAAAUACGCCUAGCCACACAAUCACACAACCACAGAGACUUACCUCAUCUCAGAUCCUCCCUGCAGGUCAGCAUAGUUUAAAUACACAACCAUAUGCAGUAAUCAACCCCAACCAAUUAAAAUGCCACCACUUUGAUCUCAAUAAACACAAAGGUUCCAAUUAUAAGGCCAAAUCGUUAAGACACGUCCCAUACCAUGCCACACAAUUUUGUCACAUAAUCAGGUGCGUCAAAUCAAUCGAUCAUGCAUCCUAAUUGAUUACAACCCAACGGUCAUGGCUGACUCAACAGUCAGCGGUCUUCCGGCAUAGCCGGGCGUCAUCUCAUAUCAUCGAGCACGGCAACAUCUAUAUCUAGAUGGCAUUCCACAUAAGCGCAUCGAUCCAGCCUCCACUGCGACCGGCAUUCGUUGACUUGAGGCAUUCCCGAAGGAGCAUCGUUUGGCCCCAAAGGCUUGUGACAGGUUCUCAUAUUAUUCAUGCAUCCAUCCAAUCCCGGCCAAGACAUCGUGCUUUGCACUCAAAUAUCCCAAUUAAAAUAAUGUACUUGGCCCAUUUUCUUCAUAUUAAAAACACACGGUAAAAUAAUUAUGUGUGGGUACACGGUCAAUUUAAACCAGAAAAAUUGAUACCAUUCUUUUGAAAAUCCCACUAUUUGAUAUAGUAUUUAAAACUAUUUUCGGUGUCAAAACACAACACUUGGGAUUUUUUAAUUAAAUAUCAAAAUCUCUUAAUUUUGGAAUAAAUAACCAAAUUUCCAAUCACCACUCAAUUUGCACAAAUUAACACUCAAUUGUAUAAACUAAGCACACCAUUGCAAUCGGCAUGAAAUUCUGGUCACCGGCUAUCCCGGUUUUAUUUCCGAAAAAUAUUAAAUAAUUAAAUAAAUACCAAAAUUAAUUAAAUAAUGUAAAUUAAAUACCAUAAAUACUCACUUAGGCCGGAAACACUAAUCUAACCACCUAAACGGGCCUAGAAAUUUCUGAACCUAUUUAGAUAAAUAGCAUGACCUUUUUAGGUCCUAAUCAAUCCGUUCUAACCACCUAACAUGCACAAUUGAAUAAUUAAAUCACUAAUCUACACUAACUAACCACAUUAUCCCUAAUUAGCCUAAACUAAUUAUCCAUUCAACGUUAUUAACUCCUUAAUCAGAGUUUAGCAAGUAAACUCACCGGUUUAGCAGGCCGCUGAGUCGACGUCAGCAACAUAGAGGUGAACGACACUCGAGCCUACGGCGACACAAACGGAGGUCCGGACGGGCCUUAAAACAGGCCUAGAAGCUUCAUGGCUGGGCUGAAUUCGGCCUCUGUCCAAGGGCCAAAGAGGCUGGGCUGAGCAGCUGGUUGGCAUGGAAAUGGAAAGGUGGUGGACUAGGCGGCUAUAGCGGGCGACGGCGAUGCUCAACGGUGGCUAGACGGUGACGUAUGGUGGCCAAGGCCAUCUCGACGGUAAGCAGGAUGGCUCAGGAUGGCAACUAGACGCAAGCAAGUGGUGGGACGGCAGGGGCUCGGUGACGGGCCCGCGGGCGAGCGACUGGCACGUGACAGGCGGACAAGUAGCGAGGGAGCUCGGACAGCUGCUAUUGGCUCUUGGUUGGCUUUCUCUACAACUUUGAACUUUCAAAACACUCAACAAUGGAGAAAGUAGUCCAAGGGAGAAGAAGAAGCCACCUGCUAAAGAGAGGGGGACCACCAAGCCUUCUAGACAACACAAAUAUCCCAAUUCGCUCAUUGCAAAGGCCCCCACCACUCAGCCUUCAUCCUCAGCCAUUUGACACCUAAGCCUUCCCGUAGAAGCUUCCCCAAAUGGUCCAAAUGUUGCUACCCCUUGGUCCUACGAAUUUUGGACCAAUUCCCUCCAAAUCCACUUCAAUUCUUCUCCAAUUGAGUUCAAAUUGGAGUCCAUAAAUCCAGCCAAGGCGCCAUCGUCCAUCUCAUAAUUUUUCCUCGUCAAUUGAACCAACUUGAAGGACAAAAAUGCGACCAAAAAUGGCCCAUCGAAUUUUUCGGUCCAAAAUAACCCAACUUUGAUUUUUCGCCGAAAUCUCGGGUUUGCAAAAAAAAUUUCGGAGGAUGAUUCGACGUUCCUAAAAUGAAUUGUGACAUGAUAGAACUUUCAAUUUCUAAAAUUGGAUUUAAAUUCAUGGUUAAUUUCAACCGGGCACGAUUUUAGCGUGACCUAACCUACCUGGUAGCUUUUAGGAAUUUUUAGUGCAAUUGACCCGUAAUUGAUUAUUUUCAAACCACAUUGUACAUCUUUGACACAUUGGUGACUCUCGGUUGUCGUGAAAAUCUCGAGAUUUCAAAUACGGACACAGGGUACAGAAAUGAUAGAAAAAUCGGUCUAGUGUCGUUUGACAGAAAUUUUGCAAUCAGGUGGAAUCACCCACACACUAAUCACAUACAUCUGUCGAAUCGACCUAUCUCCGACCUCUGAUCAAUUUCGGCGAUGCUGUAAUGACCCUUGCAGAUUAGCACGGUCGAGCAGUCGAUUUCUGGUCGAAUUCUCAAGUCUAUUGCGUUAAAAUCCCUUAAUGGCUUCACCAUAUAGACUAGUUAUCUCGUGAGUGAUCAGCUCAGAGAAUAGAACUAUAGGCGUGUUGAUGAAAAGCUCAACUUAUUCAAUUGAAAACAAAACCUGAAAAUCAGGAUGUCACACAUACCUUGUAAAGAUCGUUUAGCACCAUUAUCUACAUUUUUAAUAGUUAUAUAGUCAGAGAAAAACAUGGUUUAAUAUUUAUGUAUACUACCAAGGACUAGGCCAACUUAUGAUCUAGUAAUCUACGCAUGAUCUUGCUUUGGAGGAAAGCUCGCUUUAAUUUCUCAUUCUAAGAGAUGAACGCAUAGAUCAAUUUAUCUAUUAAAUUAGGCCCACCCUAUUUCCACCCCCUUAUUAGCUCCUGACACUUCCUAUAAUUGACUACAUUAAUCAUUGCGGGUCCCGCUCUUGAUUAAAUAUUAUUACUUGUCUUUUUCACCCUUUAUUAUUGGCUCUUGACACCCGCUAUCACAUUAAAUUAACAACAUUAUCCCUUUAUUUCUUUAUUUUUUUCAAUUUUAUUAAAAGAAAAACUCACCCACAUCACUUUCAAACUAUUUUUUUUCACCCUAGCCAAUUCAAUCCACACCUGCUACAUUUCAACGUUUCCUUCAUGUUUCUCUUCUUAAGGCUCACAGCGAUAUUGAGCAUCAAUCCCAAUCUAUAACAACCUCCAUAAUUCACAAAGCCAAACAAAAAUAUAUAUCAUAAAUCGGUUUCACAAAUCAAAACACAUAGUCUUUUUGCAACUCGGCUCAUUCACCACAAAUACUUUUUGUAAAGCAUUUCUCAUGUCAUUUCAAAACUCGUUUCUUAAACUGAAAUAAAUUUCAUAUACAUUUUCACAACACAUUUCAUAAACCAAGUUCACAAAUCAACAUAUAUAUAUACAUAUAACCUUUCGCAAUAACUUUCCAAAAAAAUUUGGCAAAUCAUUCACAAGUACCAAAUCAUAGUAAAUGCUCGAUCAAGAUUUUUUGCAACAAAACAUGCUUUCAAUUACUUAUAAUACAUCAAAUCUCCAUAACUUUCAAGACAUGAGUUUUCAAACUCAUAGAAGAAAUAGCAUCACUCAUAUGAGAAAGCCAAAAAUCAACCACAGCGAUCACUCGAGUUGACACACUAAAAUUCCUAACAAAUAACCAAAAAACAAUAUCAAACGACUAAGUAACACGAUAUUCUAAUGAACGAAUCAACUAUACUAUGCCUAUUUGUCAAUAAAACGAUACCUAUAUGCUAACGAAAAGCUUGCCCCUAGCGGAAACCUAUUGUUGUUUGCAAGCCGCGUUAAAUUUCAUCACGCCAUAACUUCCUCCAUAGAAUUCUGUUUCAAGCCAACUUAUAAUCCUUAUUUUGACAUACUAUUAGAACCCCAACUUAGCUGCCCCAAGACCUUGCUGGAAAUGACUGAAAUUUGGCUCAAAAUUUACUAUUUGAAACUCUGUCCAAAAUGAACGCUGAACUUGAAAAUUCCGUUCUAGGCAAAUCACAAGCUCAAAUUGAGAUCCAUAAAAUGCUAUAGUUUCACAAUAUCCUAAACUAUCAUUUCUAUAAAAACACACCACCCGAAAACUCUCCAGUCAAAUGCAACAAGUCAUAAUCGACCUAAAACCGAAUUUCCAACCCUAAUUUUGACAAUUCCUUUGAAUAGACGAUUAGGGGCCUUGAUCACUUACCAACCUUGCAAAAUAGAUUAAGUCAGCUUAGCGAUUCAUAGAAUCAUAAGCACACGAAAAUUUUCCCCUUCCUUCUUCCUUCUUUUUUCUUUCUCCUUUUUCUUCUUCCUCAAUGAGCCCCUUUUCUUUCCCCUAUUUCUACUUCGACUUUUAAUAAUAUUUAAAAAAUAUUUUGAAUUAUAUCGGUUUCUUUUUUCUUUUCUUUUCAAUAUGUUUCUUUUGGGGGGGAGGCGUACUUAGGGCCAUAAGAGUCUUUAGCCAAUUCUCACUGACCACAAGGGUGAGGACUGCACACCCUCACUUUGGCCGAUGAGGACGUCUCAGCCCUUGCCUAGCCCUCACCUACCACAAUGAGGGCCCAUGAGCGCUCACAUAGUGGCCACUGAGGACGUGGUGGCCCUUACCCAGAGCAGAUAAGCACUGCAACACCCUCACCUAAUGCCAACAAGGGUUGUCGGCCCUCAAUCAAAAAAGAAAAAGAAAGGUAAAGUAAAAUAAUAAUAAUAACCCAUAAAAACUAUAAAAAAAAUAAAAAACAUAUGAAAAUAUUAUUUAAAAAAGUUUAGGUCUGUGCCGACCGUGCUAUAUAAGAUGACUGGUGUCCAUGUCAGUAAUUCCCUAUCAAAAUUGUCUGGAUGAACUUAACUAACAAAACUUGAAAAUAUUUAUAACUUAAUUAGUAUAAUUGAAGGUUUAUGAUUGAAUUGACACAAACGUAAUAGAUUUAUAACAAUUUUUUUUUAUAAUUGUCCCAUAUAAAAACAGUCACAUUUAAAACACAUUAAGUGCUAUUGCACGAAUUGCAGUGUUGCUUCUCUCAUGAUUUCUCGAAUAGUGACUAAGACCAAAAUCACAGGCAUGCUAUUUAGAUUUAAGAAAUCAAGGCAUAUUUGGAAAUGGAUUGGGUUAACAAGCCCGAAAGGCGCUUGCUAAAAACCAAAAGAUGUAGAAAGAGCAACUGUCGAUGCACAUUAGAAAAUAAAAUCGAUACUUCUUUUUAGUUUUUGCCGAACCAAGAGGACAAUGAGGGGCGAGUAGUGGUGACUAUAACCUCUCGAUGUUACUUUAAGAAAGUAUCGCACCCAUCACAAAAUGUUCAAUUUAGGUGAGGACGAGCCUCUGCUACUCAACACUAUAAAGGUAGGCGACCCAAGACCAGGACACCGCCGUAGUACUAGAAGUCCACAGCCCAUUCCCAAGCCAAGUCAGAAGACUAAUCGACAUGAGCAAGGUCACUAGAUAUGGGAAUACAAGCACGAGACCAACUUGAAUACGUCCGAUGGGAUAAUUAAUACUUCUUAUCAUACAAGGUUAAUCUUUCAGUUUCCACAUAAACAGAGUAGGUGAUGAACAAACUUCGCAAAUCAUGUGAGCGCCGUACACAAGUUAUGGCACUGAUAGUGUACUUCUCGCACACUAAUGUCAUACGUGGACCUAGAAAUGAUAGAUUAAAUAUGAAAAAUGUCAGAUAUUCUAAGACAUCUUAUUAAAACUUACUUAUCAAGUGAUGUAGCAAGUAUUAAUUAGAUAAUAAGGAAUAUGAUUAUAUUAUAUUACAUUAUUAGUUUCUUUCAAUACACAAUUGAUAAUUGUCAAAUCACUCACUAAAAAGUAAGUUCAGUGUUUGGUACAUUUACUUUGCUUAAUAAAUAAUGUAGUUUAUUUCAAGUGUGUCUCGGUCAAUCUAGAUAGACACAUUUAAAAAAAAAAAUGAUAACCUUAAAGCUCUUUUUCAUUCAUUGAACCCCCAUCAACCGAAAUUUAAAGUUUACUUCUCUGGCAAAAAUUGGUAGAAAGAGUAAAGACAAGAAAAAGAAUAAAGAGAAGCACACUAUAUUAUUUAAUGAUAACUAUUAUAUUAAUAUUUUGAAUUUGAGCCAUGUAUGAGACCCCAUCCAAUUAGAGGAUAUAGACCCCUCUGUAUUAGAUGAGGUGUAAGAGAAAGGGUCCUAAUUGGACUUUGAUUUUUCUUGCCUUUCUUUCAAAAGAUAAUCUUGAAUUUACUUGGGCUGUGGAUUCAAAUAAAGAAGAGAACUUAAACAAGAAAAGUUGUUGGCGACUUAUUACUCAAGGGUUUGACCGAUCAAGGCUUGAAAUUUUUCAUACAGUAAAAGAGAGAGAGAGAGAGAGAGAGAGAGAGAGAGAGAGAGAGAGAGAGAGUACUGGGUUAGAGGGUUUCUUGACGUAAGAGGAUUUUUUUUUUUUUUAGAGAACGUGAGUUUUGCUUUAAUUGUCUCCGCCGACCAUAGCCACACAAUACGGUAGGGGAUUUCUUUCUUUUUUUUUUUGGUAAAAGUAAGCAAUAUAUUGGGGAAAAUGCCAAAUUGUACAGACGCACACGGCUUAAAAAAACUUGCACUCUAGAUGAACGGGUCAUUAAGAGUGGAAGGAAGCCGGGAGGAAAAGCUAAUAGGCCAAAACAAGAAAACCCGUAAAACAAGAAAACACAAGAACGGCAUGAACAACCGCCAACUAGAAACAACCAACACAAAAGCAAAACAGAAGAGGCAAGAAUCAUCCACCUCCCACCGCAAGAUGCAGCAACCUCAGAGUGAGGUACAGGAAAAGCAUGAGCCAAUGGUCACCAGGUAGAUUAGAGUGACGGAUCUAUAGAUGCGAAAAUGAGCUAGUCAAUGUCCCAGCUGCGCUCUAACCUUCUAUUCCUAGCAGUGUCCUCAACAUUUCUGAAGGCAAGAGCCUUAUCUUUUACAACUUUAAGAAGAUGCUUCUUCAUGGCCGAGACGAUGAGCGGCUCCUCUCUGAAGAGUAUAUUGUUUAUGUUCUUCCAAAUAAUAUGGCAAAGUGCACCAAAUGAAAACCAAGCAAUGCACUUAUAAAAAUCUUUGCCCGACAGCAAGGUUAUGGCCCAACGUAGAUUCUCACUCCAAGAUCUGUUUCACCAAGAAAGAUUGCAUUUGGCAGCUCAAAAGAAAGCAAUGUUAGCCGUAAUGCAACACUCAAAAAACAGAUGAUCAAUAGAGUCAGGCAAAUCAUUGCAAAAAGGGCAAGAACCAGUAUCUGUCCUACCAUAAGAUAGAAGAAGAGCUUGGGUGGGAAGCCUACGCUUAGUGAUGAGCCAAAGGUGAAAUUGGUACCGAGGCAUGAUGGUGUUGUUCUAAACAAACGGAUGCCAAAAAACCCGGGACAUCUUCCGCCUAAUGGCCUCCCAAGUCGUCGCAACCGUGAACUUGCCCGUUGAGUUCUCCCUUCAAUAAAAACAAUCUUGGUUCGGAGAUAGGGAGGGAGGGGGGGUGCUCCCACAACUUCAACACUGCCUUGAUAGCCUGGCCUUCAUUCGAAAAGAGGUUUGCCACCGUAGCCUGCCUAGAAAGACCGGAACUAUAGAUGAGCAAAUCUAAGAAAAAUAAAUUCAACGGGCUUUUAGGGUACCGAUUAUCAAACCAAAGUGACAUAGAUAGGCCAUCCCCUAUUCUCCAACAUAAGCUAUGUUGGAUUUCCACCCUGAGUUGUAGUAUCUUCUUCCACACCCAAGAACAGCAAGUUGGCUUCUUCACGACCUAGAAAUUUCUCCUUUUUAAGAAGGUCGAGUGGAUCCACUUGCACCACAGUGACUCCUUGCCUGAAAACAAGAUUCAGAUAUGCUUCAACAUAACAGCCUUGUUACAAUCACGGAGUCUCCAGAUACCAAGGCCUCCCUCCUCUUUUGGGAGGCAAACAUCAUCCCAAGCCACCUUGGCGCCCCCUCUGCCCAACUCCGGGUCUUUCCAAAGGAAUUGUUUAAGGAUACGCUCAAUCUAGUCCAACACAGUUGCAGGAAGAAAAAAAGCACUUGCCUAAUAAGCCUGGAUAGCAUGAAGCACUGACAUGAUCAACUGAAGACGGCCAGCAAAGGAAAGAAAACGAUGCAUCCAAGAUUGAUGUGACUAACGAGAGCCGCACAAUCCACCUUCCCUAGCCUUGACAUAAUGAUAGGCACCCCCAAGUAACGGACUGGGAGGUUCCCUUCCACGAAGCCUAGGCCAACCAGGAUUUGAUUCCUUAAGGAUGGCGAGCCCCCAAACAAGAACACCUUGCUUAUCCUCAUAUUUUGGUGUAAACCACUCCAAGCUGAGAUCAUAUGAAGGCCUUCUUUGAGGAGCGUCACAGAAGGCAAGUCUGCUUCACAAAAUAGGAAUCCAUCAUCCGCAAAGAACAAAUGCGAGAGGUUGGUGGCCCUACAUCUCCAAAAGAACCUAAGCUCCGGCUACAAGGAGCACUUUACUAGGAUCCCGGAGAGCACCUCCAUAACCAAUGUAAAUAAGUAGGGAGACAUGGGAUCCCCCUGUUGAAGGCCUCGCCCACUAGGAAAGAAGCCAUGUAGCUCUCCAUUCAAAGCGAUGGAAAACCUUGGCGUCCUCACACAGGUCAUAAUGAGCUGCUCCAAGUGAUCAGGAAAUUGAAAAGCAAGGAUAACACUCUCAAGAAAGUGCCAAUCGAUUGUGUCAUAGGCUUUCCUGAAGUCGACCUUGAUUGCACACUUACAUGAAUAAGGCUCCAAGUGGAAGCUAAAGAGGAGUUCCUAAGCCAAAAGGAUAUUGUCCUUUAUUCGCCUCCCUUUAACAAACGUUGUUUGAGAAGAGCUCACUAGAUCUUUUAGUACCACGGCAACCUAAUUUGCUAAGACUUUGGUAAUUAGCUUGUAAAUGGUAUUACAACAGGCUAUAUGCCUAUAAUCAUCGACAUAAGUCGCAUUGGGAACCUCUGGCACCAAAACCAAAAUGGUAUUGUUGAUCUCCCUCAAGAAUAUCCCCGUGGUGAAGAAAUCUCUCGCGGCUACCAUGACAAGCUGUCCAACCAUCCCCCAAUCCCCCAGUUCUCCUUGAAGAAUUCAACCGUGAAACUAUUUGGUCCCGGGGCCUUACCCCGAGCUAAAGAAAAGAGAGUGUCCCAAAUCUCUAGAUCAUAGACAGGCUACGCAAGAGAGGUGAUAUGGUCUUCAUUUAACAUAGAUAGUAUAACCUCUCGGAUCUCCCCAACUGAAGGCGUUCCCUGCACCACCUGAGGCAUGAGGAGGUUCUGGAAAUACUCGACAAAACGCUGCUGGACCAACUGAGGAUUAGAGAUUUAAUUGCCCAAGGUAUCCACAACAGAGAGGAUUCUGUUUCUCAUCUGUCUCUUCUUGACAUAAUGGUGGAAGAACUUUGUAUUACGAUCCCCUUCCUUAAGCCAUCUGAUUCUAGCUUUCUGUCUAAAAAACAACUCCUCUUUAGAGCGAAGGUCCAAGAAGGUUUGGUGCCGAAUCUUCUCCACCUCAGCAAGCUCAACAUUGGUAGGAUCCUGCUGGAGACCAACCUGAGUCAUCUUUAAAGCUUCUCUCGCUUCUGAAGUCCUGGCAAAGAUGUUGGAGAAGGACUCCCUAUUCAACUGCUUGAGCCGACUUUUAAGGAAUUUAAGUUUGCAAACAAGCUUGUACAUGGGCACGCCUUCCCACGGAUCUUCCCAAAUUUGAUUAACAAUUGCCUCAAAGUCCGGAUGCUUCAUCCAAAACUCAAAAAAUUUAAAAGGCUUCCUCCUAGGCACCGGGUUCACCACCUUAACCAUCAUAGGUGAGUGAUCCAAAAUCCCAGGCGUUAGGAAGGACACUUCCGAGAAGGAAAAAGUUUGGCUCCAACAAAAAUUUACCAACCCCUAUCAAUCUUACUUGCCUUACAAGAAGUUCUAGAAGAUGUAGACCAGGUGUACCUAAAGCCCACAUACCUGAGGUCCUUCAGCUCCGAGUGAUCUAAGCAAUGGCCAAAAUCGUCAAAGCACAGCAACCAAUUGUCAGAACUACCUAACAUGUCCAAGGGGUCCUUUAUAGCAUUGAAACCCCCCAUAACACGCCAAGGCACAUUCUGUAAAAAAGAACUCCUAAGCAUAAAGUCCUCCCAAAGAGGUCUCCGGGAAGUGAAAGUGUACUCAGCAUAAACAAUAGUGACACAGCAAACAACCCCCGAAACUAAACACUUAAGAUUCUCAUGAACCGCCUGGUCCGUCAUAGAGAAAGCUUCGAACAACUAAAGGAUCCCAACCAACCAAAAUCCUUCCCCUAUGAGAGUAGUCAUAGUUUGCCAACCAGCACCAGUUCCCCAACAGACUGCUAGAGAUAGAAUUGAAAAGAUUCUACGAGACAUUCGUCUCCACAAGACCAACCAAAACCAAUGAUUGGACAAAACAAACUUUUGAACCUCAACUUGCCUAAUGGGGUUAACAAGGCACCUAAUGUUCCAGCACCCUAUGUACAUAAAUAAAUAAAUAUAAGCAAAAAGAGGUGAAGAAGAUGGGGUUACCUCCUUUUAGAGGAACUACGCCAUGUAGGGGGCGGAGCAGCAUAGGCCGAAGUAGGGGGCAGGUCCAAAGCCGGAGUGAGCAACUUGUCUUGCAUUGUCUCUACCCUCCUACUAGCAACCGAAGCCUUUGGUGAAGGACACGAGGAUAGCAGGUCAUCAUCUGAUCUACACAGAUUAUCCAAGCCCUCUACCUCCUCACCAGGGCUAGGCAAACCAGGAACAAAAGGCUCCAUUGGGUCGGCCAUAUUCUCCGCGAAGAUAGGGAUAGUUUCAACCUACUUCGACAGGAUUUUGAGACCCCUCUGGGCCUUUCGAGUUGAGGUGGAGGGGAGUCCCUUCUCCACAAAACCAGCCUUUGGAAUCAGAGAUCGCCCCUCAUCACUGGAACUAACCUGGAUAGUCGAAUUUCCUUUCAUAGGAGGAGGCGGUUUCUUCUUCUUUCCCCUGACUUGCUUCCACGCCUGAUAUGAUUCUGCAGGGACUUGCAAAGCAGGGGCGGGGAGCUAAACAGGGAUUGACGGAGUGGGGGAAGCCUGGGUCUACUGAGCCGUCUUCUCCAAGUUGGUGGAGACUGGGGAAACGUCAUGCUUAUGGCCAAAAACGCCACACUUGAGGCAUUCAAUCGGCUUCCAUUCAUAUUCAAUAGCUAUAGCCCUCGCUACUCCAUUCACCACCACUUCAACCGACGAACACCUCGGUUGAUUUGCUUGGAUCUCUACACACACCCUCGCAAAAGAAAUCAUCCUCAUUUUCUCUGUGUGUUGGUCCACAUAGAGGGGUUUGCUAAUGGUACUAGUGAUGGCACUUAUGGUCAGCGCCAACCAUAGAUCAAAGAGGAGAUUCUUAAGUCUAAUCCAUACCAAGACAAAAGAUUGGUUGUCUUUCUUUAGCUCCAAAAGAGGCUUCCAUUGUUGUAAUGUGAGGGGGACCCUUGCCACCGUUAGAGGCCCCUCUUCCAAGAUCUUUCUAUGAAACAAGGGAUCCGAAACAUGAAAAUAGAAUAAACCUUGAUCAUCGGCCAAAACUUCCACAAGUUUUGGGCCCCAAGUGUGAAAGUGCUAGUAUGAGCACCUAGAGGGGGGUGAAUAGGUGCAAAAAUAAAUUUUACAAAAUAUAGUGUAAAACUUUACUUUUAACCUGAGUCUGGUUGACAAUAGACUUUGUAGAGGAAAUCAGACUUUAACAAUUAAAUAGAGUUACAAACAAAAUAAACGAGUUCAACGAAAAGAAUAAGAACACAAGGUUUAUAGUGGUUCGGCUUAAUCUAAGCCUACGUCCACUCUCCCGCACUAAAAACCCACUGGCUGGAUUUCACUAAGAAUCAAAAGAGUCGUUACAGUAUCACGUCCUUGAUUCCACAAUGUAGAGACUCUACUACACUUCCACAAGGCCUCACAAAUAUCUAAACUCUCUUUUGAGUACAAGUUUACGCUCAACAAUUGAAUCAAUAAAGAACAAGGAGUUUCAGACUUUGGAAUUUAUCUAUUGCGCACACACUCGAAUAACUAGAGCGUCUUCCUUAUAUACUCCUCCAUGCCUUCAUAACCAUUGGCACCUUCCAAAGGAGUUCUUCCAAUCUACCCGUUGGACAGAAUCAAUUAGGGAGAUCUCGAGUUACUUAAGGAAUGUGAUGAUAGCCCACCAAUCUUGAUCGCCCAUACAAUCAGGAUCUAGGUUUCCAUAAGUAGAACCUUCCAAGUAUACUUCACCAAUCAAUGGAUCCAAAUUACUCGUAUUGAUUUCAAAACACAUAAUAGAUCUUGAGAUGCUAUCUCCAGUCGUGAGAACUUCUUUAGCCGCUCGAAUCAAAACCUUAAAGUAAUACUCGAUUCUGGAUAAGUCUUCUCCGUCGGUCUAAAAACUGUCAAUGAGGGCAGACUUUAAAUCUUGAGUCUGGCGGUCUUCAGACUUUGACGAGAGAGUCUGCCAGUCUUCAGACUAAACUGAUGGAAACGUUUUGUCAGCUUCAAAACAAGUAAGGAAGUUUUCUCCAACAAUCUCUCCCUUUUUUAUGGUGACAAAACUUUCUUGCAGAUUUGGAUAUUUUUGACCUGCAAGACAAUACUCAAGCAAACAAGGAUAUCUCAUAAAAGAUAAAUGAGUUAGGAUAAAGAUAGUAUCGAAUCUGCAUCCACAGGAAAUGAGUUAGUCCUGUAAAAACAAUUAUCUUUGCCAAUAAUGCUUAAGAUACUGCAAGCAUUUAAACGAUCAAAACACAAUCUUAAAACACAAUUCAAAUCAAUCACAACCAGAUAAAAAUCAAAGUCAAAUCUAAAAAUCAAUUCAAAUAUGCACCAACUUCUCCCCCUUUUUGUCAGCAUUAAAAAGGUAAAGAUGAAAAAGAGAAUUGGAUAAAAUUAAGAUUGUUUUGGAAUGCGAACGAUCUGGAAAUCUCCCAUCAACUUGACAAUCUCCUCCAGCUUUCUCAGAUCCUCCUUCAGUUGCGCUACUUCCUCACCCUUGGCAGUUGCUUGAACUUGAACAUUAAGGGCCUGAACUUGAUUGUGCAAUGAAACUGAAGAGGCUUGAUUAGCAUUCUGCAUAUUUUGAAAUUCACAUCUCAAAGCAUAAAUCUGACCUCUCAUCUCCAUAAGAACAUCAAGCAACCUUCUAAGGUCUCCUGAGUUGUCAGUUUGAGUGUUUGCUUUAGCAUGAUCAGUUUGUGGAGUAUUGGCAGAUGAUGGCACUUCAGCAUGAGCACCCAGACUUGCAGAUGAAACCUCAUUACCUUCUUCAAAAUUGAGAGGCAUAUACAUCUUCUGGAUCGGCACGAGAACGACUGACAUCAUCACUAGUAAAAGCAAGUGAAUGAGUACCUCUUUUAUCAGCAGCUCCCCCUGUUUCAGUGCCUUCAGGUGGAGAGAAGUACUCUUCAUGCUAUGUCUCUUCUUCAAUGACACGAUGACCUUGUUCUCUGCUUUGCUCUUAUUCUGCAGUUCUUCCUUCCUCUGCUUCUUUCCUCAUCAAUUCCCUCUCUUCACUCCUCUACUCUGUUUCCUCUCUAUCUUGGUUCUCUCUAUCCUCUGUCUCUGGAACAAGACGCUGUAAGUUCCUUAAGGCAAAAGCGGAAAUGGUGAUGUCAUCCUCAUCUUCUUCAUCCUACAAGAUGAGUGCUCUCCUUCUUUUAGAUGGAGCUGUCAUGGGCUCCUUGCAUUGCAGCCACAGAGUCUUGACGAGUCUUGACAGGAGUCUUCUCCUUAAAUCUCUCUAAAGCCUUGUUUAGCUCCUUCAGACGUAUCUUUGAAACCAUCUUCAGUCCCACCACCAUUUGAUCACAGGUUCGAACACACAGAAUUUUGGGAGGCUGAAUUUUAAAAUGUCUGAAUAGCUGAGUAACAAGUGCUGAAUAAGGAAGUUGGCCCUUGUCCUUUACCAUUGAUCUAUACAUGUGAAACAUGAUAGUGUGUGGCAGAGAGAACUUUUGACCAGCAUUGAUAGCAUACAUCAGCUUUGCUUCUGAGUUAGAGACGUCAGUCUUUGAUGUGGAUUUAGGUCUAAGAUAAUUAAUCACAAUCUUAUGAAGCAAGACAUUUGAGGCACUCAUCCUCAAAUACGAAAUUCGUCCUUCUGCCUUUCCAUCUCGAACAAGUUCCACAGUCGCACGAUCAAUAGACACACUAAUUUAUUGGAACAUCCCUCUCUCUACUCCAAUCACAUCAGUCAGAGUGUCCAUAUCAACCACAUAAUCCUAGUUUCUAACACUGAAAAAAAAUCUAUUCGCAUCCAAAAAGCUUAGAUUGGAAUAAAAAUACGGAGUAAAUUCUGGAUGAGCUACUGUUGUCUCAAAGCAAAAUCAUUCAAGUUGAAGUAAAGUAAAUUUCUCCCGUAACUUCACGUUCAGAGAGUCGAGAAAAUCAAAAUCCACACUCCUUGGGUUCAUCACCCCUCACUUCAGCAACUUAAAGUAAGCUCACUUAUGUUCCUCAGAACGAAACAAAUCGGUUCUUCUUCCUCGAAUGUUCGCAGCAACACCCAUUCUAGGCUUAAAAUGAGUGAAUAUCUUUUCAUCGUCAUUUCCAUCAGGUUAACUAAAUCCUCCAACACGUGGAUCACUUGGGAAAUUCGCAAAAGCCCUUUCUGCCGAGCCAAUAGGAGCAAUCCCCAAACGUUCCAUCGUUUGUAAAAAAUAGGUUUCAUUUCGGUACCCCUUUUCUUUCAAAAAUUCAUCAAUAAAGGUCAUUGGAGAGCCUCCAUCCUUUAAGGUAAAGUAGAGCUUGAAAGUAAAAGUAUGCUUAAGAGUCCUUACAAGUUCGGCAUCCUCAAUAAUUUCUUCCUCCGCCUGUUGUUGCUGAACAUUCUAUGGUCUAGCCUGAGGAGAAUGGCGCGGUUGAGAAUGUUGUGGACUCUGUUGUUGCCUUGGAGAUUCUUCUUCCUUGGUCAGGUCAAAAUGCGUAGGACCCUCACACAUAUGCUGUGGUCCCCUGCUUGCAAUCCUUGAGGACUUUCUUUGGGAAGACAUUAUCACAGUCUUUGAGAGAAUUUCUGAACUCGAUUCGCGAGAAAAAUGAAAACUUUAAGGAUUAAACUAGAGAGAAAAAGUAAGAAGGUGAUGUUCUGUGCUUCUAGGGUUUGUGAGUAAAAAAGAAGAAGAAAAACAGUAUAUAAAGCAAUCGAAACGAGGUAUACAGAUCGUCAUAAAAAGAAGGAUAAAAAAUGCCUUUUAAAAAAUAACUGCAUUUUUGAAAAUAGAUAACUGUCAUCUCAAAAAGAUAACUUCCUUUUUGAAAAAGAAUAAUUGCUACAAUUUCAAAAACUUGGGAAGAUAACAUCAAUCAAUUGUAGAUAAAUAAGCAAUCGUACCUUUUCGAGAUUUUAUUCGAAAGAUAAAUUGCUAGAACUGAAAUGACUUAUAGUCGUGAUUCUUGAUCUUCUGAGUCUGAGCAUCUUUAGACUUUUUAUCCUUGAGUCCGAACUUCUUCAGACUUUAAGAUAUUAAGUCUGGAACGAAUAGACUCAAAUAUGCUUUUCUCCAAUGGCUUUGUAAAAAUGUUCGCCAGCUAAUUCUUUGAGUUAAUGAAUUGAAUCAAGACUUCUCCAUUUUGAACAUGGUCUCUAAUAAAAUAAUGUCGAAUCUCUAUAUGCUUUAAAUGAAGAAUUGGAUUCUUGGUGAGAUUAAUCGCGCUGGUGUUGUCACACUUGAUCUCAGUGCAUGAGUCUUCAAUUCCAAAGUCUCUUAGUUGUUGUUUUAUCCAUAGGAUUUGAGAACAACAACUUCCAAGAGUCACAUACUCUGCUUUUGCUAUUGAGAGAGCUACAAUACUUUGCUUCCUUGAAAACUAAGAUACCGUCAUAUUACCAAGCAAUUGACAAGUGCCCGAGGUGCUCUUUCUAUCAACUCUGCAUCCUGCUAGAUUUGCGUCUGAGUAUCCAAGAAGAGUAAAGUCUCCUUCUUUAGGAUACCAUAGACCUAACUUAGAGGUUGUUGCAACAUAUUUGAUGAUGCGUUUCACAGCACUUAGAUGAGAUUAUUUGGGAUCUGAUUAAAAUCUGGCACAAAUGCAAACACUAAACAAAAUGUCAGGUCUAGAGACAAUAAGAUAAAGAAGUGAACCAAUGAUACUCCUGUACAACUUCUAGUCAACUUUAUUUCCUCCUUCAUCUUUGUCCAGCUUUGAAGAACUUGACAUUGGUAUAUCAGUCUUUUUGCAGUUCUCCAAACCGAACUUUUUAACAAGUUCUUUAGCAUAUUUUUCUUGGUGAAUGAAAAUUCCGUCCUUCAAUUGUUUCACUUGUAGUCCGAGAAAGAAUGAUAGUUCACCCAUCAUGCUCAUCUCGAAUUCAUCCUGCAUAGACUUAGAGAAUUUAUUGCACGGAUUUUCGUUAGGUGAUCCAAAAAUAAUAUCAUCAACAUAGAUUUGAAUAAGUAAAAAGUUUUUACUUUCUCUUUUAAUAAACAGAGUAGUGUCCACUUGACCUUUAACAAAGCCAUUUUGGAUUAAAAACUUACUUAACAUGUCGUACCAAGCUCGAGGUACUUGCUUUAAACCAUAUAGCGCCUUUUUCAAUCUGAAUACAGAGUCUAGUUUCCUCGGGUCUUCAAAACCGGAAGGUUGUUCCACAUAGACUUCCUCUUGGAUAAAUCCAUUCAGGAAUACACUUUUGACGUCCAUUUGGAAUAACCUGAAAUUCUUAUAACAAGUAAAAGUAAGUAAUAAUCUAAUUGCUUCUAACCUUACUACUGGUGCGUAAGUUUCAUCAUAGUCUAUCCCUUUUUCUUGCGUAUAUCCUUUGGCCACGAGUUCAUAUCCCUUUGCUGCGAGGCGCACCACAUUGGCCCAAGAGUGGGCUUGGGGAGGCCUGGAGCUACUAGGCAGCUGGCCCAAGCCUUGAAAGUGUUUGGAAGGAGCGUGAGCACGACUUCAGUCUCGAGAGCACCCUUUGCACGCAGGCUUGGACCGCAGCCCUUGUUUGUUCUCAAUAGCGACAGUGUUGGGUGCCACUUCGGGAGAUAUGGCCUGAUUCAGAGCAGCAGAUCGCACUAACGCAUUGGAAGAGGAGGGGCUAAGACCCUUAACCUUACCAACAUUAGGCUAGGCCUCAUUUGAGAGGCCACCCCCAUCGGCGAAGUGGAUGCCAUAAAGCAAAAGAAACCUCCCACAGCCCAAAACGCCUCCUACAGUACAGACUUUGCAGCGAAAGAAGCCAUACCAAGGCAGAGGCUAUUACAGGAUGAGGACGGGUGCUUAGGAGUCAACACAACCACCGCUAAGUCUUCAGCACAGCACUGGCACCCCGCAUGAACAGAACCAAGGGAGAAAACCAGCAAUGGAACGGCCGAGAACUAGGGUGACUUCAAUCUCCUCUUUUGGGCAAAACAGAGCAAUCCACUCGGUGAGGUUCCAGAGGGAAGCCAGAAGGAGCCCUCCAAAAUUCGAGCCGAACCAACGGGAGCCCUCCAAAAUUCGAGCCGAACCAACGGCUACCAAAGCCAAGAUGAGCUGGAAACCAGACGGGAUGAACAGGGAGAAAAUCGCACCCUAGAGAGAAGAUGUGAAUAGUAUACCGAGAAUGCACAAAUGGCCAACCCCAAGUAGGGGACUUCUUUGAGCUGCUAUGGCGUUUUCUUUGUGAAAAUGUAAGUAUUUCGAGCAGUGAGAUAAUUCUAUGCGAGGCUAAGGAUUAUGGGUUUGGAUAUAAUGCGAGGCUAAGGAUUAUGGGUUUGGAUAUAAUAUAGAUAUAGGAAACACUCAAGUAAAGUGUGUGAGUAAUUGUAACUCUGUACUUGUCCGAUUGAUUCGUGGAUUAUUUACUGCUGACUCUCCCUGUGAAAUAGGUACCGACACUCGGAUUGAAUCAUGUAAAUCUCUCAAUUAGUGAUCUUCUUCCUCUCACCAUUUUACUUCAGGUUGCUCAACUUUUUUGCGAUUCAAUGGUCUUCUUCCUCCCAGGCUUUCUCAUUGUUCUUCUUUUAGAUUUUAAUUUUUUUUUAUUCAAGCCCUUAUCUUUUAUCAUAAAAAAGCACUUUUUCAAGAUUAUGUUGGCCAAAUAGGAUGUGACAUGGGAUGCUAGCAAGACACUUAACAGUAUUUUAACAGCAACGUUAGGAUAGGAUGAACUAGAAAUAAAAACAUAGUAUUUAGGGAUCUUAGUGCUCACAAAUUGUUAAAAGAUCUUAUUGAACAAUUUAAAACAUUUCAAAGGCCUCCGAUGCCUUUAUUCCUCUCUUUUAGUGGGGAAAUUUCCGUCGUUUAGUCAAAGAAAGAGAGGGGGGUUGAUUGGUUCUCCUCAGCUGAUCAGUUCUCAAGUUUAAUUUUGGGAGACUUUCGGGGUGUCGAAUCGCACGGGUUAUUAGAAAAUUGAUAGUGGUAGGGCUAAUUUUCUCUCUUUUUUCCCUUUCGAAAUGAUAGUGGCUUACUUUGUUAGAAUGAGACGACGGACUUUUGCGCAGCGGCAGUUGGUUUCUUUGUUCUGCCCGAAAUUAGUGGACUUUACACGCCGACCCCCAUGUACCAUCCGCGUGGUAUUGUCGUGAACAUUUUAUUUGCUUGAACCUUGUCCUCAGUUAACAUCGAAAGUGUUUUGUCGACUGGACUCUAAAUAGUUCGAGUACUGCUUGUUGCACAUAGAGUUGGAAAAACAUGACAUUUGCCGCAGCAUUACAUUUAAAUAGUUCAGGGUGCAGACACCUAAUUUUGUCACUUGAAUGUUUUUCACUAAUGCACGCCGAUUGACCAUGACCUCAAUUGGAGAUUCAUGAGAACGCUCCUAAAAAUCGUCCGAGUGGUCUAAUAGCUCAAGAUUAUCGCAAUUCUCUGGCGACAGAAAGAUUGCCGUGUCAAUUGCCGACAGCGUCAUCAGAUUGGAUCUUUGAUAUCACUGUUUCUUGUGCCAAACAAACUCAAAUCAAUCCCCUUCAGACUGAAACUGAAGUGAACUUAGCAUGGCCAGCUCGGCUUUAGUCCAGUUUAAGAUCAAAAUCGAUUCAGAAUUUUGUCUGGGUGGAGAGACCUGCCGUCUUUUGUCUCUAAUUUCUUCUUAUUGCCAAUUUUGACUCGUGAUAUCUUAUAUGUUUCAGAUCCAAUCGAGGUGAUUAUUGAUGAUAUAUAAAACUCGUAGCUCCUAGUCUCGACUAACGCCAUCUGAUUGAGAAAAUUACGUAACUCUUGAUAUCAUCAAUACUGGAUGGCCGAGAUUUGGUGGAAUGAGUUCUCGAGAUGCAAUCAUCACGUUUCAAUAAAUUGGUAUCAUCUGAAAGCUCUCCCCAUAUUGCAUCCUCUUAUAUCGUCCAUCAAAUUUUGGAACAAGUUAGGUCCCAGGUCAAUUUGGUCAAACCAUGAAAAUGUUAGGUGUAAAAUGAGAAUUUACAUGUUCUUCAAGUUAUGCAAUGAUACAUACAAGUGGGGUCUGAUGAUGCUCACUGUACGUAGCCCCUCCAAACCAACGAAAAUUAUCUAGGUCUUUGUGGGCGGCUGCAUCCAGGCUUUUCCCCCCUUUUACGCUAACUUCUUUGAUUGGUAGGGUCCUAAUACCUUUAAUUUAAAGCAAGGGAAAUAGAAUAUAUGGUGUGUGAAUUACCCUCUUGUUUAUAUUAUUACGUAGAUAUAUCCUAAACAAUAAUCAAAAGUCAAGCUUUGUUACUAUAUAUGCUUUGAAAGAAUGUAACAAAGUUGGAAAUACUUGAUAUAAUGUGAUUUGCAUAAACUGAUGUCACAAAUUGAUGAUUGAUGGUCCGGACAUGCAUUUUUCAACCCCUUCAUACGACCCAAAAGAAGAAAAAAAUCUUUCCAACUCUGAAAAAUAAAAGAAAGAGAACUUUGCCAGACUAACUAAAAAUCAAUAUAUUUGUUUAACUUUUUUUCUCCUUUUGAAAAUUAUAAAACGAAUGUUGUAGAAUUAUAUUUCGCAUUACAAACGCAUGACAUUGGACUACGAUUUAUGUCAUUUAUAGCUAGAUCAAACUUGCCAUUAUAGUGAAAUUGAAAUUGGAACUAUAGUUUCCUUAGCCCAAUUUAUUUGUAUUUUUCAAAGUUAUCUAAUAGAAUUAGAACAAAACAAGCGAGGGAAUUGCAAUGGAAUUGAUUACACAUAGUGCAAGUGGAGAGUUACUCUUUUUCUUUUAGUUAAUGGCACUGGUUGUGUGAGAAUAAGUGCAAUAAAAGCCCUAAUGUUUGGAUGGUUGAUUAAUUAAGUCCUAAAUACUUUGUUUUCAGUCGAUUGAGUUCUAAAUGUUUUGACAAAAAUACAAUUAAGUACUAAUAUCUUUGUCAAUGACCUUUAGUGACUGGACAGCUCUACUCUUAAAGAUUACUAUGAAAUGAAUCAUCAUUUUAACCACAUGAGAGAUAAAGCAUAUGAAUCUUAUUGAUCCAUGGUUAGAGAACUUUAUGUGAUUUAUUCUUGAUUAUUAUAAAAAAAACAAUUAAUUUUGUGAAAAACUAAAAUGACAUGAUUUUGCAAUGAGUUAAUUUAGCAGGGAAUUAGGACGGAAUUACAUCUUUUCCAAUAAGGCUUAGAGUUCAAUUAACUAAAUAGGAUGUUUAACACACGAUCAACAACCAACCCAAAAGGCUUAGGGCUCUAUUGAGUGCCGUAUAUAAGUUAUGGCACUCAAGUGGUCGAAAAAAUAUUUAUAGCACUUGUGAUGUUAUUUUCCCCUUUGUCAUUCCCAAUAUACUUACUUUACUGGCAUGGUUCAACCUUAGAAGAUUACAAGGCUACUAGGUUCAGGAGAGAGGACUAGACAUGGAUGGAAAAACCUAAGUACGUACUUGACUCAUCUUUAAAAAAGUGACAUAAAUGAUCCACGAACUUUUGUUUAAUGUACAAUGUCAUCCCUAAACUUUCAAUUUGUUUAAUGUACAAUGUCAUCCCUAAACUUUCAAUUUGUUUAAUAUACAAUGUCAUCCCUAAACUUUCAAUUUGUUUAAUGUGAUCUUUGAAUUUUAGUCCAAUGUGCAAUGUCGUCCCUAAAAUUUUAAUUUGUUCAAUAUAGUUCCUAAACCAUGUUCAUAUAGUCUAAGGACUAUAUUGAACAUUUGCCAAUAGCUUAGGAAUCACGUUGAAUAAUUAAAAGUUCAAGGACGACGUUACGAAUUAAGCCAAAGUUUAAAAGUUCAGGGAUUACAUUACACAUUAAAUCAAAGUUCAUUGACCAUUUGUGCUACUAUCCUACUCAUCUUCUCUUAUCCAUUUUAACAUGGAAGGGGGAGGUGAGGGGUUCGAAUCCCCACCUUCUCAAGGGAGGUUAGGGUGGGGACGAAUUAAUUUCAAGAGUGGGUUUCGACUCCCACGCUCUGCAAGAAGGGAGGGAAAAAGUUUGAGAGUGAGAGUUAGAAUAGGAGUAGAGUAAGACUGACCAAAAAAAAAAUCACGUUUUUGUUAUUUACCACAUAGCAUCACUGAAUGAAAAUAAUGCGACCUCGUUUAUCUGUUCAUUUCACAUAAUCGUCUUUCUAUUUAGCUUGCCAAGAUGUCAUUAUAUAUAUAUAUAUAUAGUUAAUUCCCCCCUUAACUCUUGUUUGUCGUAGUGGGUUUUCAUAUAUUUGCAACUACAUGUUCUUAAUCUAAGAAUUGUUUUUCAAGCCAAAAAGUCUUUUCUCUCUCCCUUUCUCCCUCUUUUCUCUUCAACAUCUACUUCAACCUUCAUCCAUAAGGAGUGUUUGAACUAAUCUCACCCUCCCUCCUCUUUUGUUGAUUUUCUUUGCAUUUUAUUGUUUUUUUCUUACUUUUUCUUCUCUCUGAAUUUAGAUUUGACAGUUAUCUUCUCCCAGUCUAAAUCUCAACUUGAGAGUUUGAACUCUUCCAAUCUAAUUUUAUAUACAGGUGCUAUCCUCCGCUGAUCUGAAUCUAAGAGUUUAAUAAAUAUACUUUUGCGGAUUCAAUACCCUCUAUUCUCUGUGUACGAGUUCUCUCUCUUCAACUUCAAUGAUGAUAGCAGAAACUUUUGUGUCUCAUUGAAUCACAAAGAUUGUUCCUCCAGAUGUUAAAUAUGUGUUUGUUCAACCUAUUUUGGUUGUCUCCAUACAACAAAGGUGUAGAGGAAGCCGAACCUAGGGACGCACCACCAACUAGUAACAUUGUAAUUAUUGGAGAAUGAAUUUUUGGCGUGUGCUCCUCACUAACAAAAACACAAGAUCCAAUUAUUGGCCACCGAUUAUUUUGCUUGACAAAUUCUUAUGGAAUAAGUAUGUGCUUAACUUUGCUGGUUUUCCAUUGAUCCUCCCUAUUUCUUGGAUUUGACUUUGCUUUUGAGUAUUCUUUCUCAUAUAUAUGCUUUUGAGUAAUGGAUACAAUUUUCUUUCGAUAAAAAAAAGGGACUUGUUUACUAAGCUUUGCUAAUCUGUUGGGACAAUUUUAAAGUGUCGCGCCUCAAAUCCUAUGGGGUGAAGGGGUAACACAACUGUCCUUUUGUAAAGGACGUAGUCUCAAAUUAUAUCCCAAAUAUCUAGCUCCCAAUAGUUCUCACGAUAAGGCUUAGUUUAUCGAUUACUAACUAAGGCACCUAAAAAACAUAUUAAGAAAAAAGAAUGAGCUACCACAGCUCAGUAAGUAAUAUAUUUCUUUUAAGCAAUCAAGCAAUCACUAUGCACAUUUAAAAUACAAAUAUAACACACUUUUACUAAAACCAUAAUUUAACAAACCUUCAAGAUGAAAAUAAUGUAAUAUUUCUUACUUUAUUAUAAUAUGUUCAAAGCAAAAAUAUUCAAGAUAAUAACAAACAUACACCAAUGAUCCAACCCAUUGGUCGAUCUCAUAAAAAUACAUGUCAAUAGUCUAUUCCAUUGACCAAUCUCAUAAAAACACACAUCAAUGAUCCAUUCCAUUGGUUAAUCUCAUGUUACACAUCAAUGGUCUAUCACAUUGGUCCAUCUAAUAUGAAACUACAUGUCGAUGGUCUAUACAUCAACCAAUCUUUUGUUCAAUAUCAAACCAUGGUCACUCAUAACGCCCGUGACAAGACAACUAAUAUUCCCCCCUUGGUUAUAUGACAUCCUGAAAUUCCAGUUUUGUUUUCAAUUAAAUGAAUUGGGCCUUUCAUCAACACGCCUAUAGUUCUAUUCUCUGAGCUGAUCACUCAAUAGAUAACUAGAUUAUCGGGUGAAGUCAUUAAGGGAUUUUAAUGCAAUAAACUUGAGAAUUUGACUAGGAAUCGACUGCUCAACUGUGCUCAUUUGCAGAGAUCAUUACGGCACAGUUAAAAAUCGAUCAUAGAUUAGAAAUAAGUCGAUUCGACUUAGAUAUAUGACUAAGUGUGGGUGAUUCCACCAAAUUGCAAAAUUUUCGUCAAUCGGUAAUAGACUGAUUUUUCUAUCGUUUUGGUACCCUGUGUCAGCAUUUGAAACCUCGAGAUUUUCACAACAACUGUGUCAAAGAUGUACGUUAUGGCUUGAAAAUAAUCAACCACGGGUCAAUUGUACUAAAAAUUUCUAGAAGCUACCCGAUAAGUUAGGUUAUGCUAAAAUCGUGCCAAAUUGAAAUUAACCGCGAAUUUGAACCCGAUUUCAGAAAUUGAAAGUUUUGUCAUAUCGCGAUUUAUUUUAGGACNNNNNNNNNNNNNNNNNNNNNNNNNNNNNNNNNNNNNNNNNNNNNNNNNNNNNNNNNNNNNNNNNNNNNNNNNNNNNNNNNNNNNNNNNNNNNNNNNNNNGGGGCCGUUUUUUUCCACAAAAUUCAAGGGACUAUUUUUUAUCAUGUUUUUGGAAUGCAAGUUGGUUCUCUUGGCAAGGAAAAAUGUCAAUUUAAUCAUGGACAACUUGGUGGGAUAUAUGAACUUCGAGUUGAAUUAAUUUGAAGGAGAAUUGGUAGGGAAUUGAAUCCAAUUUAGUGGAUGUUGACACCUAAAUUUUUGCAUAAUUUUUAGGGUUAAUUUUUACUAUAAAAAAAAAACACACACACACACACACACACACAUGGCAUAUAGUUUAGAAACAUUUUAUUUUUAUUUUGUUUUAUUUUAGGCCGCCGGUGAAACGAGGAUUUUCUACAUAUUCCGUUCAAAUUUUUCACAUAUUCAAGUAAUAUACACUGGGGGGUGUAUUUUGCCUGAAAAUGGAAUUAUUUUUGGAUGGAAUAUGCGGAAAAUGCAAAAGAGAAUAUUGCACGAGCAAAAUUGGAAACGAAAUAUGCAAUAAAGAUUCAAUUUUUUUUUACCCUAUAAAAGGUGUGAUGGGGUACAGAAAAAAGGGGGCCACAUAUAUUGAAUACACGGCCGCAAGGAAAAGAGAGAGCCUUUUGUUUCUUUCUUUCUUUCGUCAGGGUGGAGUCCAGAUCAGUCCGCAGCAAACCAACCGCCGACGAUUGCUUAGUAGCUCUCGUGAAGCCUUGUCGUCGCGCUCAACAGCUGUUCACGCUUCAGACCAGGCGAGUCUUCAAGCAAUUCCAAGAAGCACCGUCGCCUCGGCUACCAUCUGCCGAACCGCCGUCGUCCGGGUGCAGCUAGAAGUUUCCAGCCUCCCACCUCAUCAUCGACGAGUACACCUUCAAACAUCGAGAUUUGUUUUGGCUUUUGGUCAAAGCGGUGGAAGUUGUCUCAUAUUGCAUGGUGAAUUUUGGAGAAUUGCUCGUGAAUUCUUGAGGAAGAAAUAUAAGUGGGGUCAAGGGCAAGAGACGAUCGCGACUUCGGAGUUCUCAGUUGAGAUUACUUGGUCCAACAAAAACACCAAAAAUCGUUGGCGAUCGUCGAGGAGUCCGGGUGUUCAAUAAUUGUAACACCCUUCUGCGCCCGUUCGAAGCUGCUGCUGUCCAUAUCUGCUGCCCAACACGUGCCCGAUAGCCUUAACGUCCAGCAGCUCAUCCGGUGAUUGGCAAACAGAAACAACGGUGUCCAACGUGCCGUUGUCUCUGUGCAAGCGUUGGAGACCCAGUUUGCGACGUGACCCACCGUCCACGCCCUCUUGGCUUCUGUUUUGCAGGAUCUUUAACGGAUCUUCAGCUGAAACCCGUGACCUCUCACCGUCAAUCCCACCAAGACCGCCAUCGUUGGCUGCGGUUGUGAAUUCGGAACGAAAUCUGCAAACUAAUUUUCAGCCACGUGAAGUCUCUGCCGUAAGAGUGGGGAUCAGCCGUGCACUCCCGACGACCGUGCCCAUCAUCCUCACCGGAGCCCUUGGUUGACCUAACAUCGAGCCCUGUCCUUAGCCGUGUCGCGCCUACCGUUGGUCCAUUCUACCGAUUGGUUUCCUGGAAAAAUUCAAAUUAAGGUAUGGAUCUAUUAGGUACAUUUAGUAGAUUUAAUUUCUUAGGUAGAUUUGUUUAUCUUGUUUUAGUUUUUGAGUAUUUUAUCUCUUUGUUUGAAGUAUUUUCCAAUGCAUGAUUGAAAUUCUCUGAUGUAGCAUCCAAAUCGCAAUCGCACGAAUUUUUAUUCUAUUUAUAAGGCUUUAGAUGGAAUAAUUAUUCACGUGGGAGUAAAAUUGAUAUCUUGAUCUUUAAGGCUUAAGAUCAAUUUAUUGAUUUUAUUAGCGAGAUAGUCAAGUUUGAAUUUCAAAUUGAGUGAUGGACAAUAUUUUUGAUGAUCAUGGAUGGUUUGAUGUUUAUCUCAUAAUUGUUCUAUUUAUCCCGAAAAUACAAAAAAAAAUCGCAUUUGCAUGUAGAUUAGGGUUGUUUUCCUAGAUAAGGUUGUAAGAUAGAAUAGUUUUUUUUUUAAAAUGCAUGUUUAGAUGGUAUCUAGGUUAGAUAAUAUUUUUGGAUUGAAUUGUAUGACGAGAUAAUUUUCUAGAUUAAGAUAGGAUUCAUAUUAGUCCAUUUCCUAACUUAAGAUAGAUAAUAUCUCACUUUAGUUAGAUUUUGAAUUACGAAUUUUUUUUAUAAAAAACACAAAAAAAUGUCAUUGCAUGUCAUAUAGAAUUAGAUUUGAUAAUUGUUGCUAGGUCCAUUUAAUUAGAAAUUGCAUGACAUUAGAAUUAGGUCAUUUAGUUAAUAUUGCAUUGCAUAUUGCAUGAUUUUCAUUAAUUAAGUGAAAACAAAAAAAGAAAUUGCGUGUUAAUUAGAAACCAUAUCUAAGGUUGUUAAUGUGGAUUUUAAUUAAUAUUGCAGAUGCUCUCGUUGCUUUGAGGUAAGUUUUUACAAUUUAUUUAUUGCUUAUCUGCAUGUUAAAUUGGUGGAUUGCGCACCCGCAUGAUCACCUCACAUGUUAGGGAAAUAAAUUUAAAAUCAAUCCAAACUGCUUGCUAAACAUUUUUCAAAAUAAAAAGAAAUGUACCGAAAGGGCGUUAGAGAAAUCUAGCGUAAUCAAGUCCCCGAACUCAUAAAUCUCUGGUUCGUAGGAGUAAAGUAAAUCUCCCGUUACUUUACUUGGGUUUCUAAUCGACCCACCAAAAAAUAGAUUAGUGGCGACUCCUAAUUAAAAAUUUGCAUGUUAAGAACUUGAACCGAAAGUUGCAAAUUGGUAUGGGCAUGGGAGAGCCCGAGUUAAGUUUAGGCUUAACAAUCCAUUAGCCAAAUGUGGUUCACACCCGAAAAUUUGGUCGCGACAAUGGACAAUGCACAAAUUCGUAUCCCCCCAUGGUGUGCAACUUUUGUACCCUUAGGAAGCUUGACAAGGAAGCCUUGGUAGCUGCAAAUGGCUAAGGAAGCCAGCCUAUGUUGGUGGGACCUCUUCAAGGAGGACAAAGGGAUAGAAGUGAGACUUGAGGGACCCUCCAAGCUUGGUUGUCCCCUUUCUUCCUCCCUCAGCCCUACUUUCCCCAUUUUCAGACCCUUGGAAGCUUUGAAAGUGCAGAAGAACCGGCCAGCCCUUCCUUUGCUCUCGCCAGCCCUACCGGAUCGCCACUGCUAGCCGUCAAAGCUACUCGCUCAUGCGCCCAAGCUCGCGAGGCCCUGCUCGCGUCCACGCCCUGCUCAUCGUCGUCUAGUGCCGUACAACCGUCCAGUAGCUCGCCAGGCCAUCGUGCGUCGCCAUCGUAGUUGCCAAAGUCACCGUCAUCACUCGCUGCAGCCCGUCCACUCGCCUCUCACUAUUUCUGCACCAACCGGCCUUCAUUCGGCCCUCUUGGCCCAAGGAACAGAACCAAACCCCCUUAGCCCAACCAUGUACUGUUUGGCCCACUUUGGACCACUUCCAGACCUUGUAGUGCAUCGCUGCUUUGGAGUUUGUCGCCCGUCUCCGCCUUGCCGUCACCGUGAACUCAUCGGAUUUCAAAACCAAUGAGUUUACUCACUAAUCUCCGCUUAAUGAGUUAAUUAUGCUUAAGGGUUGAUUAGUUUAGGCUAAGUAUGGUUUAGGUGGUUAGUUAGAACGAAUUAGCAAUUUAAUUAUUCAUUUAUGCAUGUUAGGUGAUUAGAGUAGUGUAAUUAGAGACCAGAUAAGUUGUAGUAUUUAUCUAGAUUGGUUCGAAAAUUUUCUGGGCCUAUUUCGGUAUUUAAUUAGGCAUUUUCGGCCUAAGUUUGCAUUUAUGUCAUUUAAUUGUAUUUAUUUAAUUAAUUUUGGUAAUUAUUUAAUUAUUUAUUAUUUAUUGGAAAUUAUACCGGGAUAGUCGGUGACCAAAAUUUUGUGCUAAUUGCAAUGGUAUGAGUGGUUUAUUUAAUUGAGUGUUGAUUUGUGCAAAUUGAGUGAGAAUUAUAAUUUUGGGUAUUUAUUCUAAAAUUAAGUAAUUUUUGUAUUUAAUUAGAAAAUACCGAGCGGUUGGUUUACAACGCCAAAAAUGUAUUUAUGCACUAUAUUAAAUAGUGAGAUUUUCUAAAAGAAAGAUAUUGUGUUUUGGCUCAGGCCAACCGUGUACCCACGCACGAUUAUUUUCAAAGGGUAUAUUUUAACAUGAUGAAAUUGGGCCAAGUGUGUUAUUUAAUUGAGGAAUUGGUGUACAAGGCACAAAGUUCUUGGCCGGAAUUGGUUUAUCGUAGUUCAGCUUGUGUGAGCAUUGUGAUUUCAGCUUGUGAGAGCAGUAUAAUUUAUCAACUUGUGUGAGCAAUGAUCACUUAUCAGCUUGUGAGAGCAACAAUCCGUAUAUCAACUUGUGGGAGCUACUAUCUAUCUAUAUCAGCUUGUGCAAGCUACUAUCUAUCUAUAUUAGCUUGUGCAAGCUACUAUCUAUCAUCUUCAGCUUGUGUGAGCAUGGUCGGUGUUGAUGGUACCGGAUAGAUAGUAUUGAAUUGAUAGAUAGUAUUGCUUAGAUUGAUCGAUUGUUGGAUUGGACAAUCGUUGGUAUUGAAUGAUUGAUUGGUUGAGGUUUAUGAACUUUACUGACUUACAAGAAGGAACUAAGGCUAAGGUGAGUCACCUAUCUCUUGUGUGCAUAAGUAGCCUUUAGGUGUAUUUCCUUUCUAAUCGGAGUUUAGGGAGUGGACUUGCUGAGACGUUGUCUCACCCCGUCGUGGGCUAACAUUUACAGGUCUUUAGAUGGCUGUACCUCCUAAGCGUUUUGGCCAGCCGAAGAAGGUCACCAAGCAAAUCUCUCAAAUUCCUCAAAUUCCCCUCCCUAAGAGCCAAGGAGCCUGGGUCUACGAACUCAUGAGAUCCAUUGUCUGGGUUAGUGCGGGUCUAUCUUGGAAGGUACCCCAUCAAUUCAGAUCGUGGUAUCGUUACGGACGAGAUGGACCCAGAGAAGGCCCCUUUCUAGAGUUUGAGAUUCCUAGGUCGGUGCUGGAGAUCACUUUUGGCAAGGGUACGACUGACCCUCCUAGUGGCUUAGUGAUAGACCCAAGUUCCCCGGAGCCAAAGGCCCCAGAGUAUUUGGUUGAGAGUUCGAAUGCUUAGAGGAUCUGUAGCCCCUCUACCUUUUUGUAGACUUGUUUAUAUCGGCUAGUAUUGUAUAUGACUUAGUCUGAUAUGUAUAAAGGUGUGAUGUGGUUUUCCAAAACUGUGGCUCUACUUUUUCUAUCCCAUCUUUGUAUUGUUUGGGGAUUUAAUUAUUCACUUCGACAUGCGCAUUAAAAUGAAUGGGUCGGCCUGGAACGUCACAAUUUAAUCAACCACCGAGAGAUGGGCACGUGCUCGGAAGAUCGGGGCGUGAUAGGUUAGGUCUCCACCUGUUUUUAGUUGAUGGUGCAGCCCACAAAAAUAUCCUAGAGUAGUACGCGCAUACCCACAAGCCUCUUGCCAGGCUCAUAGCGAUCCUAAGCAUCAAUCCCGAUCCAUGACAGCCUCCACAAUUCACAAAGCCAAACCAAAGUAUAUAUCAUAAAUCAAUUUCACAAAUCAAAAUACAUAAUCUUUCUACAACCUGGCUCAUUCACUAUAAAUGCUUUUCAUAAAGCAUUUCUCAUGUCAUUUCAAAACUCGUUUCUUAAACCGAAAUAAAUUCCAUAUACAUUUUCACAACACAUUUCAUAAACCAAGUUCACAAAUCAACAUAUAUACAUAUAAUCUUUCGCAACAACUUUCCAAAAACAUUUAGCAAAUCAUUCACAAAUAUCAAAUCUUAGUAAAUGCUCAAUCCAAAUUCUAUGCAAUAAAACAUGCUUUCAAUUAUUUAUGAUGCAUCAAAUCUCCAUAACUUUCAAGACAUGAGUUUUCAAACUCAUAGAAGAAAUAGUAUCACUUAAUUGGGAUAGUCGAAAAUCAACCACAACGAUCACUCGAGUUGACAUACUCAAAUUCCUAACAAAUAACCGAAAAACAAUAUCAAAAGACCAAGUAACACGAUAUUCUAAUGAACGACUCAACUAUACUACGCAUAUUUGUCGAUAAAACGAUACCUACAUGCCAACGAAAAGCUUGCCUCUAGCAGAAUCCUAUUGUUGUCCAUGAGCCGCGUUCAAUUUCAUCACACCAUAACUUCCUCCAUAGAAUUCCGUUUCAAGCCGACUUAUAAUCCUUAGAAAGCCAUUUAGACAUACUAUAAGAACCCCAACUUAGCUGCCCCAAGCCCUUGCCAAAAAUGACUGAAAUUCGGCUCAAAAGUUACUAUUCGUAACUUUAUCAAAAAUGCACGCCAAACUUGAAAAUUCCGUUCCAGGCAAAUCAUAAGCUUAAAUUGAGAUCCGUAAAAUACUAUAGCUUCACAAUAUCCUAAACUAUCAAUUCUAUAAAAAUACACUGCCUGACAACUCCCUAAUCAAACGCAGCAAGUCAUAAUCAACCUAAAAUCGAAUUUCCAGCUCUAAUUUUGACAAUUCCUUCAAAUAGACGAUUAGGGGCCUCGAUCACUUACCAACAUUGCAAAAUGGAUAUAAGUCAGCUUAGCGAGUCAUAUGGAUCAUAAGCACAAGAAAAUUUUCGCCUUCCUUCUUUCUUCUUUCUUCUUUCUCAUUUUUCUCUUUCUCAGUGAGCUCCUCUUCUUUCCUUUGUUUUUUCUUCGACUUCUUCUCCUGUUGUGCUUCAUUGCACAAACUCAAAUGAGAAGAGAGAAAGAGAGUUGGGCUUGGCUUUUAAGAGACAGGGGUUGUUUGGGCUUUUAUUGGGCUUGUUAUUACAUAAAGUGAUUUGUAGAUCAUUUAGAGCUUAAAUGGGGAAAAAUCUAUUUUUAGGCUAAAAUUAUAUAGAAGUGAGCAAAAACCGUGAAUUGUCUUAAAUCUUUUGAAAAAUGUGUGGAGGGCAUUGCCGCAUCGCCUCUAGUAUGUUCAAUCUAAGUCCGCACCUACAGCUAGAUGUCCUCCAAAUACACAUUAUCAUAUUGGGAAAAAAUAUCAAAAAAUUCAUAAACUUAAUGCAAUUAUGUUAAGUUAAUAAUAUAUAUUUCAAUCGUGCCAAUUUAAUUCUAAAUCUUUUCACAUUUUAUCAAUUGAGUUUAUUUUGCCAAUUUUAACCGAGAAUCAUUAAUGUAGACAUCAGCCAUCGUUUGUGAUAUGAUUGUCAUUAAAAGGACAUUUUUAAUAAUAUUUUAAAAUAUUUUGAAUUAUAUCGGUUUCCUUUUUCUUUUCUUUUUUAUUUUAUUUUUUGGUGGGGGGGGGGGGGGGGAGGGGACUUAGGGCCACAAGAGUUUCUAGCCAAUUCUCGUUGACCACAACGGCAAGGACCGCACACCCUCACUUUGGCCGAUGAGGACAUCUCAACCCUUGCCUAGCCCUCACCUGCCAUGAUGAGGGCCCACAAGCCCUUGAGUAGUGGCUAAUGAGGGCAUGGCGGCCCUUGCCCAAAGUAGAUAAGCAUUGCAACACCCUCACCCAAUGCCAAUAAGGAUUGCUGGCCUUCAGUCAAAAAAGAAAAAGUAAAGUAAGGUAAAGUAAAUUUAAAAAAAAAAACAUAAAAACUAUUAAAAAUGAAAAUAUUAUUAAAAAAUAUUUAGGUCUGUACCGAUCAUGCUAUGUAGGAAGGCCGGUGUCCAUGUCAACAAUUCCCUAUCAAAAUUGAGUUAAUGAACUUAACUGACAAAACUUAAAAAUGUUAGAGCUAAAUUGGCACAAUUGAAGAUUUAUGAUUAAAUUGAUACAAACGUAAUAGAUUUAUAACAUUUUUUUUCAUAAUUGUCCCAUAUCGAAACGGUCACAAUUAGAACACAUUAAGUGCUAUUGCAAGAAUUGCAGUGUUGCUUCUCUCAUGAUUUCCUGAGUAGUGACUAAGACCAAAAUCACAGGCAUAUUGGAAACAGAUCGGGUUAACAAGCGCCGAAAGGCACUUGCUAAAAACCAAAAGAUGUAGAAAGAGCAACUGUUAAUGCACAUUAGAAAACUUAAUCGAUAUUUCUUUUUUGUUUUUGCCGAACCAAAAGGACAAGGAGGGGCAAGUAGCAGUGACUAUCCCCUCCCGAUGUUAUCUUAAGAAAGUAUUGCACCCAUCACAAAAUGUUCAAUUUAGGUGACGACGAGCCUCUGCUACUCAACACCAUAAAGGUAGGCGACCCAGGACCUGGACACCAUCGUAGUACUACAAGUCCACAACCAAUUCCCAAGCCAAGUCAUAAGACUAAUUAACUCGAGCAAGGUCACUAGAUAUGGGAAUACAAGCGCGAGACCAACUUGAAUACGUCUAAUGGUAUAACUAAUACUUCUUAUCAUACAACAUUGAUCUUUCAGUUUCCACAUAGACGAAGUAGGCGAUGAACAAACUUUGCAAAUCAUAUAGCAUAUGAAAUUAUCAGGGCAUGAAUUGUACUAAUGUAGCGCGUGGACCUAGAAAUAAUAGGUUAAAUAUGAAAAAUGUUGGAUAUUCUAAGACAUCUUAUUAAAACUUACUUAUCAAGUGAUGUGGCAAGUAUUAAUUAGAUAAUAAGAAAUGGGAUUAUAUUAUAUUAUAUUUCAUGAUUAGUUUCUUUCAAUACAAAAUUGAUAAUUGUCAAAUCACUCACUAAAAAGUAAUUUCAGUAUUUGGUACAUUUACUUUGCUUAAUAAAUAAUGUAGGGUGUCUCGGUCAAUCCAUACAUAUAAUAUAUAUAUAUAUAUAUAUAUAUAUAUAUAUAUAUGUAUAACCUUAAAGCUCGCUUUCAUUCAUUGAACCCCCAUCAACCGAAAUUUCAAGGUUACUUCUCUGGCAAAAAUUGGUAGAAAGAGUAAAGACAAGAAGAAGAAUAAAGGGAAGCACACUGAAUUAUUUAAUGAUAACUAUUAAAUUAAUAUCUUGAAUUUGAGCCAUGUAUGAGACCCCAUCCGAUUGGAGGAUGUAGACCGCUUUGUAUUAGAUGAGGUUUAAGAGAAAGAGUCCUAAUUGGACUUUGAUUGUUCUUGCCUUUCUUCCAAAAGAUAAUGUUGAAUUUACUUGGGCGUUGGAUUCAAAUAAAGAAGAAAACUUAAACAAGAAAAGUUGUUGGUGACUUAUUACCCAAGAGUUUGACCGAUCAAGGAUUGAAAUUUUUCAUACAGUAAAAGAGUAGAGAGAGAGAGAGAGAGUAGCGGGGUUAGAGGGUUUAUUGAGGUCGGAGGAUUUUUUUUUUUUUUUUAAGGGAAAGAAAAAUAGAAGGACGUGAGUUUUGCUUUUAUUGUCUCUGCUGGCCCUAGCCACUCAAUACGGUAGGGGAUUUCUUUGAGCUGCUCAUAAGGAAGUUUUGAAUGGUGAUUUGUGCAAAUGAUUCUACAUCUAAAUUAUGGCAUUUUCUUUAUGAAAACGUAAGUAUUUCGAGCAGUGAGAUAAUUCUAUGUGAGGCUAAAGACUAUGGGUUUGGGUAUAAUUUAGGUAUAGGAAACACUCAAGUGUGUGAGUAAUUGUAACUCUGUAAUUAUUCGAUUAAUUCAUGGAUUAUUUACUGCCAGCUCUUCCUGUGAAAUAAGUACUGACACUCGGAUUGAAUCACGUAAAUUUCUCAAUUAGUAGUCUUCUUCCUCCCACCAUUUUACUUUGGGUUCUUCAACAUUUUUGCGAUUCAAUGGUCUUCUUCCUCCCAGGCUUUCUCAUCAUUCUUCUUUUAGAUUUUCAUUCUUUUAUUCAAAACCUUAUCUUGUAUCAUAAAAAAGCACUUGUUUUGCUUUCCAAGAUUAUGUUGGCCAUAAAGGAUGUCACAUGGGAUGCUAGCAAGACAAUUAACAGUAUUUUAACAGCAACGUUAGGAUAGGAUGAACUAGAAAUAAAAACAUAAUAUUUAGGGAUCUUAGUGCUCACAAGAAAAGAUUAAAAGAUCUUGUUGAACAAUUUGAAACAAUUCAAGAACCUCCAAUGCCUUUAUUCCUCUCUUUUAACAUAAACAUAAUAUGAAUAUUUUUUUGAUUUUUUAAUGAUCAAAUCGAAUAAAUUUGAAAUUCAAGGUCAACAUUUAUAAAGUAGACAAAUUUUAGAUGUCAAAUUGCUUGUACAACAAAAAUUCAGUGUCCUCACAUGAAAGAAAGGAGUCAUCCUUGCCCCUAGUUGUCUUGUCACUAGUUAGAACAUACUUGGUCGACUGGGCUCCACAAUUAUAAGAAUCAGAUGCAUGGUCGCUACACAGUACACAUCUCAUCCCUUAUUUGAGUUAAAAAGCUUAGAGAUUCCUAACAUACGUCGGGACAAAGUAGCAAAAUAGAGGAAAGUAAAGUAUUACGCGCAGGUACAGUAACCACGUGGGCGGUCCGAGGUGAUUAUUUGGCUUCUAGUCGUUUUUGCUGUUUUCCUCCUGCCUCCAUUGGCAAUAGAGACUAUCUGCCUGUUCCGAGUACACGUGAGCCCAAUUCACACGCCGAAGACGGGUUCACAUGGACCCCACCUGAUCUACUGUGGGCCCGCGGUUGGCUCGCUGUGAGGACCCAUGCAAGGCGUCCCCACCAUCACAGCGGGGAGGCUGGAGGUUGACUUUCAGCUGGGACUCGGUGUUGGCCGAUCUUUCGAUCUUCUCCUCCCGUCUUCCUCUCAUCUCCUUGCUUUGGCUCGCACCUCCAGCUCUCGCUCUCGCUCUUUCUCCCAUGGCAAAGAAACUCGUUCACUACGUAGUGGUAUCGACAUAUCUCUCUCUCUCUCUCUCUCUCUCUCUCUCUCAUAUGGUUUCUGUAAGUCUAUAGUGAUGAACGUCGAUUGAACGUGAGGCUUACGGUUGUGGUCGUGAAGAUCAGCUCUUCCGGGAUUGAGGUGGCAUCGUUUACUCGUCCCUGGCUCAUCAUUGAUCCCUUUUGCAGGUCGACGCAUUCACUGAGACCGUGUUCAAGGGGAACCCCGCGGCGGUGUGCUUCCUGGAGGAGGAUGAAGAGAAGGACGUGGAGUGGCUACAGGCAGUGGCUAGGGAGUUCAACAUCUCCAUAACUUGCUUCCUGGCUCGAGUAGCUGCCUCGGGGACGGAGGACUCGAGCCCGAGGUUCCGCCUCAGAUGGUUCACUCCCAUCACUGAGGUGAGUUCCGAAUCUCUUUCGGCUUAUCGGCAUGAUGGACUUGCUCGGUACUUUUCUCAUCUUAUCUCAGAAUUGGCAUGAAUGGAAACGCCUGGAUGGUCCCUCCCUCAUUGCCCAAAAGCACAUGACUAUAUAUGUUUUUACUUGUUUAGCUUUCCAAAAAUUAUUGCCUGAAUAUAGUAUUGUUUUCCCCCCGUUGGAUUGGAAAUCUUUUUGGUAAAUUAAAAAAUAUGGCAAACGAAAAUUCAUAGCUCAAUACAAAAAUAUGUUAGAAGAAAACGAUUAAAUGUUGGUGAGUUACUCAUAUGAGAGUCAGCAUUUGAAUAUUAGUUGGUAAUUUUAUAUAACAAACGUUUUUUUUUUUUUUUUUGGUCAGAAUAAUUUGACAAAAGUUGCGAGAAGUUGGGAAGUCACUCUAACGAGGAUUGGCAAUUUUACACAAGAGUUAGUAAACCCAAACGAUUGGUAGCUUAUGUAAAUGAAAAUUAUAAAGUUUUACAAACUAUUAAAAAACUUUUAGUAAUUUCAUAAAAGUAUGUAGAUUACUUAUGUGGGAAAAAAAAUGUUUCUGGUCAUUUUUUGACUUAAAGUUUCUUGGCGCAUAUUGAGUAAUCAAUAUGGAAAAAAAUAUCCAUAUUUUCUGGCACACAAUAAAUUUAUGCUGCUUGGAAAGUCUUCUUUCCCUUUUUUUCAGUAAUUAAGCAACGGCGGCAAGAAGAUCGGCUAGCUCACAUGAGAUUAGGCUGUUUAAGUGUAUUGGUGUCACGCCCCGAUCCUCAGGCACGUGCACAUCCUUCUAUUUGGUCGAUUUUAUAAUGCGAUAUCCCAGGACUAGUAUCGCCGACCCUUUCUAUUAUUAAGCACAUGCGGAAGCAAUUAAAAUCCCCAGACAAUAAAACGAUGGGAUAGAAAAGCAGGGCCAUAUUUUUCAUAUUGAAAUUUAUAACCAAACUUUUAUACAAAACAAAAACCACUUCAAAACUAUUCACAUCAAAAAGAGAUCUCAAAAGAAGGUAGACUUUCAGCCCAACCAGGCCAUACUCAAGGCCCCUCUCAGGUUUAUCUUCUUCUUCCAAAAAUCCUUCUCUUUAAGUUUCACCUCCGAAUUCUCCUUCUCAGACUCCUCCUCAUCAGCUCCUCAUCGGGGUCCUGAAAUGUUUUUCCCCAAACUGGGAUGAGACUACGUCUCAGCGAGUUCUACCCCACUAAGCCCGAUUAGUAGAACCACUAUACUAUAGGCUGCCUAUACACGCACANNNNNNNNNNNNNNNNNNNNNNNNNNNNNNNNNNNNNNNNNNNNNNNNNNNNNNNNNNNNNNNNNNNNNNNNNNNNNNNNNNNNNNNNNNNNNNNNNNNNUCACGAUCACUAGCAUAAAUUUCCGGUCACGGGCCAUCCCAGUUGAAUUUUCCGAAAAUAAAUAAUUAAUUAAUUAAUUUCAAAAAUUAAAUAAUUAAUAUUAAAAAUUCAAUUUAGCACAAACUAAAACUCAAUUAAACAAACGGACUUCACCAUGGUCAUCAGCAUAAUUUUCCGGUUCCAGGCCAUCUCAGUUGAAUUUUCAGAAAAUAAAUAAUUAUUUAAUUUAAUUCCGAAAAUUAAUAUUUAAAUGCCCAAAAAUCUCACUUAGGCCCGAAUUGCCAAAUUGGAGCCCACUAAGGGUCGGGAAAAAUCCCGAGGCACUUCCAAUAAUUAGUAGACCACGUCUACUUGUUAAUUGCACAAUCAAUUUAUCUAAAUCACAACACAAUUGACUAAUAAUUGCUAAUUUAUUCUAAUCUAACAACCUAAACACAAUUAAUUAAAACUAAACCAACCUUAAGCAUAAUUAGCCAACUAAUCCAGGAUUAGUGAGAUUACUCACCAAAUCGCGCGCAAAUCGGAUCAAUCCGACGGCGGCGGCGCGAGGAACGAUUGUCCCCAAAGCACGGCUCGGGUUCGGGGCCGGGAAACGGCCCAAAACGGCCCACGAACAGCUGGAUACCCACUCCGUGGGUUUGCUGGUUCAGCCGCAAAACAGCAAGAAAGAGAGAGGGUUGGGGGCGGCAAGAGGUCGAGAGAGCGGGUGGUGGCUUGGCGAGGCCAAGCGGUGGUCCACGGUGGCCGGAGGUGGCCGGAUCGUGGCUGGUGCUGGCCAAGACGGAGCUGAACAGAGGCGGCACGGGAGCUGGACGACGCACGGCGGGGACGGCAAACGCGAAGGGGCGGUGGCGGAGCGCGCGGCGUGCGCGGGUGGUGCGGACGGCGGCCCGGCGGCGUGCGGCGAGCUGCGAGCGAGCGGCGACGGAGCUGCAGCUUCUGGUCUUCCUCCGCUUCUGGUUAGAAGGAGAAGAAGAGCUGGUUCAUUCGCUCGGGCGUGCAGAGGAAGAAAGAGAAGAAAGAGAGAGAGAGAGAGAUAAGCAUUGACUGGUCAAAGAAAAGAGAGGGAAGUGAGCGGUGGGGGAUUUUCGCACGAGGGGGAGGGGAGAGGAGAGAGAAAGAAAAGAGAGAAAAGAAAGAAAAGAAAAGAAAAGAGAGGGAGAGAGAGAAAAAGAAAAAAGAACAAUAAUAUUCUAAAUUUUCUUUUUCUCUUUCCAUUUCCCUUUUCUAAUGCCUUCCGGUCUUCGAUUUUUCCUCCGAUAAUUUCUUUAUUGAAAUUUCGGACCCGUCAAUAAAUUGACGAGCGAUGAGACAGGAUCCUAUUUAUUCAGACAAAUUAAACCCGAAAAUCUGGAUGUCACAACUCUUCCCCUCUUAUAAAAAUUUCGUCCUCGAAAUUUAAACCUUUAUCAAUCCAUAAACGAAAGGUGGGGAUAUUGCCGUCUCAUCGAGUCUCACUUCUCCACGCUGAUCAUUCGGUCUCGUGGCGUUGUUUGACCAUUUUGACCAAGGAGAUCAUCUUGGUACACAAACUCUCCUCUUUCUGAACCAACAACUGAACUGAGCUUCUCACAAGACACUCUGUCAUCCACAUCUGAUCUCUUUUUCUUUACUCCUUAAUAAACCUUUGAACCUCAACGGUUCAAAAUUUCUGACAGCUCUGAGUAGCCUUUAUUCUGACAUUGAUCUGACAACUGCAAAUACUGAUCACUGAGCUGACUCUGGACUUGCGAUUUUCUGAUUUCUGAUCUCGUCUCAACCGAUUGAAAUCCUGUACACUCUGCUUUGCACAGAUUAAAAAGAAACUAUCUGACUGAUCUGCUGAAACUGGGAAUCUCUGGUCAAGAUCUUAUAUAACUCUGGUACUGAUCUUGGCAACUGUAAUCACUGGCUACUGCAAUGACUUUGGCCUGAAAUCUUUAUUCACUUUCUUUUCCCCACUGAAAUUCUGUACCAUCUGCUAUACACUGCUUAAUAAAGAAUCCUCUGAAAACUCUGCCGAACUUAUAAUCUCUGAUUUAGAUUCGAAAUAUAAUUCAUCCUCGACACUCCAUGCCGGCGAAUUAUUUAAUGCACACACACUUNNNNNNNNNNNNNNNNNNNNNNNNNNNNNNNNNNNNNNNNNNNNNNNNNNNNNNNNNNNNNNNNNNNNNNNNNNNNNNNNNNNNNNNNNNNNNNNNNNNNNNNNNNNNNNNNNNNNNNNNNNNNNNNNNNNNNNNNNNNNNNNNNNNNNNNNNNNNNNNNNNNNNNNNNNNCACUCGACACAUUGGCGACCCUCGAUUAUCGUGAAAAUCUUAAAGGUUCAAAUAUGGACACAGGGUACCAAAACGAUAGAAACAUCAAAUUAGUACCGGUCGAUGAGAAUUUUCCAAUUUAGUGGAGUCACCCACGAUCGGUCAUUCAUCUCAGUCGAGCCGAUCUAUUUCUGAUUUCAAAUCGAUUUUAUACUGUGCCGCAAUGAUCUCUAAAGAUGAGCACGGUCGAGGAGUCGAUCCAUGGUCGAAUUCUCAAGUCUAUUUGCCUUAAGGUCCUUAAUAACUCACCCAGCUAGUCUAGUUAUCUCAUGAGUGGCCAACUCAGAGAAAAACACUGUAAUUGCAUCGAGGAAAUGCCCAAUUUAUCUAAUCGAAAUCAGAGGCCGAAAUCUGGAUCGCACACUCAAAACAAGAUAUAUUCAUACUGUACCAAAGUGGACCAACUCCAUCUAUCGAUCAACCACUAUUCUCAAAUGGUAUCAGUAAUCCCCUGAAUCUUUAGUAAGCCUAUCACAAUGUUCCAUUGUGAUAUAUUUCCAUUUUCACUUGGGACUCUCAAGUGAUGGUAAAAUCCUCCCGAUUCGCAUUCCACUUACUGACACUUUUGACGCUUUCAACCUGCUUAGCUGUAUUUAUCUUCAUAUCAGCUUACUAAUCUAGCUCAUGCCGAUUCUGAUUUACUUGCACCAUCUGGACAAAGCUGCAAUAUUAUAGCGAACUUCUGACAAAAUCUUUUCCCUGAGUGCUACACUGUCAAGUGCACUCAAUUUCCUCAUGGAACCCAAACGUUCCAUUCUCAGAAGUUUUAAAGUUAGAUUCUUUCUUGCCAAUAUCCUCUUAUAAGAUCUCCUGAACAUCUCUGUCUGUCAACUAGGUGCCAAUUCUAACUUGAACAUUUGGUUCAAUUUUGAGGGCGGCUAUAAAAUUUAAAAGGUAGCCUACCUCAAAUUUGAAAACCAAAUUUCGAACCCUUUUUAAGUAAAGUUUAUACUUUAGCCAGCCUAUGUAUAAUCAAAGACUCUGGGCUCAACACAUAAAUUACUUCUUUCAUUCUCCCAAGAUAAUACCAGAUAACAUCAUUAUAGUUCUGCCAAAAUUCUGAUUCACGACACUGUUUCAUGUUCAACUUGUUGGGUCUCAACUGGCGGGACGGUUAUACAACAAUCUUCUCAUGUUGUAUCAAUACAUACCCAAUCGUUGGCAAGACACAUCACUAAAGGUUUCAUGCUUUCCAGAGCCAAAUGAAAGUUUAGCAUAAGUGCGGUGGCCUGAUCUUACUGAAGCUCUGGAAACUAUCCUCGUACUUAUCUAUGCCAAUGAAUUUCUCUUCUUUCUCAAGAGGUCAAGCCCAUGAUGAUACUGAUGCUGAAAAUUCUUUCACAAACCUUCCGUAGUAAUCUGUCCAAUCCCCACAACUUCUGAUCUCUGACAUUGAUGUCGGUCUCGGUCCAUUAACAACUGAUUCGAUCUUGGUUGGUUCCAUGAAGAUUCCUUUACCUGUAACCACACGACCAUUCUUAGGGGCAUCUUGUGAUUCUCAACACUUAAUGAACACCCUAUAAUGUCGCUAUACCACACGAUCACCGUUGAUCUAGAUAUUCUUUGAACACUCGAUUUGUCAAAUCUAUGACAGCGGCUGGAGCGUUCGUCAAAUCAGAUGGCUUUACAUUAUUCUCACAAGGACAAAAUCAAGUGCGAAAUGCCAUCUUCAAUAUAACCUCCUUCCUGGUUCUCAACUGACAAUAACCUGUCCUCAAGUCAAUUCUUGAAGACAUCCACACUCUUUAUAACAAGUCGUCUAAUUCGUCGAUCUUUGACAAUGAACACUUAUCUUUGAUUGUCACUUGAUUGGGUCGAUUAUAGUUGAUGCAUAAUUGCAACGAACCAUCUUUCUUUCUCUUUUCACAAAACUGAUGAUCCCUAAAGUGAUGCACUGAUAUGCAUGAAUUCAUCAUUCAUCAAUCCCCACAUCUGAACCAUUAGUUCUAUCAAUUCAAACAACAACCACCGGUAAGGACUUUUAGAGAAUGGUUCUGUUCCAGAUGUUAACUCAAUCGUAAUUCUAUCUUUUUCUCUGGCAACGGUCUGACCACUUUUCUGGCAACACUUCCAAGAAUUCUUGGACUACUGAGGAGUUCUCAAUUUUUAAUUCUUCAAUCUGUCUUAUCUCAGAUCAUUGCUCACUAAUCUCGAUAACUUCUGUCUGACAAUCAGGUUACCUCAAGUGACGAAAUCAAAGAAGUCAAGAACCCUUCUCAAUUCUCAGUAAAACUCGGUACUUCUACAUGCUCCUGGAAUAAGCUGGGUUACUCUACCAUAACAAUUCAUCACCAUAAAAUGCUCAAGAACCAAUUCUUUCUACACUUGACGAAUAAGUUAUACACCAACAGCCAAUCAAGUAUAACUCUAGUCAAUGGUUCUUUUCCUACAGCCUUAACAAACAACUGAAAUUCCACACUUACAAUCCCAACAUUCUCUGGCACUAUUCUGAUAAAAUCACCACAAAAUAUUCUUUCAUUGAAUAAGGCAUAGUCGGUUCCGUUCCUGUUCCUUUUGCCAUAUUGCUGGUGUUCCAAUGGUAGUAAUAGUGUUGGUGUUCUUCUUAAACCCCAACCGAUAGUCCUUCACUUGAUGGCCGUGCUCACUACCAUCAAAGCAUGUUCUAGUCAUUCUCGAACACAGGAUUAAUCCAUGCAUUCCUUCCAUACUUUCGGCACUCAUCAGGUGAGUCUUCUAUCUCCUGCCCAGUGACAGCACACACUCUUUCUGGUUGUCCUAUCGGUCUGUUAGAACCGCUCUCGACUUCGAUCUUUUCCCUGACCGAUUUCCAUUUCUGCCUGAACUGGAUCUGUACCUUGACUUGGAAGCGAUGGCUCGAUCCCAAAUCAUAUCCCCACUCUGGAUCUCAACAGGUGUAGUAACAAAGGCGCUUGCAGUACUAACGGCAGUAGUGAUAGCGACAACGACAACAGCUUGAUCUUGAACUUACUGGCUCAUUCAAUUCCCAAGAAGUACUUGCAUCAGAACGAUCCUAUCGAACUUAGGAUCAUUCGACGCUGCUACACUAGUACCAACCUGCAGUGGUACUCUUACACUUGAGCUGGCCAGAGCCGACACUCUGCCACAACCACCUCGGGUACCGACCUUUGUCAGUGCAUUAUCCCGAGUCACAGAGGACAUUGUCCUCUUACUAGGAGUUCUCAGCUCCUGCUCGCUCAUGGUUCAGUCUUUACACUGAAACCCGACUUCCAAAUCCACACUGGAUUAGAAGGUGAGCGAUCCACACACCACAAACAAUUUUGGCAUUCAGCUAACAUAAACAUGCACCAGCAUGAAUUUAAAGGCCUUUCCUACUAACUAUCCCAUGGUCAACGCUCCUUAUCACUCCAAUCUUCAACUUAGCUCUGAUACCACUUAAACAGGUUGUCACGCCCCGAUCCUCAGGCACGUGCACAUCCUUCUAUUUGGUCGAUUUUAUAAUGCGAUAUCCCAGGACUAGUAUCGCCGACCCUUUCUAUUAUUAAGCACAUGCGGAAGCAAUUAAAAUCCCCAGACAAUAAAACGAUGGGAUAGAAAAGCAGGGCCAUAUUUUUCAUAUUGAAAUUUAUAACCAAACUUUUAUACAAAACAAAAACCACUUCAAAACUAUUCACAUCAAAAAGAGAUCUCAAAAGAAGGUAGACUUUCAGCCCAACCAGGCCAUACUCAAGGCCCCUCUCAGGUUUAUCUUCUUCUUCCAAAAAUCCUUCUCUUUAAGUUUCACCUCCGAAUUCUCCUUCUCAGACUCCUCCUCAUCAGCUCCUCAUCGGGGUCCUGAAAUGUUUUUCCCCAAACUGGGAUGAGACUACGUCUCAGCGAGUUCUACCCCACUAAGCCCGAUUAGUAAACCACUAUACUAUAGGCUGCCUAUACACGCACAGGGCAGAAGACGUACCUUGGCAUCAGAUCCCACCUGCAAGUCAGUACAAUUCAUAAUAGGCACUCAAGCAAUCGUAUCACCGAUCAAAGCAUCGAUCAAAUCGACCUAGUCGAUUACAAGCUGACAAGACCACUCACGGUCAUUCACAUUCAGUCAAUCAAUUCACAACAUCAAAUCAAACAAUGAUCAAUCGACCUUGUCGAUUACAUGUCAACCUGACCAUUUCCCGGUCAUUCAAGCUAUUGCUAUUCAGAGUCCCACUCAGCAACAUUCAAUAUUUCAUGGCUUUACGGUCCCACUCGACCACUUGCAAGAUUCAAUGGCUUUACGGUCCCACUCGACCACUUUCAAGAUUCAAUGGCUUUACGGUCCCACUCGACCGCUUGCAAGAUUUAAUGGCUUUACGGUCCCACUCGACCGCUUGCAAGAUUUAAUGGCUUUACGGUCCCACUCGACCCCUUGCAAGAUUUAAUGGCUUUACGGUCCCACUCGACCGCUUGCAAGAUUUAAUGGCUUUACGGUCCCACUCGACCGCUUGCAAGAUUUAAUGGCUUUACGGUCCCACUCGACCACUUUCAAGAUUCAAUGGCUUUACGGUCCCACUCGACCGCUUGCAAGAUUUAAUGGCUUUACGGUCCCACUCGACCGCUUGCAAGAUUCAAUGGCUUUACGGUCCCACUCGACCACUUUCAAGAUUCAAUGGCUUUACGGUCCCACUCGACCGCUUGCAAGAUUUAAUGGCUUUACGGUCCCACUCGACCGCUUGCAAGAUUUAAUGGCUUUACGGUCCCACUCGACCCCUUGCAAGAUUUAAUGGCUUUACGGUCCCACUCGACCCCUUGCAAGAUUUAAUGGCUUUACGGUCCCACUCGACCGCUUGCAAGAUUUAAUGGCUUUUCAAUGAAAUAGUUAACCACAACCAUUUAGGAAUAUAUCCUAAAUUCCACAUUCAAUUCAAUUUGGCACAAUUCAAAGCUCAAAUAAAUAAACAGACUGCACCACGACAAUCAGCACGAGAUUUCGGUCGUCGGCCUUCAAAAUCUUAAUUUCCGAAAAAUAAUUAAUUAUUAAUUAAUUUCGAAAAUUAAUUAUUAAACAUUAAAAAUUCCGUUUAGCUCAAAAUAAGGCCCAAUUAAAUAAACGGACUUCACCACGGUCAUCAGCAUAAUUUUCCGGUUCCAGGCCAUCUCAGUUGAAUUUUCGGAAAAUAAAUAAAUAAAUAAUUAAUUUCGAAUAUUAAAUAAUUAAUAUUAAAAAAUUCAAUUUAGCUCAAAAUAAAGCCCGAUUAAAUAAACGGACUUCACCACAGUCAUCCGCAUAAUAUUCCGGUCACAAACCAUCUCCCUUGAAUUUUCGGAAAAUAAAUAAUUAUUUAAUUUAAUUCCGAAAAUUAAUAUUUAAAUGCCCAAAAAUCUCACUUAGGCCCGAAUUGCCAAAUUGAAGCCCAAUUAGGGGUCGGAAAAUUCCCGAGAUACUUCCAAUAAAUAGUAGACCACGUCUACUUGUUAAUUGCACAAUCAAUUUAUCUAAAUCACAUCACAAUUGACUAAUAAUUGCUAAUUUAUUCUAAUCUAACAACCUAAACAUAAUUAAUUAAAACUAAACCAACCUAAAGCAUAAUUAGCCAACUAAUCAAAGAUUAGUGAGAUUACUCACCAAAUCGCGCGCAAAUCGGAUCAAUCCGACGGCGGCGACGCGAGGAACGAUACUUCCCAAAGCGGGCCUCGGGUUCGGGGCCGGGAAACGGCCCAAAACGGGCCCAAACCAGCUGGAAACCCAUUUCGUGGGUUUCUGUCCUUGGCUGGUUGGAGCAGAUCCGGCGGCCAAAACGGCGAGGGGAGGCCGGCGGAGGGCUAAGGGAUCGCGGGGGAGGUCCGGCGGGGCUAGGCGGUGGCCGAACGGAGCUGGGUGGCGGCCGGAGGUGGCCGAAUGGCGGCUGAACAGAGGCGAAUCGAGCUGAGCCGAGCGGGGGAAGAACGCCUGGGCGCACGCGAACGGCGGCUGGGCGCGCGGUGACGGGCGGGUGGCGGUGCGGCGGCGAGACGAGCGGCGAGCGGGCGGCUGCCGCUUCUGCUCCGGCUUGCUGGUUCGGGGGGCGGGGAGAGAAGAAGGAGAAGAAGAGCGGGGUGCAUUCGCUCGGGCGUGCAGAGGAAGAAAGAGAAGAAAGAGAGAGAGAGAGAGAUAAGCAUUGACUGGUCAAAGAAAAGAGAGGGAAGUGAGCGGUGGGGGAUUUUCGCACGAGGGGGGAGGGGAGAGGAGAGAGAAAGAAAGAGAGAAAAGAUAGAACAGAAAAGAAUUGAGAGGGAGAGAGAGAAAAAGAAAAAAGACAAUAAUAUUCUAAAUUUUCUUUUCUCUUUCCAUUUCCCUUUUCUAAUGCCUUCCGGUCUUCGAUUUUUCCUCCGAUAAUUUCUUUAUUGAAAUUUCGGACCCGUCAAUAAAUUGACGAGCGAUGAGACAGGAUCCUAUUUAUUCAGACAAAUUAAACCCGAAAAUCUGGAUGUCACAAUUGGUGCAUUCCAGCCUCUUUGAGCGCGGAAUAUACGCAUCAUUCUUCAAUUUUCUGAGUCGUUUAUCGAUUUGAUUGGGAUCGAAACAACUGGAUAGCUCCCUUUACUCGUCAAUAUUGAGUUGAAUUUUCGCAAUUUUCAUGCAAAUCAUUGGAUGGUGGCACGUGGAUACCAUAUAAAUACGAAUCUCCUUUCAGCUUAACCUCUGUGGUCAUGGAACACUAGCUGCUACACACGCCCUUAUUACCUCUGGGAAGGUGGAUUCAGAUACUAUCCAAUACGUCACCUCGUCAGGAACUCUAACCUCUAAAAGGGUGUCCGAAAUCGAGACAGGAUUCUUCAUCGAAUUGGUUUUUCCUGUUGCCCCGAUUUCAGAAUGCGACAGCGAGAGUGCGUCAUCCCUCUCCAGAGUAUUCGAUGGUGCUUCCAUAGUCGAAGUCAAGAAGACGGCAAAAGAUGACCUUCUUGUAAAUUCCUAACCAUGGUCGAAUCCUUCAACUUUUGUUUUGUUGCAGCUUACUGAAAACCUCGGUUUCUCUUCAUUAAAAUGAUGCUUUAGGGUUUUCAGAGUCCUAUUUUCCUUCUUGGGUUGAUGAAAGUUUUCGACCGUGACAUUGAGCUGAUUUGACUGGGAAUAGCCAGGUGAUUAAUUUUGCUUCUUUUUCUUGUCAACUUCGAUUGCUUUUCGAAGGUCGUUUUCUCAUCAGGAAAAGCAGUUGAAGACUUGCAGCCACAAUUCGAUGAGAUACGAAGUUGUGCAGGAAGGGGCAUUAUCAUAACAGGACUUGCUCAACCGGACUCGGGAUUUGAUUAUGUCAAUCGGUUCUUCAGUCCAAAACUUGGGGUGAACGAGGUAUUGACGUAUCUAAUUAAUCGGCUGUCAAGUGACCUGCAAGAAGGAAUUACCAGUUUCCUAGUUCUUGUUCACUCAUUGUUUUGUCCAUGAUUCGUUCAUGUAUUGACAAGACUGAGAUAGCUAUCCGGAUCAAAGUGCCAAGGCUAUCUCAUUUUGAUACACGCCCAUGAUGCAAAAUGCUAACUGACAAAUGAAUUUUCCAGGAUCACGUGUGCGGGAGUGCAAACUGUUUUCUGGCGCCUUAUUGGAGCAAAAAGCUCAGAAAAAAUGAUUUCGUUGUUUAUGCUGUAAUCUCUCUCUCUCCCUCUCUCUCUAUCUCUCUCUCCCUCUCCCUCUCUUCAUCCCCACGCCCAGGCGCUUAUUUGUGAGCAGUGCAUCUGUGGUUGCUCAACUUCUUAUUAGUCCAUUUCAAUAGAAUUUCACGCAUUUCCUUAAUCAGCUUUGUGCAUGUGUUGAGUAGGCAUCGCCUAGAGGAGGAGUCGUGAACGUGUGCCUGGACGAGCAAAACCAGAGAGUCACGCUGCGUGGGAAAGCUGUAACUGUAAUGACGGGUUCUAUUCUUGUUUAAAAAUACUUCGAGCAAGCAAGAUUCGUCUUGUAAACAAGGCACAGGGCGAGAUGGAAUAAGUAUUCUGAUGGCAUGAAUUGAGAUUGUCAGUUGUUUAAUGCUGCAGACCAUAGCUGAGAUUCUCAGUAUGCUUGGAGCUGUAGCCUAUGUAGCAUAAUCAAAGAGACGACUGAACAACCAUUUAUCUCGUUCUUGCUUUUAUGUAUUUGAGGGAUAGUGCAUCAACCACUUUGUCUCGUUUAUGUGCUAUCUCUGUAUUGCUGCUCAUACAGAUGAUAAUAUCCCUUGUUGUUGGUCAAGUUUCUCGGAGAAUGUGCACAGGUCAAGACUCGAGUUGAGGAGUCCCAUGUCGAAGAACACGAGAUGGUCGAGUUGCUUAUGAUCCUGGUUGACCAUUUGAAGGGGUCGAAUCUCAUUCCCAUUUAGGAACUCGCACGUCGGCUUCUGUAAGCUCUUACCAACUCUCAGCCACAGGAAAGAUGAUCACGUGAUCCUACGCGAAGAACCGGUUACUUGUAUCAGUUUCCUGUUGACCUUGCAUUAGGCCACUCGAAUUAUGUCAGAGACUUCUAAGAAAGCUCCUGAUCCAUCAUUUAUAACAGUCGCGGCUAGGACAAACAUUAAGCGGCAAACCAUAAUGGACAGUUUCCAAACAACACCGUUGUUCAGGUGCCGAGAAAGGAACAGGAACACGGGUUACAGGAUCGCUCGAUGGCUAAACUAUAGCUGGUCCACAACACUCGAUCCCAAAGUACAAUAGCAAGGGUUGAUGUCAUGGGAAAACAUAUAGACAAGUAACUAGACAAAAAAUUCGUUUGAAAGUAACGCAAUAUAUUUUCCACCUAUUGAAGGACGAAUCUAAAGGGAUUUUAGAGCACUUUAAUUGAGUACGAUAUGACAUUUCUUUUUCAUAUGAUUAGUCUUAUUGAAAAAGAACAAACACUUUUUCCAUAACUUCUAAACAUGUGUAAAAAACACAAGUGUCAAUAACAUCACUACUCGUAGAUACCAUCGAUAGGUAAGUCUAUUGGUAAAAGGGUCGCAUUCUUUUCCACAAGUUCUCAAUUCAUCAAUUCGAGGUAUCUCAUGAGCGAUUUUUUAUUACUAUCUCAUAAGGAAAUCUCUAAAUUUCCGGCACAUCAAUGAAAACUAAUACCAGCUAAUACAAUAACAAGUGAAUUGAAUAAUUAUAACUCUGGUGGAACAUUCAAUAAUGGACGUGGGACCAUCAUGACAUUGCAUAUUUUGUAUAAGUAGCACUAACACCAAUACACGACAUGAACAUGACACAAUACGAUAUGCCGACAUGUCAUUUCUAAGAAAAUAGAGAAUUCCGACACGUCGAGACAUAUUGUAUAUUAAAUAUAUAUAUAUAUAUAUAUAUAUAUAUAUAUAUAUACAUACACAAUAAAUUAUCAUUUUUAUGAUUUUUUAAUCAAAUUAAUUUAAUUCAAAUUCACAAAUAAAUAAAUAAUAAUAAAAGAGCUUAGAAUGAUAUUACACUAAAAACAUCAAUCCACAAUUUGUUAAUAUCAUUCAUUGUUUUAAUUUGACAAAUUUAACUCUAUUCCAAUAAUUUAUAAAACUUGAAGGAAAAAAAAAAUAAACAAUUCACAUUUUAGACUCGUAUGUCAAAGUAUGUUGGAAGAGAAAAGAAAAAAUAAACUUGGAGAGUAUUGCGUAUCACAAGAAAUAAGAGUUAGAAGAGAAAAGAAGACAGGUUUUUCUUCUUUCCCCCUUUAUUAUUUUUAUUAUUUUUAUUAUUUUUUAUAUAUUUAUAUUUUGACCCAUCUUUUAUUAAAAAUUUUAAAAAUUGACCCGAUGCAUGUUAGAAUUUUGAACUUGCAUGUCAAAAUUCCAAAAUCAAGUAUUAGAGAGUGUUGGAAGAGUUGAUCAAAUAUUGGAAUUACAUGUCGGAGUUCCGAACUCACACGUUAGAAUUUUGAACUCAAGUAUCGAAGAAUGCUGGGAAAGUUGAUCAGGUAUCAUAUUUUCUGACACGCAUUAACCAAGUGUAGAAAAGUGUCGGACAUGUGCUGUGUCCAGUGUCCGACAGAACACAAAAACUUCUUGAAAGUGUUAGUGCUUCGUAGCCUUUAGUAGAUGCGCUGGUUACUUUUGACUUGUCAAGAAAUAAACACAACUCUUAGAUGACGCAUAGAAUGAUGUAUGAAAGACAGGGAGGACCGGCAAAGUAGACUAAAAUAUGUUCCGUGCGGAUCGAGGGCAGACCUGCCCCGAACGAUUUACGAGGAACUGGACUAUCGCGUUCUUCUCCAAUAGACAUCGCCUGAUUUCAUUGCUUCUUCUCCAUUAGCCAUCUCUCUCUCUCUCUCUCUCUCUCACCCUCUCCGUCGCUCUCUAUGGAAAAGAAACUCGUGCAGUACUCGGUGGUAUCAAUACAGCCUCUUUCUCUUCCGUUUCAUUCCCCUACCAGAGAUGGAGAUCUCUUGCGAAAACUUCCUUGAACUCUUCUGCAUCGACCAUGACAUGGGCUUGUGCGUGGUGUUGUUUUUGUAGGUGGACGCAUUCACCGACACGGCCUUCAAGGGGAACCCGGCGGCGGUGUGUAUCUUGGAAGAAGAGAGGGACGAAGAGUGGCUGCAGGCGGUAGCCAGGGAGUUCAACUUCUCGCAGACCUGUUACCUGACCGGUGCCUCGAGCUCAGAACUCGCCGGCUCGGCCAACAGGGGAUCGAGCCCGAGGUUUCAGCUCAGGUGGUUCACUCCAGUUAAGGAGGUGAGUGAGUUUCGGAAUUCCAUGUUCCCAGCGUUGCUUGCUUUAAUUCGGCAAGUGCAGGAUAUGCAGAGCGUGUGGAUAAUAAAUGACUGAAAGCUCUUUCGUCCGCUCCCCACGCGAAUUGCUAAACUUUGCUUGCGUGCUUUUUGGUAACUUUCUUUCUUUAUCAUAGCCAACAGAAAUGGCAAUUUUCUGUCAGGGUUAACGUCCUGGUUUUGUUAUGAUUCUUUUAAUUUGUGAUAAUUCGCAUUUUCUGAGUUCGGCCGCAUAUAAUCAACCAUGGAUGGUUCGAUGAAAAAUUCAUCAAAAAUUCGAUUUCUAUUUGUCCUUCGCUGUCUGUUUCAUCUCAUUACUUUGGACUACCAGUUAAUUUGCUAAUUGUGCUUGUAUUAGAUGAAAUUCUAUGCAUUACCUGUGUAGGACUAUGAAUCAUGUUGAUGUUGUUCGAUUGAACUCCAAGUCCGACACCGAGUCUCUGAUGUACUUGAGAGAUGCCUGCUUUGUUGUCAUAAUAAUCCAUCUCCACCAGACUAAUCUAUGUGGUUGCUCUGGUGCCUGCUUUUCGAUAGUGGCAGUAAACAUCGAUGUUGAUGAUCAAUCAGUUUGAUGAAGUGUGUCACAUUUCAGUAUGGAAGAAAUGCCACGGGAAACUGGUUGUCAUAUUAUCUAAUCACAAACUUGACCUUUCAGGUUGACCUCUGCGGUCAUGCGACGCUAGCUGCUGCGCACACUCUCUUCACAUCUGGGAUGGUAGAUUCUGACACCAUCGAGUUUAUGACAUUAUCCGGAAUUCUGACUGCCAAAAGGGUUCCCGAAACGAAGUCAUCCCACAUUUUGAAGAUAAAAGAUGGUGAUGUGCCCGGGAUAUGGAUUGAAUUGGAUUUUCCAGUAGUCCCGAUCGCUGAAGAUGAUGCCGAGCGGAUUUCAUGUGUCUCCAAAGUUCUCAAUGGCACUUCAAUUGUUGAAAUCAAGAAGACAGCAAAGGGCGA
This 123033-nucleotide long non-coding RNA is filed under the name Eucalyptus grandis. RNAcentral describes it as "long non-coding RNA (EGRA_LNC001697)". Lineage: Eukaryota; Viridiplantae; Streptophyta; Magnoliopsida; Myrtales; Myrtaceae. The record is from RNAcentral.